AAAAAACAUACCAAUAUUGUUUUGAUAAAAAAAAAUAGAUUAAGCUGACAAUCUGUUCUAGAAGGUCUGCUGGAAUAUCUAGUUUGAUUGGUUCAGAACAUCCUUUUUCUUCCUUUCAUUUCUUAGCAAUCCAGCCACGUCAUAUUUUAUUUUGAUUUAAAAUUUUGUAGUCUUUAGUCUUAUCUUUGACUGUAGUUUCCAAAAUGACUGCAAACCAGAUCAUCGUCCUGUUUGUUGAAUACAAAACAAGAGCACGCCCACAAUCAAAUAAUCAUAGAAAUUAGUAGUAAUGAAAAGAGGAUUAAUGGUAAUGAAAUGGAAAAAUGGAGAAUUUGAAGGAAACCAAGCACGUUGUGGGCAGUGAAAAUUAACAACAAACACAUGCUAGAAAACAAAAGGCUAUACAGAGAUGCCAGCGCCAUGCCAAUCAUCAAAAAAUCCAAGAAUCAAAACAACCUGUAUAUAUUCCUUCACAACCCGUUUCGACGAGCCUCUUGAUCUUCAGAAGAAGCAGCAGCAAACCUUGAUGAGAAACCAGGAAUCAAACAAUCAUCCUCUUCCCUAUCAAAGUUAAGAGCAUAGCUUUCAGCAUCAUAUUGAGACUGAUUAUUCCUUUGUUUCUUCUUCUUGAUAUAUGCGCUGAUCUUUCUAAUGAAUGUCUUCCACUUUGGCCCUGCCAAAACCUCUGAAGCCUCCUUCACUUUCUUCAGUUUCCUCACCAACCAUGGAUCACUAGAGUCACCAUUCUGGUUCAAAACAUCAUAUUCACGUUCAUUGUUUCGCCGCGAGUUGAAAUUGAAGAGUCCAAAACAACAGCAACCAUUAGCUGAAUAGGCCUCUUGUUCAUAAUCAUCAAGGCGAUCGUAUCCUUGUUGUUCAUGUGACAUUCUUGGUGAACCGAUGGGGCUCAUGAAAGUUACAUGCGGUUUGGCCAUGUGUGUAUGUGCGUGUGUGUGAGAGAGAGAGAUACAAAGAAUAAAACGGACGGGGAGUCUGGAUUGGGAAGAAGAGGGUCUUAAUACGGAGAAGCCAUGGAAGGAAGUUGAAGGGAAAUGGGCAAGGAAGUGUCAAGGAAAUGGAGAAUUUAAGCUGACGAUUUUUCUAAAUGGAAAAGCCAACAGGAAUACGAUGCUUGUUGGGAAAAUGACAUUUGACUAAGCUUACAUGGCUCUCUAUGAUUGGUGCUUUUGUGAGGAACCUAGUAAUAUAAUGGCGGCUAUAAGCGAAACACGGUUUCUUAAACGAGUUAGCCACACGCUUGCAAAACGAUGGCAACAUAGAACUUCCAUGCAACAAUCAAGAAACACAGCCACAAAACUUGUCUUCUUUUUCUCGUCACUCACAUUCCAAAUGUUUCUACAUGGUAACAUUUAUUUACCAAAGAGGAUGAUUGGAAAUAUUGGAAAUAACGCCUUUGAUUAUUAUAAAAACAAUGCCUUUGAUUCUCAUAAAAAUACAGGACCUAUCAGAGCGUUGAAUCACCUUCUUCGAGAUUACAAUUUCGAGUAUACUGAAUAAUUGCUCGAAAGAACAUCAAAACGAGGAUAAUUAUAUUUAGGUGAAUAAUAGCGGAAAAGGGCACCGAUCAUCAUCAUAUCCAUGAAGUAUAGGUUCUCAAGGUUCGUCCAAAUCUUGCCAAAAAAAGAACCAAGCCUCCUUAUCUUUGCAGAAGGCACAUAUAAUUCCUUCAGUCGAAUGGUGCGUCGUAGGCAGCAAACCUUUUUCAUAUAAGAAUCCACGGAUUCUCCACUACGAAUCUAUGAUACGGCUACCCUGGAUGUCUGUGUUGUUACAUCAUAUUUCAGUGCCAUCACUGCAAUUUUUUCUGCUAAAGGCCACUGAAAACUUUUUUCCCUUCAAUUGGGAGAUUGUAAAGUUUCAGGAAGAUGCUAUUGAAAAUUGGGAGACUGUAAAGUUUCAGGAAGAUGCUAUUGAAAGCUUGAUGUACAAAAUAGACGUAUCAAGGUCCAACUAUAUACUACAGCUGAUACUUCAACUCUCCAUACACUGGUGCUUGCUUACGCCACAGAAAUAACAAGUCAUUCUGGACUGACUGGUAAGAUUUCUGGGAAAUGAUAUUUGCAUUAUUGAAAGAAAGAAUGCAUGUAUCAAGAUCAGUGAAAGACAUGCCGCAGAAAAUCCAGCCUGCAUUCUUGUGAUGGUGGGUGGGAAAACGAAAAAAUGAAAGGCAUUACAAAAGUACAAAUAAAUUGCACCUCACUUGAAUCAAAACUGCUAUGAAAUGUUAAUAAUAAACAAUUUUUUUUAAAAAAAAAAAAACGUAAAAACUAACUGGACAAAUUCUAAAAACCGUGAUUCAAAAAAGAAAGAAAGACCUUGCCUGUGCUACAUUCAAGUAAAAUACAUGUCUUUCAACAACUGAGGAAGCAACACAUUCCCCAGGACACGAAGGAGAGACGACAGAACAGCUUGCGUGAAAUCAUUUUUGAACCUGGUACUGUGUUGAAGGGGGCUGCUGUGAUGGGUUUUGCCCUCUGGGAGGAAUCUUUGCUACCAUUGCACGCAAAUCAUUUGCAAUUUCAGUGAAGCUUGGUCUGUCUGAUGGCUCAGAAGACCAGCAUCUCUCCAUCAAUGAUCUCCACUCUGGGUCACAAGUCUCUGGCACUGGUGGCCGCAAGGUAUUGCUCACAAUACCACCUGAUUAGCAUUUUGACGGGGCAAUAAUCAGUGAAACACAUACUUGAGCCUAUUUAAGUAAAUGCCACAUGAUUAUUUUUGGUACAACUAAAACCUCACCUAUAAUAGCCCCGUAGUGCAAGUCGGAGUAUGGUUCUUCCCCAGUCAGAAGUUCCCACAACACGAUACCAAAUGAGAACACGUCGACCUAUAUUAAAGAAGAGAAUUGAAGCGCAAGCUCAUCUAGUGAGAAAAAAGAGAGACUAUUUAUAUGCAAGAUGGUAUCAAACGACAAAUGGAAGCACCUUUUCAGAGACAAGACUACUGCUUCCAUUCAGAAGCUCCGGUGCCAUCCAUGGAAGUGUUCCCCGCACACCACCUGAGAUAAGUGUUUGGCAUUUCACCUUAGACAGGCCCAAAUCACCGACCUGGUGCAGAAGCAGAAGUGAAAAGCCAAUUCAAUAAAUUUGCUAUUGAAAACAAAAUACAGAAUUCUCAGGUUCAACAUUACAUGCAGGGACCUGCAGAUUAUAUGCAUCAAUGCAAUCAUAGAACUUAAAUUUGAAAUCAAAAGUUUUUACUGAUUGUCAUACAUGGAGGCUCAAAAUUUAGUAAACUACUAGUGAGCAUUUGGAAAUGGAAUUCUAUUCCCAAAGGCAAAUGCAAAUUUCCUCUUCAGAUAUGGUUUUAUAAGCAUUUGAGUCUGUGAUAACUUCUAUCAAUGACAAAAGCAGAGGCUUCUGGAAUUCAGGACUAACAAUAGAAACAAUAAUCAUAUCUGCCAUAACUAAUAAUUAAAAGAAUAACUUAGAAAACUAAACAGAUCAAAAGAAAACUGACAAGGAUGGAAAAAAAGCGCGAGUACUAUUUCCUAUUUCACAAAUUUGAUCAACACUAUGUGGGGUAACAAGAUACAGACUGGGGAAAUAAAAUCCACUAAUCCACUCAAGUUAUGAUAACAACUGGACAAAAGAGAGCUCAAAUCAACUACAUAGACAUUUCAUUCACAUCUCACUUAAGAGAAUAUCAGCGACAAAUUCUGUUGACAAGAUAUCAGCAUUCAGCACGUGCUUGAAAAUAUAUAUCAGCAUCAAUUACUGUUGAGAUGAUAACAUUACCUCUCUUUUCACAUGGCUAUUAAGUACUGUAAUAAUGUCAUUUGUAAGUUAAAUCUGACGUGAAUCCAUUUGAAAACACUCCCAUAACCUCAAUGCCAUAUUCACCCCUAAACCAUUCUAUGGAAUACCCCAUAAUUCAGAAGUAUUCUGGCAACAGCUCUAAAGUGUUCCACCUAAAAGACUGGAUUAAUUAGCCUGGAGUAUGGAAGAACUUAUUUUAGCCAGAUACCCACAUUUUGCCUUAGCAGGGUGAGAUAAAACUCUAAAUGCGACAACCAAAUUUUCUAGAUCAUUUAGGCAUGGAGAAGAUUUCUCCAAAUACUAAAAUCAUCAAAAGGAGGAUGCCGACAGAAAUAAACCCACAAUCGAUAUGCAUAUCAGAGAGUUCAUUACUUGAUGUAAGAAUGAAGGGGAGGUAAAAGCCCCUCUUCCUCCAGAUUGGGUCACUAACCUUGCAUAUUGGCCGGUGAGGAUCUCGAAGAUUAACAAGUAAAUUGUCACUCUUCAGAUCGAAGUGCACUACAUUCUUUCCAUGCAAGUAUCCCAUUCCAAAGGCCACAUCCAUGGCAAUCAAGAGACGCUUACGCUUGUCAAGGUUCCUGCUAAAAAGAAAUUAUAAAAUAAAUUUCACUUUCAAAGCGGGGAAUGAAAUAAAAUGGAGAGAUACAGGUUCAUGAAAAAGGAACUACAAAAUAACCUCUCAUUUUUCUGCAAAGCAUUUCUUAAAGAACCAUUAACCAUGAACUCUGUCACUGUUGCCACAGAACCUCCAAGGCCAUCAUCAACAACACCAUAAAAAGCAACCACAUUUGGAUGGUGCAGAUCAGCAAGCUUAAUUGCCUCGUUCCAGAAGUCAUCUCUCUGAUUUGAACAUAUGGUGCAGACAGUUAGCAAGUCAUAACACAUGAACAACAUCAACAAAAUCAAAGUUUAACAGGUGCGAUGGGACAAUGAGAAAAACAAAAACAAACCAUGCGUUCUUGUUCAGAAGGUUUCCCAGCGAAACACCUAUCAUUGAUUCGUUUGAUUGCUACAUCAGUACCCCUCCACUUCCCAUGAUAAACAGUGCCAAAGGUGCCAGAACCCAAUUCCUGCAGCUCUUCAAGGUCACUGUUCUUUAUAAUCUGCUAGACAACAACCAGAGGCGUGCUUAAAAUUGACAAACACACAUAUAUAAUUACAGGAAGAAGAAAAUAGUCAACUCUUUCAACCUGCAAGCGACCACGGCCUUCCGAUACAGGAAAACCAAAAUUCACCUUAUCAGGCAGUUUGUUCUUCAUGUCCUGAGUAAAUAAAGUAAGAAAAUAUAGGGAUAAAGGAACAGUCAGAUAAAUGCACCAUAGACGGCAACAUGAAAAAAGAAAUGCCAAUUGAUAAACAUGAAUGUGCUCCCACACAAAUGCAACGAAAACAGAAUGGAUUAAGCACCUCAAGUUUAGCUUUGUGCUGCAUUUCUACACUUUCAUUUGAAUCUUCUUUUUCUUGAUUUGGUUCAUAAGCAGGUUCAUUUCUUUCUGACACGUUUUGUUCAGGAUUAGAAGUAUCUGACUGGAAAACAGAAGCAGCUACACCCUCAGCUACAGCCUUGAGUUCUUGCCUGAUGAGUUCCUCUGCUGAACCUUCAACCAUGAAACAAAAAAUGCUAAGAAACUAAAUUCUCAGUGUAAGAGAAUAUUUGAUUUUAUCCAGAUAAACACAAACAUAACAAAUAAUUAUUGGAGUUAUCCAGUUGUAAGCAUGUGUAAGAACACAAAAUAAGAAGCUUCUGACCUUUGGAUGAUUGAGCACGUUCUAAAUCCUUGUUUGAAUUGCUCAGUGGCUUGGAAACUCCAUCCUCCAACAGCACACCUGUGAUUAAGUCCACCUCACCAGAAUGGUUCUCAAUGAAAGGGUCCCUAGUAGUAAAGGCUUCUUUUUUUGUUGCAAUCUUGUUGGGUCUAGGUGGAGGAAACUGAUUAUCAUGCCUUGAUUUCCAAGGAUCCUGGCUGCUGAAGAGUGAGUUUGAAAAGUCCUGAGCAUUGCCAACUCCACCAGAUGGCGAUAGGGAAGAUGGCAUAUUACCAGUUGAUGAUAAAGCUUCCACGUCGCUGGGGACAACCUUUGAAUGCAGUUGUGAAUCAUUCUUCCAUUCAGCAAAAGGUGGGAUUCUGUCAUUUACAAAGGCAGGCUCAACACCAGAGAAUGCAGGGAUUCCAUAACUAACUUCAGCAGAAUCCAAGGCAGGAACUCCAAUCUUGGGCUGCGGGUGUGAUGCUUUAUUACCCAAAAUAGGUGGUUGUGCAACCUCAUGUAAUUCCAUUGGUUGAGAAAUAUGCAAGUAAGAAACCUCUGUAGAAGCAGGCAACAUUUCAAACUGCUUAAUAUGAUUUGAUUCAAGAACCACCUGUGGUUUGUUAAAAGUAUUAUCUAGAAGCACCUCCCUCCCAGCAAUUUUCUGGGUUUUAUGAUCCAAGAUUUCUUCCUUUUUAAAUUUAUCAACAGGUGACUUUUUCUGAUAAUUGUUAACAUUAAUUUCAGGGGGGCGUAUAUGGAGAGCUUCCAUCAUCCCAUCAACUGGUCUCAGCUGCUCACAAGAUAUGUAAGAGUCUAGAGCAUCUUCUUGGGAAACAACACCAGGAAGCUUGCCAUAGUAUUCUUUUGGAGAUUCUUGAACUAGGUGUUCAGAAGCUUGAAUAGGUACAGCAACAGCAUGAGGGGCAUCACUGUUAGCAGGUUUACUCAGUAAAACCUGUGGUUGCAUUGACACUGAAUGCUGCUGGAUACAAUCUUCCAUGCGAGACGCAGGAAUUCCACCUGCGAACAUGCCAUAAGGAGACUGUACAUCACCUGGUAAACCUAUCAUGCCAUAGGGAGCUGAAAUCUUAGGUUGACCAGAAUUGUCAGUUUUCAAGAAAGUUCUCUCAUUUUCAUGAGGUGCCUCAAGAUUCUGAGAGGACACAAUUGCUUCCGACUGCGGUGUUCCGAUAUGACUAUGAACUGCAGGUUGGGCACCAGCACCUUGUUCCAUAAUGCGUUCUCCCGAGGCACCAGUUAUCAUAACCCUGUUCAUAGGGGGGGCUUUCAUGGUAUCUUCUAAACGAAGACUAUGAUUAAGUGAGUUUGAAUAGCUCAUUCCAGAUUCUCUUGGGGCCGGUACCAAAGGAUCUGAAUGUGCAUGAGGCAGUGCUUUCUGACACAUAUAACAGUCCUCCAUUCUUGGAAUUUUCUCAGGGAAAAGUACCUGUUGAUGAGACACUGACCCAUCAGAGUAGACAACAGGCUCUGGCUGAGGAACUUGUGUCCAGCCAUAGCCUCCAACAACUGCAGGAGGAAGUUGAGCCCGAUAUGCAUUGUAGCUUGAGUCAACAGGAACCUGAACAAUCCUUGUUCCAAAUGCAUUUUCUUCAGGAUAGUGCUCCAAGCGAGUUUGUUGGGGUUGAAUCAAUGGUUGAACCACAUUUGGCCUUAUAGCCAUAUGAGAACCUGAGGGUGUCAUAGUCAUAUGCACUGCAGGAACAUAUUGAAGUGAAGUAGCACCUGCAUUACUCUCAUGAAAAUGCUGUUGGGUGAAUAUGGGCCCCGGAGUUCCAAGCACAUGAUUAUUUGGAAAACCCAUGAGGGGAGGAACAUGCCUAUAAUCUGCCUGAUUCAUAUUUUCUUGACGAGGAUCUACAUACGCCCGCGAUUGAGGUGCAUGUGGUAGAAUGCCUGACCCAACUUGCUGGAAAUCAUGGACCCUAUGCUGCGGCUGUGCAGUAACAGGAACGGACCUCUCAAAUUCAACCUCAGGCUGAGAACAUGAAGUCUGCGGAGGACCGGACUUAGCCAAUGGAAUCCCCAAUGGAACUGCAGAUACACCUGCAUAAGCUGGGGGGUUGGUAUCUGCAAAGACUAGUUUUGGAGUAGAAUCAUGAGAAGCAUCCAAAUUAUCCCCAGGGGAUAACAGGCUGGUAGAUGGUGACCAAGUCACAUCCCCUUGACCAGGACCUGAGCUCUCAACAGCCUCAGUCCCACUAAAAUCAGAGUUUUGCGUUGAAGUUACACUCGCCAUACUCCCCUUCCUAGUGAUACGACCACCGCCAUCCACAACCCCAUUUACUGCAUCAAAAUAUCUCUGCCCGCUAUCAUGUAAAUCUCCAAAUUGGACUGAACCAGAAGCAUCGAGCUGUGAAUCCGAAAACAAAAACACCCUUAACUUAGCUGACCCAUCUGAAGACCUCUCAAGCAACUUCUCAUAUUCCUCCAUCAUAUUAUCAAGAUCAUCAGCACAUGAAACAGACACCAAUGCAUCAAGGUCCUCAUCAGGAAGCUGGUAUUUAAUAACAACAGGCUGCUGAUAUGUAUCCAUCAUCUUCCGCUGCAGCUCAUUAAUGCUCACAUCUCUCCUCACACUAAUAAUCCUUGUUUGCCCUCCAGCAUAUCUCAACGUACCAUCACUUGGUCUUGGCAAAAUCUUCCCCCCAAAACUACACAAAAACUUCACUUUCUUCCCCGACACUGAAUCAUCCCCACCAUCUUCACUCCCAUGGUCAGCCCCACCACUAGCGUGACUCCCCAAAUUGGUAUUACAACCCAGCCCCGUAUUUACUGCCUCAAUGCUCCCAUUAACAUUAACCCGAUUCCCAAAAUUGGGUGAAGAACCAGAUCCCAACACCAUAUCAUUUCCGGCACGAUCAACAGCAUUACCAACUAUCCUGUUCCCCAAAUUAGGAUUAUAACCAAACGGAACACCAGAACCAUUUGCACCCACGUUCAUACUCCCAACCGACACGGGAACCGGCAUGAGUGGGGCCCACGGGGCAGCCCCGGAAUAAGCAUUCCCAUAUCCUAAACCUACAAAACCAGCAUCAGACACCGAUGCCGGAUAGAUAACAGGAAUAGAACCUUCUGGGCUGGCAAAAAACUCAUGUUUUCUACCAGCUGUUACUGGUGUAGUGACAGAACUACUAGUAGCACUAGCAAUAGCAGCCACAAUGCGGGGCUCUUCAGGUAUGGUUCUAGCUAUGUUUAAUGGCCUUGUAUCUUUUGGUGUUGGGGUCUGAUCAAAAGCCAUAAAUAAACUUAAAAUUGAAGAGAUAAAAAAUCAAUCUUUAUUCACAAACUUAGGGUUUCCCAAAUGGGUUUUCCUCUACACAUUCACUACUCUCAUAAACCCUCACAAGAUUUUGCAAAGACAGGGACAGACAUAAAUAACCCAAAGACAGAGUCAAACAAAGAGAAAGAGAGAGACCAAGUUACCAGAUUUGAACGGUGACUACCAAGGAUAGAUAAGAAUAAGAAAAGAUGACACAUAUAACAGCAGCUGAGUCGGUGCAGCAGCAGCAGCUGAGUCGGUGCAGCAGCAGCAGCAGAAUUUGAAAAGAGCUUAGCCAAAUUCAGGGCUUUGUUUGGAAGAGGGUGAAUCGUAUUAUUUUAUUUCUCUGUGUUUUGUUCUGUGCAAUCGGUAAUGGGACUGGUCGUUUUGGUUUUGAUCUUGUUGUGUUUUCUUUAUUAUGACUUAGGUUUUAAGGAAGGAAGGAGAGGGAGAGAGGGAUUUCGGCAACGAGGCACGUGGACCGUUUCAUGCAGGUUGAGUUAGAGGUCAAAUGUAUGUGUUCUGUACGUUUGUUUGCUUGCCUUUUUGAGUGGGAAAUUGGAAAGUGACGAGAUUGAGUGAGAGAGACUUGAGAGAGAGAGAGAGAGAGAUUCAAGGGAAGGUGCGGGAUGGCAGGAUCUACCUAUAUUCUACUAAAAAAAAAUUAAAAAAUAAAUUCACAUCUAUAAAAUAUAAAAUAAAAGAAAAGAAAACAUAUAUAUUUAUUGUUGAGUCAAUCUAUUAAAACUGGUUUAAGUGUGUGUUUUGGUUAAUCAAACUAAUGAAGUGUUGUUGUUAAUCAAACUAAUGUCCGUAUUAUUUUAUUUGAAAAAGAAAUUAAUGUCAUUUUAUAAUUAAUAAAAAUAAAAUAAAAUUUGCUUGCAAACCAAACUAAAUUAAAUCGAGUUGAUGGGCGUUUCAUUCACGAAUAUUUUGAGUGUAGCGAGAGAGAAAAUUAUGGUAUUUCACGGCUUUGUACUUAGAAUAAAAAAACAAACUAGAUAGGUACCUUCACUUCCGCACGUCUUUUAUAAUUAUUAUCAUUUAUAGAUAAUGCAUGUAGAAAAAUAAAUAAAUUAUAUAUAUAUAUAUAUAUAUAUAUAUAUAUAUAUAUAUAUUAUUGUAAUUCACUGCGUACUUUCUUGAUUUGUCUAUUCAAAGGUUGGUGGUGUUUCGCAUCAUUUUUUCUAUUUUAUAUUGGUUUUUAAAAAAACUUUUUCUACAAAGAAAAAAAUAUUUAUUAAUAUUCAAUUGUCAUGUAAAAAAUAAAUUGAAAAACAAUAUGGUUUGACCCGUUUACCAUGGCUGCGUAAAUUAAAAAACGGAGUAAUGAAUAUUGAUCAUAAAUGGUUAAUUUGGGCCCACUUCUUAGUUUAUCUAUACCUGACUUUCAACUCCUCAUGACCAUUUAUCUCAUUCCACGCUACAUUACAGAUCGAUUUAUUUUUUACAAUAUAAAAAAUAUGCUAGGAUGGUAUAAAUAUUUUUUUAAAAAAAAAGUAAAACAAGAACGAGACUCCAGACACUAUCUCAAUUAGAUUUAAUAAACUCUGCUAGAUUAAAAUUAUAUUUAAUAAUUCUGAUUAAUUUAAUAAUAUGAAUAAAAAUACAACAAUAAAAAAUAAAAUAAUUAAAAAAUAAUAAUUAAAAAGUUUAAAAAGACCCAACCCAGGCCCGUUCAGGUUUGCACGUCAAAUAUACGACUUAAAUUACUAAACAACCAAAUAUUGGAUGAAACUAAAAAAAAUAAUUAUUUUUAAAAAACCAACGAAACAAAAUUUGAGUCAAAUAAUGUUUACCUGUUAACCCCGCGAUCAUGAGUAUAAAAUUAGAAAAACCCCAUAAUAAAAGCACGAAGAUCAAUUCUCAAUUAAGUAAAUAUUAAACAAUGAAAUUGAAAUAAUUUUUUUUUAAAAAAUCAAAUGCUAGAGAAAAAAUCAAAUGAUAAUGCAAUAAACUCAUAGAAAGUAAAAUAGAAAAGAUUUAAAGUUCGAUUUAUAGUAAACAAAAUAUUAAAGGAUAAAAUCAAAGAAAAAUUAAUCCAAAAAAGGUCAAAAAACCCUAACCUAAGUCCACCCGGGUCAGCAUGAAAAACCUGUGACCUAGUUGUGAUAUUGGGGUAAUCCUAUCAAAAAUAAAUUGAAUAAACUUUAAAGUUUAAUUAUCAAACAAUUUAAUAUUAAAGAGUAAGAUAACUCGGGUUCUUUUUAAAAUUAUUGAAAAAUCUAAUGGAAAGAAAAUUUAAAAAACAACAGGGUCCAAAUUCCAAUUAAAUAGGUAUUGAAUAAUGAAACUAAAAAAAACAAAAGCUUAAAAAAAAUCAAAAAAAUUUAGAUAAAAUUCUUAAAUCUGAGUUAAUUUCUCAAAUUUUCAACCAGAUGUAACCCAUUUUUUUUAUUUUAUUCAGUAAAAAAAAUAUUAUUAAAAAUCACGUCCACAACAAUUAAAGCAUGAAAAUUAAAAAUAUAAAUUUAUAAAUCAUUACAUCAUACGAUAAUAAAACAUAAAAAGAAUCAAAAUGAUAAUCUACACAUGAAAUGAUAUACAUGCAUUAAUAAAAAAAUCUGAAUCGGGUCCAAGUCGAUGAUGGAAAUCACUCUCAUUCCAUCCCAACCUUAACAAAACCAAAUUUGAUUUUACCAUAUAUGAUUUGACGUUAGUCAAAUCAAGUUAAAACUCAACCUAACUAAAUUAAAUUAAUUUUUAUAGACUGAAAUUACUAUUUUUAAUACAAGUUAAACUCAAAAUUGUUCGUAUAAUAUAUUGAUUUGAUAUUUAUAUUCUGUAUAUUUCUUUUGAUUUGUUAUAUUCCUUAAUGAUAUUUUUUUGGCUUAUUAUGUCUCUUGAGUUAAAUAGUUAUUAAAUCAUAAUUAGUUGCAAGCACAUGAAAUAUUUUUUAUAUGACAAGUGUAUAAGAAAAUUAUUUUUUAGUGAAAAUUCUCUUCAACAAAAGAACAACAAAAAUGAAAAAAAUAUAUAAUAUUAAGAAAAAAAACACUUAAAAGUGAUUUUUAAUGGAAAAUAUAUUAAAAUAAUAUUUUUUUUACAUUGGCACAUCAAAAUUAUAAAAAACACCUAAAAACCAUUAAUUUAAUGUUUAUUAUUUUUAGGUAAAAAAUAAUUUAAAAAACAUAUUGAAAAGUGGAUUGAACCACAUUACCAAAUAGAGAUUUGAUUAAAUAGUUCUUUUUUCAUCUUAGAUGCAAACUGAUUAUUUUGAAUGUGCCUGUUAGGGGUUUUGGCCUUUUGGAAGGGAAAGUUGUUUGUCGAGUUUUCUUAAAGAUGACUACGAGCGUGUUUGACAGUGUGGUUGCGAGUACUUUUCAAAUAACUUUUCGUGCCAAAAUGCAUGUCAAUGAUGUUUUUUUCAUUUUUAAAAAAUCAUUUUUGACAUCAGCACAUCAAAACAAUCCAAAACAUACAAAUCAUAUUAAAUUUUAGCAAAAAAAAAAAAAUUCAAUUUUUUUGGGAACGCAGCCGCGUUCCCAAACGUUCCCUACAUCGGUUGCUUGCUAAGAUGAGUGAAAGAGAAACUAAGUGCAUGUUUAGAAGUGCAAUAGCUUCUCUUUUUAAAUGCUUUUCAAAAUUGUUUUUUUUAAUAAGUUAAAAUGAUUUUUUUUUGAAUUUUUUAUUUUUAACAAUAACAUAAAAAACUAUUAAAAAACACUAAAAAAACUUUAGUGACAGUUUUAAAAUAAACUCAAACACAAUUUCAAUUGUGAUGUCAAACGAUCAUUAAAGUUGGUGGUGUGAUGUCGCAAUGACUGAGAUAAAAGAAGGAUUGAUGGUGGUGACUGCUACUUUAGUGGCCAUGGUCAAGGCAACAAUGUGUGUGAGAAGGUGAGGAAUGGAGUUGUGAUUGAAUUCGUGUGUGUUUAUUAUUAUAGUGCAAAGUGUUAUUUACUUGAAAAUGGUUUUUUUAUGUUUUUUUUUAAUUUUCAUUAUUAACACAUUAAAACCAAAAAAAAAAUACUAAGAAAGCAUCAAUUUGAUGCUUUUUUAAAAAGUAAAAUUCAUUUUUAAAACGCAUAAGAAAAGACAAAAAACUAUCUCAUUCUCAAACACUCCUGAAGAAGAAGAAAAGGUUGUGACAAUGGUUGUGGGCUGUUUUGGAUAGCUUAAACAAUGUGGAGAGACAUUAAGAGUUUUUACUUUUUUUCAUCAUUUUUUUUUGAAGAAAUUCAUAUAAAAAUAAUUUUUUUUAUUUUGUUUGUGAUGUUAUAAUUUUAUUUUUAAUAUAAUACGUGCAUUUAUUUUUGUUCUUCCCCUCCCCUCCCAAGAGGUUCAAUUAAUGAAAGUCAUAGACUAACAAAAUUGCUCUCUAUUUCAUUAAUUAUAAGUAAAUCUAAAAGGUUUGGGGAAGCUAACGUGCAUAUAAUACAUUGUGGAUUCUUUUAUAUGGACUAUUUACAAUGCCUUUUUUUAUCUUUUUUUUUAUUUAGAUCUUAUUGGACUAAAUUGUAGGUCAAUUAAGGCUAAUUUAUCAGGGAAAUAAGAGAUUGAAAGUCAGGGGACUAAAAUGAAAAAAAAGAUGAAAUGAAUGAUUUUUUAGAAUUUUAGGGUGAAAAAUCUAUUUUUCACUCAAAAACAAAACCAAUAAAAGAUAUUUUUUUUUAAUUCUUUUUUGAUAUUAUUGUUUUUUCAAUUUCAUUAUUUGACAACUGAUUUAUUGAAAUUUAGACUUUGUGGUUUUUCCAAGUUCAAUGUUUUUUAUUAGAUGACUUGCGUCACAAGUUUUAUAAGCUAACACAGGUUUACAUUGUUCUUUUUUGUUUUUUUAUCUCAAUACUCAGCAUUUUUUUAAAAAUAGAAUUCAUGGUUUAAUUUGUUUAUUUUUUUAUAGGGUUAUCCCGAUCUCAUAACCUGACUUAUGUGUUUAGCGGGUUAACCCGAGUGGACUCACUCUUUUUUUAAUUAUUAUUUUUUGUUCUUUUUAUCCGUUAAUCUUAUUGAUUUUUUUUAAAAGAAAUUUAUUAUUCAAUAUUUGAUUUGUUGAGAAUUUACCUUCAUGAUUUUUUCUUAUGUGGUGCUUCUGAUCAAAUAUCGUGGUACAAAGAUUGACAUCAAUUUUUUUUUUUUACUUAUUUUUUCAUUCAACAUUGAUUUUUUAAGAAUUGCAUCAAAUGAUUUUUUUUGUUUUACUUUCUGUCGUGUUAUCUGGAUCUCAUUACUUGAUCCGUAGAUUUAACGGGUUGACUCGAUUGGCUCAGACUUUUUUUUGGCUUAUAAUUACUUUUUUUUAACCAUUAUGUAUGUUUUAUUUUUUUUUUAAUUUUAUCUUUCAACAUUUGAUAGUUAAAUAUUAGACUUCAAGGUUUUUUCAAAUUUGUUGCUUCUAGUCAAAUGAUCAGCGUCACAGGCUUAACAGAUUAACACGAGUUGAUAAUUUUUUUAGCUUAUUUUUUUUUUUAUCAUUCAACUUUAGUUUUUUUAUUAAAUAUUGGUUUUUCCCCUUCUUUAAAAAGCAAUUGCGUAGCGUAGCCUAAACAUAAUUGUUUUUCUUAAUUUUCUUUUCCAACAUGUGGUAUGUUCAUGUGGUAGAACAUGGGUCACACACCUAAUUCAAUUCUAUUCCUAAACAAAUUUAGAUCCCAUAAUUCACAAUAAUUUUAUUUAAUCAAUUAUACUUAGUAGUUUUCAACAUCAAGCAAUACUAAGCUCGAAAUAAUCCCUUAAAAUAUAUAGAAAAAAUGCCAUUUUUAAUUAACAAGUGAUCAUAAUGGAGUAGGCAUAUAUUAGGAGUCACAUCUAGUUACAAUUUUGUGACUGAAGAGACAAAAACAAAUUAAAGGAGACAAAUGAGAUAUCUCUCAGUGCUUUUUAUUUAAAAAAUACAGAAAUUUAUUACAAAAUUUUUAUGUAGACAAAUUUAUUACAUGGCUUCAAUGCUCUUAUUUAAAAAAUAUAAAAAUUCACUACAAAAUUAUAAACAAAUUUAUUUUAUAUCUUCAUCUUUAUAUACGUUUUUAUUUUUUCUUUCUUGAAACAUUAACAAAACACACCUUUAUGAGUUUUCUUAUAACGUUAUAUUAUUAUAUAGUGAAUCGCUUACAUUUAAUAACUAAUUUUUUUUAAGAACAUGAUUUCAUUAGAGAGAAUCUCUCGAUAGAAUUAAUAUUAAUUUUAAAAAAUAACAAUACUCCCUGCGACUCGGAGAUUUUCCUGAUGAUGUUGCAACUAGAAGAUUUUGGGAAAAAUAAUGAAAUUAGUGUUGUGUUGUGCAAUGGAAAGCCAUGAAUGAAUGAUAAAGUAUGUAUGUAAUAUGCAUAGGUGCAUGGUGGUUAGCAGGAACAAUUUUGUAUUCAGUUUGUUCGUGCUACUUUGUUGAAAAUUAUUAAAUUAUAUUUUCUCUAUUUAAUUUGUUUGUUUAAUUACUUUUGAUCUUCCUAAUGGAUUACAAGUCAAGAGUAGGUAAAACCAGGGAGACAAACAGCAAAUAAAUUUAAGGUCUUUUCAGAAUCCUUUACAGAAACAUCCAACAAUGGAGGACAAGCUAAGGAUCUCAAUUUUAGUUGGUGCAAAUUGGAAGAUAAUCAUAAAGUGCAAGAAUUCCUGACUUUCUUGGUGAGGCAGUGUCGAAUGCGCGUGAAUCUUUGAAAAAACAAUAGGGAUAAAGUGGAAAAGGAAAAAUCAAACUGAAGUAGACCUGACGUAUGAUUUUUUUUUAAUGAUCCAAAGAACAUUAAAGUUUGGUUAAUUAAAUUAAUUAAAGUGAAAAAUGAAAUGGGAUAUUCUCUCUUUCAGUAAACUGCUGUUUGUUUCCUCCACCACAAGAAACUUCGUUUCCCUACUGGUCAAAUCUGUUCAAUAUUUUGUUUCAAUAUAGUAUUAUUAUCUCUAGAUAAGUUUUCGGACUCCAUUAUCACCUUUAUCCUUUAUAUAUAUAUAUAUAUAUAUAUAUAUAUAUAUAUAUAUAUAUAUAUAUAAAGUUUUCGUAGUUUGGAUUUUGUGAUCGCAAAAUAUAUCCCUUCCUUGAGUAAAAAAAUAGUAACCCUCUUGGAUUUAUCACUGUUUUCUCCUGGUAAAACCUUAAUUUAUUCGCUUUAGAUAUGGGGAAAGUACUGUUGAUCUUCAUUAGCAGGAUUAAAAUUAUGUCAUGAGAUUAAAAUCUUACUAACAAUCCAGGAUUAAUUAAUAGAGGACAUAAAACAAAUUGAUAUAUACUAUAAUAUUUAAUAAUCUAAAAUCAAGAAGGAAUGCAUGCUGGAAGUUUACUACGAAAAAGAUUUUCCAACCACCAAAAUCUUGCAGACCCAUGCCGUGGACCAGAAGGUGAGCCUAUUAUGUGGGGUACGUGGUGUUCCCUAAAUCCAUAAAUGAUGUGGAAUUCUAACGUACGUGUUUAUCAUUUCUUCAGGUUGCUGCACGUCGGCUCUCCGGGAUGGUGUGGUGCACUUCUCUGGAUGGAGCUAUGGAAAUCCACCACUCCAUGCAGGGUUAAAUUUCAACGGGAUUAUACUCCAGCAUCCAUAGGCAUAUAUCCUUGCAAGAAAAUGCUCUAAUAUGAUCAUUAAUACUGGAAUAGCACUGGCCACUCCUGCAGUACUGGACCAUCAAAUAGUAUGGCGAGCGUUAAUUAGCUUUGCUAAAGGCACAACAACGACGGAAUACACGACGGUACUGUCACCAAAUACAUCAGCUAGCGACUCCACGUACACCGACAAGUAUAUAUGAUAGUAACAAUUACCCUAUGGCAAGAUGUGUCACUGUGGACUCCUAGCUACGAUAUCAGCAACGGUGUUGUUUUCAAUUUACGCAAUUCAUUGAUAGAAAUCACUGGAAAAUUCUCUCAUUCGUUAUGAAGCUAUGGGAAUCUUUCAGUAGAUUCAUUAAUUAGAUAAGGAAAAAAAACCUUUUUGACUCCCAGAAUUUGAUAAACGUAACCGAUCAGUGAAGGCAUCUAAUAUUUCCCAAUUUCCAUGCCCUUGUGGGGUCUCUGGCACGUUAGCCUGGCUACCAGUAUCGCAGUCAACACAAAGGAUAUUGUCAUGCAGAGACUUGGGGUUGGGGGUAGGGAAAAUCCCUUGCUUUUGCUUCCUACCAUACCUUGUGGGCUGUUUGAACUUUUGAACGUUUUGAUUUCUUGAUUUGGUCUCGCAAGUGGAUAAAUCGGGACCCUGAAAUCAUGGAAUUCAGUGGUAAUUAAGAUCCGUGACCAAGUCAAUGGACGGCAUAAAAUUUUGGAUAAAAGAGCUAUAUCCUAAUGGCAGAAUCUAGCCACAGCAAAAGAUAGCAAGUACUAUAUAAAAAGAACACCAAUUAUGGCAUUUUAACAUGAUCACCAUAGUUGGAAAGAUAUGAUAAUCAACACUUAUUGAGCAACUUUUGUAGUACGCAGCAUGUGUAGUGUUUCCAGAAUCUAUAGCAAUGAUGAUUCAUGGGAUAAAGGUUUACGCGUUUUAUGCUUCCACUUUGCAAAAUUAUUUAUGAUCACGGGAUUGAUCUGAUAUCGACCUAUGAUGCAACUAUUGAAUCAUUUCAUAUCUUCUUUGCCACUAUCCUUUUGGUUUUGUAGUUUUCCGGUGUAGUGAUCCCAGCUAAGUUUUACAGCAAAUCAAGUAAAAAUUAAUAUAAUUAAGUUUAGUUAAUUUCACAAGUUAAUUCAAUUAAUUCAAUCAAAAUUUAAAAGAAAUAUGGGUUUGAUUUCCUAGUUUUUUUAAAAAAAAUUUAUUAGAAAAAUAUUAAAAUAACUAAAUUUAAAUUUACUUGAAUCAAUUUAGAUUAAUCUAUUUAAUUUAUAACCCGAAUCUUAAUCCAAUAAGAGCCAGAGCAAGAUUUAAUAAACAUACCACUUCCUUAACAAUUGAUUGUUGGAUCUUAUAGCAAUAUUUUCGUCUGUAACCAAAGAAAGAAAUAUCUUUCUUAAUAGUUUUUAAUUUACGAUCAAAACUGUCAAACAUCCAUUAUUGAAAUAAAAAAAUGUCAUCACUGUGCAAAAACAAAUAAUUAUUUUUCUAUUUUUGUUGGUGAUCAUGUAUAUAUAGUGGCAACAAACUAGCUAGCACGCUGUGUUUUAUGUGAAUUUUUUUUUCUACUAUGAAGGAACCCCAUGGCCAUGGACGUCCAAGUGGCAUCUCAACAUUUGUAAGGAAAGAGGUGUCGGCCUCAUGGCUACCAAAAGCAGUUCCAAAUGGACGGCAUGGCCAUGGUCCGUAAGGCCUCUCACCAUUUGUAAGGAAAGAGCUGUCUGUGUCUCUCUCUUUAUGACACUGUCAAAAUCCUGUAAUGUUGUCACGAAAUGACUGCUUUCUAACGACUAGGACCUCUCCAUUUUGUCUUGUCUCAGGAACAUUUCUGCGUUUAUAACGAGGAAGUUGGCCAUCAGAUCUCUCCUUUUGCCAACCAGAACCUGAAAGGAUUCUGUAUAUUCUAAAUUAAAGACAAAUUUCAUAUUCGAUUCUGGUGUUUGUAAUAAUAUGCUAAGCAUUGAAAAGUAAAGAUUCUCACAUUUUCUUUCAUUAUAUCUCAUAUUACUUGAUGAAAUUAAACAGAAAAAAAGGGGUGUAAAGUUUGAAAAAUCAAUGAUUCAUGGAAAAGCUUCUCCAUGUUAGACCCAUCAGGCCUAAAUCUCUUCAGUAGGGCUUAGUUGUGGCUGAAAAAUGUAUAUACCUAAAGUUUUGGGUUAACUUUUCUCUUCGAGCCCAAUAAGCUUGAAAAAUGAUGGCCCAAAUACAUCAUUAACAGAAGUAAACUCAAGAGUCCAUCAUCCCUAGAAGCAAGGCUAAAAUGGCAAAGGAUUUAGGGCUUUAGUUAGAGUUGAUUUGAAUGUUUUAUACUUUUAGUUAUAAAUAUAUUAAAAUAAUAUAUUUUUUAAUUUUUAAAAUUUAUUUUUAACAUCAAAACUAUAUAAAAAUAUAAAAUUUUUGUUUUUAAAAAAUACUUUACAUCACAAAAACAAAUGAGAUGCCUUAAUGGUGUUUUAGACUUUCUACUAAUUUUUUUUUUUUUUUUUUAUCAUAGAGUUCUGCCACGUAAAAGAAGAAAAGAACUUGCAACUUUCAAUAUUGACAGCAAUCCUGUUGACGACUAGCAAGUUCCUUUCUUCUUUUGUUUUUUUGGCAAGGCAACUCAGUGAGUUGCAUAAGAAAUCUCGAAGGUCAUAUGAGAUUUCCUGCCAUACUAUGGGCCACCCAAUCUUCCGUAUUACAUGGUUUGUGGUUCAAAUGGGAGUCUGCAAAAAAAUUAAUUUUUUUUACUUAAAAUUAUUAUUAUUUUUAAAUAAUUUUGAUGUAUUGAUGUUAAAAAUAAAUUUUAAAAAAUAAAAAAAUAUUAUUUUAAUAUAUUUCUAAAAAAACAUUUUAAAAAUAACCCUAUCAUACUUCUAAUCUUUAUAAUAAUGUUUUCAAAAUCAAUUGUUUCGGAUCUGGGUUGUUUUGAAUUUUGAUUGUGGUGAGGCAUGAAAUUUGGAUUCUUAUACAAAACCUGCUAGAGUCUACCUUGCCCAAACCCUCUCCGCAUCCCAAGUCGCCUACUAUUGGUAUACCAAUUAUGCUGAUACACUGAUCAAGAAACUAUGACAGUGCAAAAAAUAAUCAAUGAAUGACAGUUAUGUAUGCUUGCAACUCAAUCAUUUCUUCUUCCUCUGCUCUCCAGUACGAGCCAUCUCCUGCAAAACCGAGUUGCAGAAAUGUUCAUCUUCUUUUUUGAAAAAGAAAACUCCCAUAAAUGUUAUCACAAAGGAUUGAUAUGGUAAAACAGUAAGCGACUUGCCAUGCGUCCUCUCUUGAUGAACUAGUUGUGUAUUUCUUUUUCAGUGGAUUGGCCACUCACCCCUUCUUAGUGGAUUGAUAGCCUAUCGAUCCUCCUGAAUCGGUCGUCCAUCCCUCUUCUACGGGUUGACCAUGUGUUCCUCUCAGUGGACCAGCCAUGUGUCUCUCCUCCAUGGAUUAACCAUGCAUCCCCUGAACUGGUCGUUUAUCCCUCCGACGAACUUAUGAUGUGUCUCUUCUCAAUAACCAAUCGUGCAUCCCCUCUCAUCGGACUAAUCAUGCGUUCCUCGUCAAGUCUUGUACUCUUGAUCAGGGAUGGACGAGCAGCACACCCCUACUAGAUAUGGACAGCAUAUAUUAAACAUAUCUGUUCUUGAGUCACCAACGUGCCAAGGAGACAAAUAAUGUUUGCCAUGAACAUCAUCUUGUGUCCAGUACACUGUCAUCCUCUAAAUUUGACCAUACAGUCACUUCUUACAAAAAGCAAAGCCCGUACCUUGAAGAUUAGCUUUACAGUAGUUCCAUUUAUCUUACGGGAUCGUGUUCUUUAGUUUAAAAUUGCAUACCUUACGCAAAUCAUCACCUUUUCACUUAAUCUACAACGAACUGAUCACAAGACUAAAAAAAUUAAUGAUCUUGAGUCUCGAGGUUAUGGGCCUCCCUUGAUCUCCCAAUCUCAUUCUUUUUGUACUUCUUCCACCACCUUUUUUCUCAAGCUUUGCUCUUCAUAUAUCUCUUAAAUCUUUUUUUCCUCCAUCAUCAAUGCCAGCUUAAACAAUGGAGGAUCUCUUAUCAUUUCAAGGAAUUUUCCUUUGUUUCGCAAGUCUUUCUUUGUAUAAAAGCUCCAAUUUUUCUGCGGUUCUAGUCUACAAGCACUCACAAUGGAGGUUUUUAUACAACCUCAUCAUACUAUUUUCAGAACUGGAUCAUUAUAACUUGACCUUAACUUUAACCCGCCAGGUUCGAAUUAUAGGUAUAAGAGUUUUUUUUUUCCUCGCAAGAGAAAAAAUUCAACUAUUAUUAUAGAUUUACAUACAUGUCUAUGAAUUAUAAAUAUAAUAAGAAAGCUAAAACAGAAGGGAAAAAUAUUGUGGCUAUAGGUUCGGUUUACUAUUCAUCGCUUGUAAUUAUAUUUUUAUCUUUCUAAAAAAAAUCAAUGAACUUGUCUCUUAAAAAUAAUUUGAUCUUUGCAUAUAAUUUAUUAAUUAUUAUAAAAUUAUCUAAAGAUAACUGGAUCUUUUUAUAUUUUUUUACGCAGUUAAAUUAUGAAUUUAUGUGGAAACCAUACAAACAGUUCGUCGACUUGAAUCAAUAAACUAACAUUGCAUCUGGUGAAAUGAAACUCAUAAAAUAGCUUCAUUUACUCCAAAAAAGUUUAUAUCAUCUUCAUUAAAAAACGAAAGAAAAAGGGACAAAUUACUCCUCUUGGGAUUAAUUCCGUCAUGGGUAUGAAAAAUUUAUAUAUGAGUUUACAUUGAAUAUUUCUACUUCACAAUUUGAGACGAAACCCCCCCUCAACUCCACUAUAACUAGGCAUUAAUCGCUCAUUUUUUAUUUAAUUUAAUUUAUUUUUUUUGCCUUGAGAAGCAUAUAUUGCCUCAAAUUGAACGAAAUAAAAUAACAGGAAAGGGUUAAAAAUCAAACCAACCUUAAUUUGAAUAGCCUGUCAAAAUACAUUCAUCUACCCGUAGAUAUAUAUAUCAAUAUCUCUAGUUGGUGAAGGAGGCAGCCUUGAAGAAAAAUCCAUCAAACGAGAAUCACAACUACGAGUACCAUCAUCAUUUCCUUUACCUUCAUCAAAAUUCAAGGCAUAACUCGUAGCAUCAUAGUGAAAAUUCGCUGACAUAGUAUGACGUCUCCUAUGCCCACGACCAUGUCUAUGUCCAUGCUUCCCUAUACACGACAAAUAACUCGUCUUAUUACCCCUAAUAUCCCCAUGGGAUUCAGCAUUCAUCGCCUCUUGCACCGCAUAACGAUCAUGCUUCUGAUGAAUAUGUUUCUCCGAGUUAUUAAAUGUGACAUGAUGAUGGUGGUGGUGAUUGUGUUUUUGGAAGGAACAUAAUGUAGAUUUCAGCUUGUGUUUCAGAGAUGAAGAGGACGGAGAAUUAGGUUCGCUUAUUGAUGCCAUUAUGCUUUUGUGUGAGAGAAAGAUAGGAGAGGAAUAUAAAUCUUUUUUGCUUUUUUUUAGUAUUUAUAAGUGCUAUUGGUGCGGGGAGGUGGGAGCUAUCUAUAUUGAGAUUUGGAGGUUGAGGGGAAAUGUGAGAUCGUGAAGAAAUGAGGCUCUCUAGUGGUUGUUGUUGCCUGAUUUGGGGAGAUAUGGAGGAUUUUAUUUUAUUCUUCUUCUUUUUUUGCUCGAUGGGUUCAAAGUGCAUAUAGUAAACAAUUCAUUACCUAUACUUUGCAAAGUCUCCUUUUAAACCCCUAUAGAUUUAAACUCUUCGUUUUGAAUUUCUGUACAUUUAAGUAAUUAAUAGAUCACUUUUCAAGAGUGGAGUGACCUCAAAUAAAAUUAAAAAUAUGCUAAAAAAUAAUAUAAAUUAUAUUUUAGAAAUUAUAUUUUGAAGUCACAUCUAAAAAUUUAAGUUAUUUGAUUGAAUUCGUUAUUUAAUAUGGUAUCAUAUCUUUGUCGAUCAAGUAGUCAUGAUUUCGAAUCCCAUAAUUUUUAUUUUAUUUGAUAAAAAUUAAACAUAAAAUAAUGUAAGCUUAUGUAAAUUUCAAGCUCGAAGAAUUUUUAUUUGAAAAUGUAUGCUAGAGAAUAAUAUAAAACUAUUAUCGGGAUCUCAAAAAAACUAGAUGUAACUAGAUAUAACUCCUCUCUGUUUUUAUCACAAAAUUAAAGGCAUAUGAUAGAGCUUUUUAAAAAAAAAAAUUAAAAACCUUUUUUCCAAAUUGAUUAAUACAGUAAUAAAAAAAUAAAAAUGUAUUUUAUAUUUUAAGGGCCGCAUAGCAUGCAAAAUUACUGAGCUGAAGGGAUAUCAUGCAGGAGGAGUACAUAAUCUUUAUUUUAUCCCUCCAGUUUCUCUUAUGUUAUAUUUUGUAUCGGUAAACUACAAUAUAUAUAUAUAUAUAUAUAUAUAUAUAUAUAUAUUUUUUUUUUUAUCUCUGAGAGAAAGAAACCACAAGAAUGUGUUUUACUGCUGAAUUCGUUAAGAAUUCUAUAAUCUAAUUAUAUUUUAGGAGAACCUAAAUUAAUUUCCCUAACAUAAUCUAAAAAUAAUUUAAUUAACUUUGAUGGUAAUUAUUAAUGGAAAUAAAAAUAAAAAAGUUACUACUUCAAAUCCAAUACUAUCCCAUGAUUUGUUUUUUCUUUUUGAUGAUAAUUCUACUCAAUUUCAUUACAUCCUUUUGCUUUUAUUUCAUUAUAAAUUCCAUAUUUUCCAUUCAGCAGUUCACUCUGCUUAACUAAAUUAUAAUUUGCAAGUUACAUUUUCCUCUCACAAUUUCGCCCUAAUUAUUUAUAAUAAAUAAAAUCCGAUACCAAGCUUAUGUUUAUCUGAAAUAUUCUCCAAACUUACUAAAAAGGAAUAAUAUUUCCAACUUCAAAAAUCAUAAUCAAUUAAAAUAUUUAUUACGAAUAAUAAAUAUUCCACAACUUGCUCAUUCAAGAUUGAAUAUAUUUCCCAAAUAGAAUCCACUUUAUUAAGGUCAAAUUAGAUAAGAACCACCAAUACUAUAUUGUUCUGAGUAUUAAUGAGUUUUUUUUAAUUGGUUUUUUUAAAAAUAUAUUAAAAUAAUAUUUUUAUUUUAUUUUUUUAACUAAAAACAAACAGUGCCGAAGGUUAAAUCAAGUCUCGUCAGUUUUGUCCCUCACAAUUCACGAAGACACAUUGUUGUCUUCCUACGUGGGUUCUUGGGCCCCCAUUUCUAUACCCAAAAAAUCUAACAUAUUUUGACGAAAGAUGAGCCGGUCGGUAUCGCUAGCUGCCAAGUCUUGGAUGGCACCCAGCCUCUAUGAAUCAUGGCAGUCGUGACGACUAGUUCCUCACGAUUAUCAUUUAUGAAUUAAAUAAACCAUAUGUUUUAUCAAUUGGAUCUUAUAUUUUCAUCUGGGAAGUUUCAUUCACAGUAGGAAUUUAAAGCCAAUUACAAAUGCAACACUGUGGAAUACAAAAAUGGCAAAAUUGACAUUUUACAUUUCACUUUGAGGACUAAAUGCAAAAUAUCAAAAAUUAUGGAGCUUCGGUUGUCCCUUUUACCACUGAUUUCAGUUUGUCUCAGAGCAGUAAAAAGAACAAAGAAAAAAAUUGAAAUCUCAUUGCAUGGGAAUUUUUUUUUUAAAAAAAAUACAUUGUUAAGGUCUCUUCAUAUUUCAACAAGGUUACUUAGAUUAGAUUGUAGGUUUGACACGAUGAAUACUCGGGCUUGACAAUGUCAACUAUCUAGGUAAUUUAAAAGCAAACAUUGCUUGGGCCAACCCUUGGGUCACCAGAGCAUUAACUCAAUCUAUUUGAUCGGGUUUGAUAAUUAUGCCAACCUUAUUUUCAUAAAAACAGAAAUCCAAGCUUUUUUUUUUUGCCCCAAAUACCCUAUUUUCAUAAUUAGUAAAUAGAUAUGACUUAUGAAAUCAUUGUUAAGGCUACGUUGUGGGUCGAAUUAAUUUUUUUCAAUGUCAAAAAAUAUUUAGGUGUUGUUAAUGUGUUUGUAGCAAAAAAAAAAUUAAACUAUAUUGGAAUUGACUUGAUGUGACAUGAUCAACUUGGCAAAUACAAAGACAACCUGAAUGACAGAUAAAAAUAUAGUUUGACUAAAAAAAUCAAGACAAUAUCUUUUUUAAAAUAUUGAAGCGACAAUAUAUUAAAUUAACUCGGGUUAACCAGUUAAAUCGAUUACCCAGGUCAUAAGACCCUAAUAACCUUAUAGAAAGCAAAUUAAAAAAAAAUCAUUAAACCCAAAUCCCAAUCAACCCAAUGUUAAAGGAUGAAAUUGUAAAUAAAAUUUAAUUAAAAAACGAGAUGAUUCAACUCGGGUUAACCCGUCAAACUUGGAUCAUGAGACAAGAAUAACCUCAUAGAAAUUAAAUUGAAACAAAUUAUAAAACUCAAUUCACAAUCACCCAAAUAUUUAGGGGAUUAAAAAAUAAAUCAAUUAAAAAAAAACACAAAACCUCACCCGAGUCAAAACACCACCUGAGUCAACCGACUAAACCGGUGACCGGGUCAUGAGAGCAUGAUAACCUUAUAGAACACAAACAAAAAAAAAUUAUGAAACCUAAUUCAUUCAAUCCAAUAUUGAAAAAUAAAAUUAAAAAAAAAAACUUGAGUCAAUCGACCAAACCUAUGACUCGGAUCACAAGACCGUGAUAACCUUAUAGAACGCAAAUCAAAGUAGAUUAUAAAAGAUUAAUUUCCAAUCAACCCAAUAUUGAAGGAUGAAAUUUUAAAAAAUCAACUAAAAAGGACAAAAACAAAUUGAUUCAAACGGUUUAACCCACGACCUGGGUCAUAACCAAAGUAGAUUAUAAAGCUUAAUUUUCAAUUAACUCAAUAUUGAAGGAUGAGAUUUUAAAAAAAUAUCAACUAAAAAGAAUUUUUUUUUUUAUUCAAGCGGUUUAACCCACGACCCGAGUUAUAACCAAAGUAGACUAUAAAGUUUAAUUUUCAAUUAAUCCAAUUUUAAAAGAUGAGAUUUUUUUUUAAAAAUCAACUAAAAAGGACAAAAAAAAACUUGAUUCGAGUGGUUUAACAUACGACUUAGAUCAUAAGACCGUGAUAACUCAUAAAAAGUAAAUAAAAAAAAUUAUGAAGUUCAAUUCACAGUUCACUUAAUGUUGAUGGAUUAGAUUGGAAAAAAAUCAAAUAAAAAAAUAAUAAAAAUAACAUGAAUCAAUCUGAGUUAACCUGUUAAAUUCAGGUCAAGUGACGGGAUAACUCCAUAGAAAGAAAAUAAAAAAAAUUAUAAAGUUCAAUUCUUAAUAUUCAAUUAAAGAACAACAAAAAAAAAACAACUUAACCUGACUAACCCGUAAAACUCCUGAUCAUGAUCAUGAAAUCGAGAUAACUACAUAAAAAACAAAUCAAAAUAAAUUAUGAAUUCUAAUACUCAAUAACCACAAUGUUAAAAUUAAAAAAAAAACAUAUAUAUUAAUAAUUAACUAGUAAUAACCAUCUUCACUUACCUUCAAAAUAUUUAAAAGUACAUAUCAAUUGACCAAGAAUUCUAGACCCAUAUUGCCCAAACUUUACCCAUUUCUUCAGCAAGAACUUUAUAUAUAUAUAUAUAUAUAUAUAUAUAUAUAUAUAUAUAUAUAUAUAUAUAUAUAUAUAACCGACAGGUACCUUAUAGAAAGCAGAAGGAGAUUUUUCUCAAAAAGAAAAAAAGCAAGUCAGGUGGCUAUAUUUUGUCAAAUAGUGAACGAUUCAUGCAUAUGUCAUGACUUUAUAUAUCAAUUGAAGGGCCUGUAAUGGCAACUGGAAAGAUGGUGCGAUCUGCCCAUUUGGGGCCAUCAGAACUUUCUAAUAGUUCAUACACUUUAUAUUUUAUUUGAUGCACUAAUACAUUGUCUCAAUUAAUUCUAUGGUCGUGUAAAUUAAGCUAUAUGAUAAUUUAAAUCUAUAUAUUGCUUCACAUGAUACGGAAUAAUAUUGUCCACAUCUUCUUUUGUAGUGGGGUGAUAAACCAUGCACUAUGAUCACUUGAACUGUUUUUGGAUUUUCUUAACUCUUUUUUAUUGUUUAUUAUUAGCACUAAUCUUGCAAGUUUUGUCCCUUACCCUCUUAAUUACGUGUUUCAGAACUAAUGCUAUUGCCUUCCCAAAUAAAUGGUUUUUUUUUUUAAUUCAAUUUAUUCUCCAAACUUUUGGGGUGAUAUUGAGAUUCCUUAUAAAUUUCAUCGAUAAAAUUGAGAUUUACAACAUCUUUUCAGUUUCAAUGAUCGACAUAAAUGGACGGGAGGGGACUAAAAUGAAAGUUGUGGAGGCUGAUUUUAGAACCCUGUGAACCUUAGGGGCCAAAUUAAAUUUUACCCUUGGUUUGAUGGAGUCAUGGGACCACAGUCUCGGUGCUAUGAAGCUUCCUUACCUACUUCCUCAUCGUCUUUCUGUAUUCUGUUCAUAUCUUUUGCUCUUUGAUUUUUCAAACCAUAGUUUCUAGGAAGGUGACUGCCAAUGAUGGAAAAAGAUUUUCUUGUAAAAAAAAAUACACCUUUAAAUGUCAUCUACCCUCUUUUGUCUUCCACCGAACGUAUUUUGGGUUCUUAUUUGAAUUAAUAUUUUUAUAUUUUUGAAUUGUUUUAUAUACUAAUAUUAAAAAUAAAAUUUUAAAAAUAAAAAAAUUAUUUUAAUAUAUUUUCUAAUGUAAAAACAGUUGCAUUUAUUAAUAGAUACCGAAUUCAGGUUUUCUAUUUUUCCCAUUUCUUUAAUAUAGAAUACCAAGUCUCAAUACUUGCUUCCCUCUCCUUGUUUUAGGCUGCUCGAAGGACCAGGCAUAGAAAUAAUAGACGUAGUUUUUGUUUCUUAAUUUGAGGAAAAUUUUGUUUCUUGGGGUGGUUUAGCAAUGGCUGGUAUGUUGCCUGGUGUUGAAUGUGCUCGAAGGAGGAGGUUCCAUCAAAGCGGAGAUUCACUUGGUGCCCCAGCACACGGCUGGUCCAGAAAGCCAUCUUUUUGUUUGUACACAAGCAGCCAUGAAAGUUAUCAUGGCUCCGUCUCUUCUCUGGUAUCUCUCUCUAUCUAAAGAUUCUCUUUUCAUUUCUUCUGUUUUUGGGAGUUGUUGCUGAGAUCUUCUUUUUCUCUUUUGAUUUGGAUGAUUGAGAAGCAAAAGCAAAAGCAAAGGAGCGUAUCAAGCCAGGCAUACGAGGAUGAGAAGCUGGGAGGAGUGGCAAGAGAAGCCAAGGAAAGAUUAGAUGAGAGGCUAAGAUUGCAAAAGAAGAAGACAGCAGAAACCACAAGGUAAAUAAUGGCUUCCCUAUUUCUACCAGGCGGCGCGUAUUAGUACAAUCCAGAUGGUCCUUGCUAAUAUGCAACAUGCCUGGCAUCCAAAAUACGUCAUCAAAUCUCGUACUCAAAUCAGUUCCCAUACUUAUGUUCUAGAUUGAUUUUUGUCCAAUUUAGGCACAAAAGCACAGGAAACCUGAGAGAUGUAGAUGGCAGAUCAAUGGUACUAGGGGAGUUACAGAUGGAGGUGUAUGGUACGAAGAGGAGUGGGUCUAAGAGGUUCAAUUGGGCCAAACUGAGCUGGAAAGCUGCUGACCAAGACGAGUGCACCAUCUGCCUCGAUCGGUUCAAGUCUGGUGAGACCCUGGUGCACCUUCCCUGUGCACACAGGUACCACCCCAGGUGUUUGGUGCCAUGGCUAGAAAACAAUGGCCAUUGUCCUUGUUGCAGGAUGGAAAUACGUGUUGAACUCUCCUAGGCGCUCUCUUCUUUUGUUCUUUUUGUAGAUACCAAUUGGGAUUUCGGGAGCAACCUUGUCUUCUGCAAGAGUGAUUUGGUGUACCAAGACAAGUUAUGCUAUUAUCUUCUCCGUGUGUUUGCAUUUUACUCAUCUCUAAUUUUCCAUCUUGGCAAUGGAGAUUCUGCAGAAGUCUUUAGAAAAUACUAGAUUCUAUAAUAAUUUUAUUAUUUUUAGAAAAGAGUUAUUUUCCAAUCCAUCCCUAAACACUAAAAACAAUUUCCAUGUAAAAUUUCCAUGGUACAGGUCGAAUAUUAAAAGGACAGCCUAGCUGCUCAUAUUCCCUGAUGAGAUGGGUGGUCGUCUUCUUUUAUCAAUGAUUGCCAUGUAAAACAAAACAUGGUGAAAGUUUGAGUGAGAAGAGCUGUGAUCUAUAGCAGCAAGUGAUUCUCAUUGCUCUUACUAUCACUGUCUGUCCAUCCAUUCUUUAGUCCCACUCCUCACUCAGUUUCAAAUAAUGCACCUCUGCUGUCUAUAAAGUGGGCCAUUAAAUGUUGAAUCUAAUUUAUGGUCAUGAUAGUAAUUAUUUUUUGUAAAGUAUUUUUUAUUUGAAAAUAUAUAAAAAAAAUAUUUUUUUUUAUUUUUUUAAAUUUAUUUUUAACACCAACACAUUAAAAUAAUUCAAAAACACUAAAAAAAUUAAUUCAAAAUAAAAAAAAUUCAAAAUCUUUACAAAAUCUUUACAAUUUUUUUUAAUAUAAAAAAGAUGCUAAAGCGAUCUAAAAAUUAAGAGGGUUAUUGAUCUUAUUGAGUUUAAUAAACUUGACUAAUUUAAAUAAUUCAAAUAAAAAAAAUACAAUGUUAAUAAAUAGACUUAAAAAAAAAGGUUUAAAAAAGCCGACACGAGCCCAUCCAGGUUAGCAUGCUAAAUAUGCGACUUACUCAUGAUACCAAGGUAACCUCGUUGAAAGCAAACUAAAUAAAACUUAAAUUUCAAUUACCAAAUAACUCAAAGUUAAAUGGCGAAACUAGAAAAAAAAAUUAAAAAGCAAUGAAAAAAAUUUAUUCGAGUCAAUCCGGGUUAACUCGCUAACCUUGCAAUCGUAGGCAUAGGAUUGAGAUAAUCCCAUAAAAAGGAAAGUGGAAAAAAAAAAGCAAGAAGAUUAAAUCCAAAUAAAUCAAAUGUUGAAUGAUGAAAUUGAAAAAAAAAAGAUCUGAAAAAAACCAAAGUCAACCUAUGUUAACUUUUGAAACUUGUGAUUUUAGUCAUGAGCUCGGAACUAACCCCAUAAAAGGCAAACCAUAAAAAAAUAAUAAAGCAAAAUCGUCAAUCAAUAAAAUAUUGAAGGAUGAAAUUGAAAAACAAAUGAAAUUAAAAAAGGAUAAGAAGGAAAUAAAAUAACAAUAAAAAGAAUGAGGACCAAAUUUGACAUAAAAAUAAAUGAAAAUUAAAUGUUGAAGGAUGUAAUUGGAAAACAAACUUAAUUAGAAAAUGCUAAAAAGCAAUCAAAAGAACAAGAACCUAAUUUAAUUUAGAAACUAAGUGAAAUCAAAUGACAAGGGGAGAAAUGGAAGAAAAAAUUAUAAAAAAAAACAAAAACAAAACAAAUAGUAAUCAAGAGAAUGAUGACCAACUUGGAUAAAAAAAAUAAAAUUACCAGACACCUUUAUGUUUUAGUAAAGAGAAGAGAGAGAGAAGAGGGGGAGAAGGAAAAAAUGCAUUAGAAUUCAGCCGUUGCAUUGUUGUAUACACGCACCUGACUAUCAUGAAGACCAUGUCCGGACACUUACAAUAUUGUUGCGGAAGGUGAUGUUAACUACUAGACGACGUUGCAUACGUCAUCCAAAGAGCACAAGCAUUGUCCAUGCGCGGAUGCUUAUAAUACACACGUCAUCCAAUUUUUUAUUAAUAUUUAUUUUAAUUACAUUACCAAGUUAUCUUUAAGUGAACCUGAUUAUAAACAAAAAAAAAAAACUAAAAAGAUAAAAAACAACUUGAGAGCUACCUUAGUAUUUUUCUGAUUUAAAAUAAUUAAUUUAUUUAAUUAUGCUAAAAAGAAGGACAAGAUUAAAAAGCCCAUUAACAUAGUUUUUAUUUUAUUUAUCUUUUGCUUUUAAGAGAUUAAGUCAUUUUAUUUUAAAAAAAUAUAAAAAUACUAAUUUUUCUGAAUCAUACUGACCAAUAAGUCACGAGGAAUUCUAUAUUAUUUUUUUAAAAAAAUGAUUUUUAGGAAAUAAUAAAUUUUCAUAUCGACUUUUCUUUUGAUCAAAUUACUAGAACGAUGCAAGAAAGAUAAGCCACAUGUGGGACCCGAAGAUUAUCAACGGAAAAUGCAAGUCAUAUUUGGAAAACGACAUCGUGUUACUCCACUAAUUCUUGUCCACCUCUUACUCCACCUCGCUUUGCUUGCCUUCUCCUCCAACGGCUAGUUCCUAGUGACCGUUUCACAGCCCAAAAAUUCAAACUUGAAGAACCCUGAAUAAAGAAAAACACCACACAGAAACAAAAAAGAAUAAACUGAAACACUUGAAAAAAUCAUCAUUCAAAUCACAACAGCUCUAGCACCCCAUAAAAAUCAUAAUUCUUGGCUAGCUUUUAUUCACUUGUUCAAAUCGAGAAACAAAGAAAAGAUCAUCAAAAAUGGUAUACACAUACACACCAGCAUACUACUCUACUCUCCAUGACUCAAUUACCUCUAUUUGCAAGACAAUCUUGCCUUUUUCCUUUAAGAAAAAGAGGUUGACCUCGGCGGAGCACAGGCUCUCAAAGCUGCAGUCUGAUAACUUGAAGUGGCAGCAAGACUCAUUCCAUCAAAUAUUGAAUUUGAUGGGGUUGCAUAAAGAAGGUAUUUUAGCUGAGAAUGAGGUUUCUGCUUUCAAGACUCAUUUGCUUGAAACCCUUAUUGCUUCUCCACUUGAACAUGAACAAGCAGUCAUUUUAAGAGAUAAAUUGGUCUUCUUGCAGGUGAAUUUCUAAUUUUUAGAACCUGGGUUUGAUUUAUUUCAAAAUUUUCUCUUUGGACAAUCAAAUGGAACCAAUUUUUGUUUAUUUUUUUUUUGUUUGUUUUGGACAUUUUGUAGGAGUUGCUUUAUGCAAAAUGUAUAUCAGAAGAUGAGUACCAUUCAUCAAAGAGACCUUUGUUACAGAGGCUAGCAGUACAAGGAGCAGAAAUUGAGUCAAGAGAUGUUAUUGUUGCUGGUCCAAAAGACACAAAAGAGAAGAUAGAAGAGGAGUGGUCGGUUAUUGAUUUAAAAGAUGAGAAAAGGUUGAUUGGUAAAGAAACUUUACAGUCCAUAAAUAGAUCAAAGCCUAACUCAGCGAUGAAGCAAAUCAAAGGAGCAGCCUCCGUUUUUGGCUUUGGAUCAGAUCACAAGCUGAGCAAACACAAAGAAGAAAAGAGUAUUUUUGAAAUUGAAGCAAGAUUGCCCUCCUCUGGCCAUGUUAGUAACGAGAGAGAGAACCCACUUUGGGAUAGUCAUUUGAAGGAUAAGGAAAGUGAAACCAAAUCAAUUCUUAUGCAAGCAAGCUUACCAAAUGAAUCUGUAAAAGAAAGCGCAAGCAAUGAUAAGCCCAAGAGGAAACCCUUCAAGACUUUGUUUCGACAGGAGCAAAGAGAGGGAGAUGGUGGUGGUGGUGGUGGUGGUGCUAAUGGUUUUAAUUGUGAGGAGAAACCUUCAAAAUCAGCAAAAAAGCCUUGGGGUUUUGAUGGUUUUAAGAAAUGGAAGAAAAAUGAUUCAGAUGGUGAGACUGCUCCUCUGCCUCUUAACAAUGAAAGAUCUGACAGUGAGGCUUAUUCAGGAUCUUGCAACCUUGUUAAUAGUCCCAUUGGAGAGGGACCAGACACUAAGCAGAUAAAGAAGAAACUGCAUUCUAAUGGUUCUUCUUCAGAUUUUUUCAUUGAUAAGGUUCAGUCUAGACAAUAUAUAUAACUUUGUUUCUAAAUCUUUAUCCUUCAACCUUAACUUAUGCCUUUGUCUAUCUGUUGUUAAUUAUACAGGUUUUAGGGGACAAGAUAAAGAAGGAGCUUUCAAAAAUUCAAACAGAACUCUGCACAACAAACCCUAGUCUUAAAUUUUCGUAAGCUUUUUUUUACUGAUCAGAUGAUUUUGAAGUAGUUGUCUUUGUGUGUUUUUAUAAUCAAUUAAUCACUUGCUUUUGUAUUGCAUUGUGCUUGUUAUUUGUGGUUCUAUUAGUGAUGAUCAAAUUGAAGCAAUUUCCACCAAGCUUCCUGUUGACAAGGCUGACCUGAAAAAGUUCUUCCCCAAGUAAGAAAACAACAGCUUUCUUUCUUUUACCUAUCUCAAUUUAAUGUUUGUUUCCUCGCAGCAUAUUUGAUCUAUUGAUCUGCCAAAAACCGUAGCUAUUGCAAUUAAUCAUAGGCAUUCUUGCUACAGCAUAUCAAACUUAUUAUUUGGAUCCUCACAUGAACUACAAAAAUGUUGUGUUCUAAGGUCAUGGUGCGAUCGGUAUGGUGAUGUUGUACUGGAUGUGGUGAAGAAAGAGUUCAAGGAUCAUGUUGGAGAGAUGGAGAACAUGAGAAAUGCUGCAAGAGAAAAACAUCACAACAAUUCAAUGCGAUGGACAACAUUUGAAGAUGAAGACGAAAAUUGUCACCCAAAUCUUUUUUCUCAACAGGAUCAUUCAUUUCCAAAGAAGCAACAAAAUUUCACUGCCAAGAAUGAUCAGAGCGCCUAUACUAAUCCCUUCUCCCAUGACUACUCUGAAAGCAAUGGGAAUAAGCUUAGGACUGAAUCAUUCCAGAAUCCCUUUUGGAUCCCAAGGCAACAAUAUUAGUGAUAUGGGAGUUUCUAUGCUUGAUAAGCAAGCGGUAUUCUUGUUUUUUGUUUGCUUGUAUUCUAUUGUAAUUCUGGUUAUGAACUCUGACAGAAGAACAAUGUUGUUCUUCUGGAUUUUAAACCCCCUUUUGUUCUGCUGGGUUUCAUCAAACCCAUGCAAGAAGAAUGUAAACGUUUUUAUCUUCCUCAGCAGCUAUAAAAGUUUUUAAUCCCCCCCAAGCAUUACUGAUGAUAGAUAGCCAUUGAAGGUUUUUCAAUGGGGAUCAUGGGAUUUCCAACUAAUCCAAGACAACCUAGUUUUAGUUGCAUCAUAUUUGGGUUUCCAACUUGGGAUUAUUUAUGAUGUAUUUGUUUUAACAAGGCAACAGAAGCAUAACAUGGAGCUCAAGAAUCCAAUCUUAUAUACCGUAUAGCUUUAUGUAAGAUCUAUACUCUACAGAAUCCAAUCUUCAGGGAACCAUAUUACAAGAGAUGGAAUUUAUAUAACACUAUAUACAAUUAUAUUUACAAUGCAAUCAAGUAGAAGUAAUUUCUGGAUUUGGUAUUGAAGGCUCGCUGGCACCACCCUCGCGGACAUCUCCUCGACAAAGCGGGCAUACCCUGUAAAAUACCAUCAGAGGGGAGAGGAGGGGGGAAGAAGGAUGUGACAAAAAUUUCACACCAGAGAAGGAAAAAAAAUGAUUAUGAAUACGGUUUAAGAAGAAUGAAAACAUAAGCAGCAAAAACGCAGGUGGGUGGCAAUAACAAUACCCAUGUAUUUCUUUGAGCCAUUUAUCCACACAAACCAUGUGAUAUUCGUGGUGGCAGGGAAGAACUCUUAUUUUGUCACCUUCCUCAUACUCGGCCAGGCAAAUGUAACACCUGUCAGUCAGAAAGUUAUUACCAAACACAGUCCAAAAGACGACAAGUUUAUAUUAGUGCAAACCAAGUAAUGAAACACCUUGAACUCCAAGUUCCCCACCACUUUUACACGCGAUAACACUCAUGUGCAAGUAUAAUACCUGGCUUAUUCUAGAGUACAUGCAUGUUCACACCACAAAAUUUAAAUCAAUGAGAAACUUACUGUUCAUCCUCAUCAUUGCCCUUGACUCUGUCCAACUUUUUGUGAUUCUUAAGAGGGAAAGAGUCAACAACUGAUUCAGGGGCAGGGAGCGACAUCAUUGAUAGAGAAAGUGACACAGGCUGACGAUGGAUUUCAUCCAAAACCUGCAGCUUAAACAUGACACCAGAACUUAGUAGCAACAUAAUGCAGGCCAAGAAGUGUAUAAAUCAUUGUAAAACUGCCUAGCACAGAUUUCAUGGUCAAAGCAACUCCCUUAUCAUGAAUUUGAUGGUGGCUUCCACACCUCUUUAAGAACCUCUACAUAGAAAGACAGCUGAGCAGUUUCAAAAAACCUACUGCUAGAUCUUAGUCUUGUUAGCGUUAAGACAUAAUCACAGGUAAUAUCUAAAUGCAAGCCACCCUAGUGUAUAUUUUUCCAGGCAAAGUAAAAAGGGUAUUAAAUUAGUCAGGAUUCACCCUUGUCCUCAAAAGAAUUGCAAAAUCAUGCCCACCUUUUCUCAUUGGAUUCCUCAAACGAAUGGAAUGGAGUGUCUCAAACAAUGGGAUUAGCACUAAAACUUCUACAGCAGGUUGGACAUGGUUCAGCACAAUCAUAACCUUGAAUUUGCAAUUUAUACAAAAGUCUCGAAAGAAGACAGAUGUGUAAAUAGAAACUUAAAUUAUCAUUAGCACCAAGAUAAUGGAUUCAAUCAGCAACUCUAUCACAUAGGUGCAUUCUGCUUUUCAAACUAUAUCCGUUUUUCAUGAAUGGGAUUAGUGAAGCCAGGAGAAGCUAUGUCAAAGGAGAACUACCUCAAAUAGAGCUUCAGCAAGCAUGACUAUUCGUGAUAUACUUCCACGAGCACUCGACUCCUCAGCCAUCAAGAAUGAUUCACACGAGCAUGUACCGUCAGGGUGGAGUCCAGAAGGACAAGAGGUUGUUCGUCGACCAUUCUCAUCAAGGCCACCACGAAGUCUUUCCCAGAUCUGCAAAGAGUAAGCAAGAGUAGUUCAUAAGAAUUACAAAUGAAGGAAAGAGAUUUUAACCUUAUUUUUUAUGUUCAGCUAACCCAGCCCCCGUGACUACUGGAUAGACAAAGAAUGGAGUGGCAUGCAAUUAUACCAAAGAAACUAAAAGAACAAUUGAAUAGUGCAACAAUAAAAGACCAGGGCUUGCAAUUGUUUUUUUUUAUAUAAAAAACAAAAACCUCUAUCAAGCCAAAGAUUCGUGCAAAGAUAUUGAAUUACAGGGCCAGGAUCCCUGACUUUGAAGCUUGAGAGGAUGAGAACAUAAAAUUUCUAUUUUGAAGUGGCGAUUUCAUUAGGACUAAUUUAAAAUGUUUCCAAGAAUAAGGGGGAUUUAAAAAAAAAUUGAACGCCCUGGCCCCUGUUAGGUUUUGUCCCUGUACAGGGUUGUCUUCCUAGGCUUCCUUCCCAAAUCCAAACUUCAGUGGAUUAAUAGCUGUACAAGGGUCUUCUUGAUGAUUGUAAGAACUGAUCAACGCCAAAAAUAUACAGAACUAUAAUCCCCAACAUGUAUCACAAGUGUGUGUGCAAAAGUAAAUGAUAGUAUAGCAUUCUUUCCUCAAAAACUAUUCAGAAAUAUCACCUCAGAUCUUGAGUGUCGUCUUCGUUCAUUCAAUCUGUGAAUUCUCCUGCUCAUGUAUCCAGAAUCACUGCCUAUCCCAUCGUCAAAAAAAUCACCACUGAAAUCAAGGAGCCAUCUGUCAUGGGAUUCAAGAUCAUCAGUAUUAUCUGUUGAGAAGACAAUAGUAGGAGAAUCAACAUGCCUCCUAGAACUGCGCCUUGAAAAUGCGUCCCGAAACAAUCUUCUGCUAUUCCUUCUGGCCUCACGACUGCUUGUAUCUGAAUUGCUGCUUGAAUAAAUGCUGGAAGAGAUACUCACAACAUCUACAUGGAGUACACUUCCAUCUGUCCUCCCUUGUUCCCUAUUGGGCACAAGAAGUCCUAAAUCUGAAGGUACUGGAUCUUGGAUAGACUCAUCUUGUGUUGAGCGAAAGGUUACUGGGACAAUAGAUCUAUGAUUUACUGAAUCAGAAUUAGAAUUUGGCAUGUCUGUUACUUCACCCAUAUGAUUGUCAAAAGCCAAACCAUUAGAACAUGAAUCUCCAUGCCUCGGUGAGUUUGAACUGCUUGUAUGUAUUAUAUCAGGAUAGAUCUGAGAGAAACCCUCGUUCUCUGAAUUUUCAAUGCCAUUGACAGAAUCCAUGUUAGUUGAAACAUUCAUUGAUACAGGAUCUGAUGACUGUCGUUCUUUAAAUGAAGUACUAGCUUCAGCAAUACUUAUAUUUCUACCUGAUUCAUCAUGACUAUCACUUACCUGAUCUGGGCCAACUAACUCCUUACUAUCAGAUAGGCAUUUUCCUCGAGAGUUUGUGUCAAGAUUUCUAUAACCAUAUUUCUCAGAAGUUCCCUCACUGGCUCUUAUUCUGUUUCCAGAUGAUCCUCCAGUUUCAGUAUCUGAGCUUCUAGACCCUGUUACUGUAUUGGAAACCACAGAUGAUUCCUCUGCAGAAUUCUGUACCUCGAUGACUGGACAACACUGUUCUGCAGAAUUCAUCAGAAUCUUGUCUGGAUAGUCUUCCAUCUAUUGGAAAAAGAUCACACACAUAUCAGUAUCCUCUAUAAAAGGUAGCCACGAACAUUUGAAUAAUAGCAUCCUUAAAAAGACUUCUCCAAACAUUAAAAAAUAAAUUUCACAUUGAUCAAGACUAGAAAUGUCACAGGAAAUGAAUACUGCCACCUCACCACAUCUUGUUCUUGAAUGAUAGGAGAAGUGCCUAUUGUCUAGAUUUGUAUAGACCCUAUAUCAACACCAUGGAAUUGCUCCAUAUGGCAGAACCAUGCUCUCACAAAUCGCAAUAGUCAGUUUCAGUCAUAAUAAAAAAGAUAAAGGAGUUUCAAUUACAAACUUACAGAAAUAGUUUACAGCAAAACAAGCAUUAAUAUUUUCUUUAAAAAACUUGCAAAUCAAUUGAGGGCAUUGUGCAAAGCUGCCGAGUAUAAAUUGAUCAUUGAUUAUGGUGGGAAAGUGCUCAUACUAAGAAAGUUGUGCUACUCUAAUGUCAAAUGUAACUAAUUAAUAAAACAUUCUGAAAUAGCAAUUUCAAAUACAGGGAUACAUUAUCUUGCAGGAAACCAUUUGUUUGUUAACGUUAACUUAACCUAAGGCAACCAUUAAAUUGAACAUCUUGAAAUUCGACUGAAAUCUCUAAGAACCCCCAAGUAACUAAAAACUCAAUGAGAACUCACAUGGAAAACAAAAGCCUUAAAAUUAAAACCAUUUUCUAUUCCAAGUAAUGGUAACUACACAAAACUUGAACUUUUAAUCAAAUAACCAAAGUGAACAAAUAUUCAGAUGACUGGAGGGAUAAACAAAUAUCGAUAAACAAAUAAUUCCAAUCAAAAUUUGUUGACAAACACAAAAGAAAAAAUAAAAAAUUGCUUCCACAAACAGUUAACAAGCAACAGAAACAAAAUUCCAUAAAACCUAAACAAGACAAAUUUUCCAACAUCACAUGAUCAAUCCUAGAUCAUCAAAAAGCACAAAUAUUUCAAUGUAAAGAUUCAAACUUCGAUAAAAAAAAAAAAAAAAACACAAAACGGGGACUCAUUAUUUUCUCUAAAGUCAAUUCCUUUUACACGAUAACCACAUAAACAAUCCAUUAUCAACACUAAUUGACCAACCCCAGAUCAUCAAAACCAAUUAAAAAGAAACAGAAGUAAUAAAUCAAUUUCAAGUCGAAAAUCUUUAAUCUCUCUUUUUUGGUACCUCGUGACGAGCUGUACGAGAAGAAGAGGAGCCACCACAGAUGAGAGAAGAGAAGAACCUGGACGACCUGCUAUUCGGUCGGGUCCGUGAUGUGCGUGACCCCGGUCUACUACUAUUCGAACCCAUUUCUUUAGAGAAAGAGAAAGGCUGAGAAAUUAAAUGGUGGUGGUGAAUGAUGAUGGAACUGUAUAGCUAAUAUGUAUAUAUAUUUUUUAUUUUAUUAUUUUGAAAUUGAAAUUUCUUGUUGCAAUUAUUAGAGGAGAGAGUUUUUGUUUUUGUUUUUGUUUUUGUUUUCGUAUGGAAGAGGUGAAGUGUUUUUGAGUCUUGUAGUUUUUCUUGCACAAACACCCGCAUUCGGUGCCACGUUAUAGGCUGUCGUUUCCUCUCGAUAAUGAUACAGACACCUCACUUUCAAAAUCUUGAUUUUACAAAACCCAAUCUAAUUUAUGAGUUGAUUUAAAACCGGCCAACUCGAUCUUCCAUUUAAGCUAAGUUUUUUUAAAAAUCAACUAAAAAUUAAUUUGUAAUCCAAUUAAUUUUAUUAAAACCUUAUUUGUUUGUUUUUUUAAAUUAAAUCAAUAUUAUUUUAUUUAAAAAAUAAAUAAAAUGAGGUUGAUUUAUAUCAACCCAAAUUAAAUUCUGUCGACUCAUCCAAUUUAUAACCCAAUUUUUAGGCAUGAGUUCAUUAAUUUUGAUUUUUCUUCUAAAAAAUAGACCCCUCUUUUUAUAACUUUUGUUUUUUUCAUGAUUUUGUAACGGUCAACUAGACAUAUUUAGAACAAGUUACAUACAAAAAAUAUUAAAAAGUCUUCUUUUAAAGUUGUUUGGUGGUGCCGUACUAUUUGUUUUUAUAUUUUAAAAGUAAUUUUAAAAAAUUUUAAAAAAAAAUUAUUAUUAUUUUUAUUUUCAAUUAAUAAUUUUUUAGUAUUUUAAGAUUAUUUUGAUACGUUGAUAUUAAAAAUAACUUUUAAAAAUAAAAAAAUUAUUAUUUUAAUAUAUUUCUAAAUUAAAACAAUCACAACUAUAUUUUUAAAUAAGUUAAUAAUGUAUGAGCAAACCAUAUAUAUUAUUAUUAUAUUAUUAUUAUUUAACAGGGGCUGCUCGAGGAGGGGAUAUUUCCCCUUCUCAUAUGUUAUUCGUUGGAAUAUAUAUAUUAUUUUUGUAUUUAUAUUUUUCAUUUUAUUUUUUAAUAUUAAAUUUAUUUAAAACUAAACUUUUUAAUUUAUUUCUAGUUUUUAUACAGAAUUAUCAUUGUCUUCAAAAAAUCAUAAUAUUGAAUUGAUGUUUAUUUUUAUGAUUAUCCAUUUUUUUAUUAUAUUAUUAAAUUAGAAAUAUCUAUCAUAUUAUUAAAAAAAUUAAUUAUAAAAAAAUAUAAUUAUUAUUAAUUGAACUUCAUAAUUUAUUUUGAUUUAUUGUAGUAAUGAGCAGUGAAAUGCCAAGUUCUUUUUUCACUUUGGUUCUCAAAAGAAAUUAAUGAUUUUUUUUUAAUUUCAAACUUAGUUGUUGUUUUUUCUUAUCUUACUACAUUGGAUUUACAGGCGUUAUACUUUAUAAUUUAUUUUAUUUUUUUUAUUUAAUUAUUCUAGCCUUAUGAUCCUAGUUGUAGGUUAACUAUGUUGACUCGGAUUUUUUAGUUCUUUUUUAAUUAAAUAUUUUUUUAAUUUUUUCCUUUAACAUUAGACUAAUUGAAAAUCAAAUUUUUAUUUUUAUUUUUAUUGAGUUUAUCCCGGUCUCCUGAUCCAGGUUUGGUAAGUUAACCUUGACUGACUUGUGUCAUUUUUUAUCUUUUUGUUUGAUUUAAUAAAAUAAUUAGUCCUUCAACAUUAAGUUGAUUGAUAAUUAGAUUUCAUAAUUUUAUCUUAUUUGUUUUCUAUAUAAUAUUAUCAUGAUUUUAUAAUCCGAGUUGUAGGUUAGCUUGGUUGACUUAAGGUUAUUUUUUGUUCUUUUUAGUUGAUUUUUUUAAAUUUCAUCUUUUAAUUUUGGGUUGAUUGAGAAUUAGACUUUAUAAUUUGUUUCAUUUGCAUUCUAUGAGGUUAUCUCGGUCUCAUGACCUGUCAUUGAUUUGCUUGGUUAACUUGAGUUGACUUGGGUAUAUUUAUAUUCUUUUUUUAAUUGAUUUUUUUUAUAGUUUCAUUAUUCAACUUUUAGUUGAUUAAGAAUUGAGUUUUAUAAUUUUUUUUUGUGGGGUUAUUUUAGUUUCACGAUCAAAGUUUACUCGGUUUAUUUUUUAAAUUGAAUUUUAUUUUCAAUUUCAUCUUUCAAUAUUGGCUUAAUUGAUAAUUAAAUUUAAUAAUUUUUUUUAUUUGCUUUCUAUAUAGUUAUUAAGGUCUCAUGACUUGAGUAGCAGAUUUGAGAGGUGAACUCGAGUUGAUUCAAAUUGAUAUAAUAUGUUAUCGUUUAAAUAAUUUUUUUUUAAAAGAUGUUUUUUUAAUUUUUUUAAGCUAAACUAUGUUUUUAAAUGUCGUUCGAGUUGUUUUUAGAUAUAUCAAGUCAACUAUAUCACAUCAAGUUAAUCCCAAUAUGUUUUAAAAAAUUUCAUGCUAAAAGAACAUUUUAACAAUACUAUAAUUUUUUUCUAUAUCCAAUAAAAUUUUGAUAAGACCCACGAUAUACCACAUACAAUCAUCUAGUUUAUUUCUAUUCUACAAUAAAAAAAGGCGCUCGCACGUAUGUGUGUUCACAUCUAUUUUUGAAAAUUUUGAUCGCAAUGAGUAUAGUUUAAGAAACAAGUAUUAGUUGUUGAUUUAUAUAUAUAUAUAAAAUAACCGAAGUCCAAUUUGAUUGUAAAUUACAGUGAUUUAUGGUUCAUGGUGGUAUUAUAGUCGGCGAUUACUAAGCUAUAUGGAUUUAAAGAGGAAGUCUUCCAACAGCAGAACAUGUCAAUGUCAAUUGCUAUUUAAUUUUGGUUGAAGAUAAGAGAAAGCUUGAUGGAUUUUUAAUAGAAUUUGUGUGGUGUUUGUGCUUUCCUAAAACCUCAAGAAAAUCCCUAUAAUUUACUCUACAAGAAAUACGUGCAAAGGGUUGACAUUGAAAUAGGUUGCUUUCGUAAAAGAAAUCUGACCUGAAGAUGGGAAAUUAAGAAACAAAGACGGUGUAUGAGUAAGAACACCACCGCAGUAUGUGUAAGAACACCACCGCAGCUCUUCAUGGAAUACUGAGGUUUUUUCACACAGAGUAUUCCAAAUUGGCUGAAAACCAAGCCAGACUCGCCCAACAGACACCAUAAUUCAUGGUCUUCAGCCCUCCAUUUCUAGCUCAUCUGGUGCUGAUGUGUGGAUGGAAAUCGAAAUUUCCCUCGCCUCGGAGAGAAGGGCUGACUGUUGAAAUCAAGCUAACAGUGAAGUCUAACUCUCACACACCACACGCCUCAAGUCACGUUAAUUAUUAAGUUCUAAUUUUCAGUUUAUUUUUAAUUUUGUUUUCUGUGAGAAUGGAGUUGUCGUUCUCAAUAUCAUGUGAAAAACUACACUUGUUUUUUUUUAAAAAAACUAUUUUUUUUCCAUUUUUUUCUUGGUGACAAAAGUUAAAAUAGUAUAUUAAUAUUAAGUUGAGAGGCAUCGGUGACCUUUGUUUUUUUUUUUAUUAUUAAGAGUUUAUCUGUUUAUAUUAAAUUGAUAUUUAAAUUUAUUUUAAUGUAUUAAUAUUAAAAAUAAAAAAAUAUCUUAACAUAAAAAAUACUAUGCACAGUACAAAUAAAAUGAUAAAGUGAUAAAGUUGAUGAGACAUCGGUGACCUUUGUUUUUUUGUGUUUUUUUAAGAGUUUAUUUGUUUAUAUUUUUUGAUAUUUUUAAUAUAUUAAUAUUAAAAAUAAAAAAUUAUUUUAAUAUAUUUUAAAAUAAAAAAUGUGAUGCACUAUAAUAUCUCUUAUGCUCACGAUGACACCUUGCAAGCUAGCUAGCAAACCAUCAUCCUUUGUUUCCUUUGCCUCGCUUGAGUUUUUGUUAGUUGUCGGCAGUCGGCACAAUCCAAACAAAUACUGGAUGUCGUCUGGGACGCGGCAAAAACUAACUAGUCAAAUUGAUUUUUUGAUUAUAAAAAUGUUUAAUUAAUUAGUAACAAAUCUUUAGAAUAAUUAAUUUUUUAGUAUUGGUUGUUUUUUAAAAUAUUUUUUAUUUAAAAAUAGAUAUAAAAUAAAAAAAUAUAAUUUAAAUAAAAAAAAUCUCAAAAAUAUUUUUUUAACGCGAAAACAAAACAAACUAUACUAGUGAUUUAUCAUCAAAUUAUAGCUAAACCAAUUACAUUAGCAUUUAUUUCUCUAGAACAUGUUUCAAAUUCAACCGUCUAUAUGAUUUGUAUAAUUCUUUUUGAUAGGAGGAAACGUCAAGUGAAAUCAACAAGAGCCACUUCCAAAGUCUAGAGAAAUCCAUGAAUUUCAGGUAGAAACCUACCAAACCAAGCACAAACGUGGGUUUGACUUGUAGUUUUGAAAAUUUGAAGGAAAGAUACUGGACAAAUUCAUGAAACAUUAAACUGUGCAACCCAACUAGCUUAGCCCUAUCCACUCACAUGUAUAAAUUCAGAGACUAUCUCAAUACAUUUCUCCACAUCCAUAUCAAACAACAACAAAGAGCUGUCGGAAGAAAGAAAUUAGAAGAUGCACAAUCCCCCACCGCCAGAGCCCCGUCACCAGCCCGGCCACCCACCGCCAGAGCCCCAUCCACCACCACCCGGUCCACCACAGCGCGAACCUCCUCCCCCUCGUGGCCAUUCUCCUCCUCCUCCAGGUCCGCAUGCACCACCAUCCGGUCCACCACACCGUGAACCUCCUCCUCCAGGCCCGCGUGCACCUCCACCUGAUCAUCACCGUCCUUAGUCGAUCAUAUAUAUGAAGAACUCGAUCGAAGCUAAGCCUAGCAAUAUAUGAAUAAGCGUAUCCAUAGGGGUUGAUGAUGUAACGGAAGGAUGCUCUGUAUAGCUAGUUUUACCUGGCUUAGCUCACCAGUAAUUUUAUUUUCACUUCCAGUGUGUGUAUGUGUAACGUGCUUGCUGUUUCAUUCUCGGAGAAACAUGUAUGGUGCUUGGAUAAUUAAUUAGUAAUAAGAGUAGAGUACUGUUUAUCGUCUAAGAAUAUGCCUUUCUUUCUUUCUAAGAACGUACGAUAAAUCUAAAAAAAGGAAGAUUUACAUGGAUGAAUUUUGUUGAAGGUGCUACAAAAUUCCAUUAAGAGAUUUAUAAAACUUAAUUUUUUUUUUAAAUUAAUGUGGGUGUUUAUAGUGGCGGAGGAAGUGGCAAGAAAAUGCCCCUCCCAUGUAAAUAUUUAUAACAUGGAUGAAUUUUGUUGAAGGUGCUACAAAAUUCCAUUAAGAGAUUUUAUAUAAAACUUAAUUUUUUUUUUUAGAUUAACAUGGGUGUUUGGUCCUUAAUAUUUUUUUAAUGUGACCGCUUAAGAAAAUAACAUCAUGCAUUUUAUUGGAAAUUAAUGACUUCAUGUCAUCAUUUACAAUAUAUUUCUAAAAAAAAAUGUAUCUUGUGAAUAUAAAAGACUUCUUGUAAGGUUAUGGAGUUUUAUUCAACGUUUAAAAACAUGAAAAUUAAAGUCAAUAUGUUUUUUCAACUCUAGCUCUUUUACUUCCUUUCAGUCCAGAAAUUGUUUACUUUUUAAUUAUUUUUUAUUCUCUUCUUUUAUUUAAUAAAUUAAAUUAUAUUAAAAUUAAAAUGUUACGACACAUGGAUCUAUUCAAAUUAAUAGUGUUGCAUUGUUUCAAAUAAACAUUCAAGGAGAGCACUGCGUAUGUAAAACCAAUAUAAAGAAAAUCAUAUCAUCUAGGUGUCGGUCUAGUGGUAAAAACUUGAGAUCAAAUUUUUUUUAUAUAUAUAUAAAAAAAAUCAUGCCUAAAUGAAGGGCACAAGAGAUAAAAUAUCGGUAAAGACAAACUAUCUUUAUAUUAAUUUUUAUUUAUUUAUUGUCUCUUAUAAAAAUUACAUUUUAACUCUUAUGAUGAUAUCCUUUACAAUUAUGUUCCUAUAUAAUUACAUUAUUAUGGUUCAUUAUUUAAAUUUUUUAUGUAAUACUUGUAAUAUCAUGGUUAUUACAAUUAUGAUAUAUCGUCCAUUAUAUUUGUUUGAGAUUUAUUACAAGAAGCCCAAGUUAAUAAAUCAGAACAACACAAAAGCCCAUCAAAAUAAAGCGACCGCGAUCCGCCCACCAUAAGGAGCUCGCUCUCUCCAGAACCCGAACCCGAACCCAACCCCUUCAAAAACCUCUCCCUCUAUCUCCACUCAAACCCCUCCCCCUCUUUUGCUUCUCUUGCAGCGAACUUCUCUCUCUCUACAGGGUAUGCAGCAGCUUCUCUUCUUCCUUUAUUACUAUAUUUCAUGCCUUCAUUUUUGCUUAUGUAUGUGUUUAUAUACGUUGUUUCGCGAUUCAGUUUCUAUUUACGCAAGCUGUACUGGUUUAAUCUAGUUAGAAAUGAAUGGUAUUAUCGUAAUCUCUUUGCUGGAUUGUCUGUAGAAGAGAAUUUAAGGGAAUGGGCUGUUAGAUUUGUAGAGAAAAUUAGACACCCAGAUGCAAGAUUUAGCUUGUUAAGUUACUGUGUUUGUGUGUUUGUUUUUUUCAAGUGGAAGGAAGUAAAAAGUGGAGAUCUGAAGUUUAGGUGAAGUGGUAAAAAGGGUCGAUGAGAUUAUUGUCAAAACCCCUCCUGUGUGGUAACUUUGGUAAAUUAGAGAUUAUUGUGUUUUUGUUUUUAAUCUUGAUUAAAAGAAAAUAAGGAGAUUUUUUUUAGCAAGAAUUUAGUUUGUAUUUACGGGUUCUUGUGUAAGUUUAGUUGAUUUCGUGGUUGUAUUUGGUUAUUGAUUCAUGAUUUGGUAUGGCAGGUUUGAAGUGGUGCCAUGGAUGACAAUUUGUAUGAUGAGUUUGGGAACUACAUUGGUCCGGAAAUAGAGUCGGACCGAGAGAGCGAUGGCGAGGAAGAAGAUGAAGAACUUCCAGACAAGCCUCAUGAAGACGAGGAGGAAUCUGACGGUGAAGAGGCAGUUCAUGCUUCCAAUGGUUGGCUUACUGCCCCUAAUGAUGUUGAUAUGGAUAACCAAGUUGUCCUUGCUGAGGACAAGAAGUACUACCCAACCGCGGAGGAGGUUUAUGGUCCAGGUGUUGAAACGUUGGUUAAUGAUGAAGAUGAGCAGCCUCUUGAGCAACCGAUAAUUAAGCCUGUUAGGAACAUCAAGUUUGAGGUUGGGGUUAAGGAUUCCUCAACUUAUGUUUCCAGCCAGUUUCUUGUUGGUCUUAUGUCAAAUCCCUCUUUAGUACGCAACGUUGCCCUCGUGGGCCAUCUACAGCAUGGGAAGACAGUUUUUAUGGACAUGUUGGUUGAGCAAACACAUCAUACGCCAACUUUUGAUAUAAAUAGCGAGAAACAUAUUAGGUACACAGAUACAAGGAUUGAUGAGCAAGAAAGAAGGAUAUCUAUCAAGGCAGUUCCAAUGUCACUUGUCCUUGAGGAUAGCAAUUCAAAGUCGUACCUCUGUAACAUCAUGGACACCCCUGGUCAUGUGAACUUCUCUGAUGAAAUGACUGCUGCCCUCAGGCUUGCUGAUGGUGCAGUGUUGGUUGUGGAUGCUGCUGAAGGAGUGAUGGUAAGAUUUGUUUUUAGGUUAAUUUUGAUAAAUUCAUUACAAAAAUAGUAUGAUCAUAUCUUAAUAUGAUUUUAUCUGUUCUUCUGUGGAUUAAUUUGCGAAGUAUUUCUCCGUAGAUAUUAAAUCCAUCAUUCUUGAUGAGUUCAAUACGCAAUUUGUUCUAGUUUUCUGCCUAUCAUAUCAGCAUUUAUACAGGCAUUAGUUGCAAAUGGUUUUGUCUAUGAUUGGACCGAUUGCAGCAACAAGGCUAUAAUCUUCUAUUGCAUGACUUGUGACACUUGUUCUCAAUACCAUGCACUUAUGAUCGUGGUUGAACUUCGAAGAUGCUAUUUCAUGAUAUAACUGUUGUUUUCAUAAGUGCACGAGAAUGUUCUAGCCACUUGAUAUGGUCAAUUUACUAUUUUGUAAUGCUUAGGUAAACACAGAGAGGGCCAUACGCCACGCAAUUCAGGAACAGCUGCCUAUUGUUGUUGUGAUCAAUAAGGUAAUUCCCUCUUACCUCUAUUUUGUUUGGCACUUCCGAUUCGAUUUUUUCCAAAUAUUUUGACUGGUUCAUGAAGUGUUAUUUGCACAAAUUUUCUUUUGAAGGUUGACAGGCUCAUAACAGAGCUCAAAUUGCCCCCAAAGGAUGCGUAUCACAAGCUAAGGCAUACCAUAGAAGUCAUUAACAACCAUAUAUCUGCUGUCUCUUCAACUGCUGGAAAUGUUCAAGUGAUAGAUCCAGCUGCUGGAAAUGUUUGUUUUGCUGGUGCAACCGCAGGAUGGUCCUUCACUUUGCAUUCCUUUGCUAGAUUGUAUCUCAAACUCCAUGGUAUCCCAUUUGAUGCUGAAAAGUUUGCAUCUCGUCUCUGGGGGGAUAUGUAUUAUAAUCCCGAGGACAGGACUUUCAAGAAGAAACCUCCUGCUAGUGGAGCAGAAAGAUCGUUUGUCCAAUUUGUGCUGGAACCUCUCUACAAAAUAUACAGCCAAGUGAUUGGAGAACAUAAAAAAAGCGUUGAGGCUACUCUUGCUGAGUUUGGUGUUACUCUUCCUAAUUCAGCUUAUAAAUUAAAUGUCAGGCCUUUGCUAAGACUGGCUUGCAGUCAAGUUUUUGGCUCAGCCUCAGGUUUCACUGACAUGCUUGUUAAGCAUAUACCUUCGGCUAAGGUUGCUGCUGCCAGGAAGGUUGAUCAUACAUAUACUGGGCCCAAAGAUUCAAUGAUUUACCAGGCCAUGCUAGACUGUGAUCCUGCUGGCCCCUUAAUGGUUAAUGUGACGAAAUUGUAUCCGAAGUCAGAUUGCAGUUCAUUUGAUGCUUUUGGUAGGGUUUAUAGUGGUAAAAUUAUGACAGGGCAGUCUGUAAAAGUUUUGGGAGAAGGCUAUUCACCAGAGGAUGAGGAGGACAUGACAGUAAAAGAAGUGACAAAACUAUGGGUAUAUCAAGCUCGGUAUAGGUUACCCAUAAGUAUGGCACCUCCUGGUUCCUGGGUUCUCAUUGAAGGUGUGGAUGCUUCAAUUAUGAAAACUGCAACUCUCUGUAAUGUGAAUUAUAAUGAAGAAGAUGUAUACAUAUUUCGACCUCUUCAGUUCAAUACUCUUCCAGUAGUGAAAACUGCUACUGAGCCUCUAAAUCCAAGCGAGUUGCCCAAAAUGGUGGAGGGUCUUAGGAAGAUCAGUAAAAGCUAUCCUCUGGCCAUAACUAAAGUUGAGGAGUCUGGGGAGCACACUAUACUUGGUACCGGAGAGUUGUACUUAGAUUCUAUUAUGAAGGACCUUAGGGAGCUAUAUUCUGAAGUGGAAGUCAAGGUAGCUAUUUCUCAUACGCUUUUUUGAUAUACUUUUGUUAUUUAUUCUCCUAUUUCCUUUUAUGGGACGCUCUUAGUUUCCAUGCACAUUUGUCCUGUUUAAUGCUUCAUGUCAAAUGUAGGUAGCCGAUCCUGUUGUCUCAUUCUGUGAAACUGUGGUGGAGUCCUCGUCAAUGAAAUGCUUUGCUGAAACACCCAACAAGAAGAAUAAAAUAACCAUGGUAAAGAAGACCACUAGUUUUAUUUGAUCUACUUGCUUUUGAGCAUUCUAUCUCAAUGCUCUGGACUUUUAAUUUUGUUCAUCUGGAAUGUUUCUUAAUUUUAUAGAUCGCUGAGCCAUUGGAGAAAGGGCUUGCAGAAGACAUUGAAAAUGGUGUUGUAAGCAUUGACUGGAAUCGGAAAGCUCUAGGUGACUUCUUCAAGACAAAAUAUGAUUGGGAUUUGCUUGCAGCACGAUCCAUAUGGGCUUUUGGCCCUGAUAAGCAGGUAAUCUAGUUGCUUAAUGUAUCCAUGAUUUGAUUUUUUCAAAUGAUAUGUGAUCAAAUCCUGCUCAUGUUUUGAUACCUCAAUUCCUCAUUUUUUCAAUGAUUGGAUUAAAUGAACUUAAUUUAAUCUUAUUUGUUUUUGAUAUCUGCAGGGACCUAACAUUUUGCUAGAUGACACACUUCCAACUGAAGUGGACAAGGGAUUACUAGGUGCCGUGAAGGAUUCUAUUGUUCAAGGGUAAACUGGAAUUUUUGUCUGUUCUUUUACCAUUUAACCAAAUGCCUAACUAGAACCUUCAUUUUCUUUUGGACAGGUUUCAGUGGGGUGCACGAGAAGGACCACUUUGUGAUGAACCAAUCAGAAAUGUUAAGUUCAAGAUAGUUGAUGCUAGGAUUGCGCCUGAACCACUUCAUCGUGGAUCUGGUCAAAUAAUUCCAACAGCUCGGCGUGUGGCCUACUCAGCUUUUCUUAUGGCAACCCCAAGGCUCAUGGAACCCGUAUAUUAUGUGGAGGUACUUACUUGAUAAUUGUAUUAUAUUAAAGAAAUAUGCAUACCUAAGGGAGAAUAUAUAGACUUUUCCUGCUUGUUACUGUGACUAAAGGAACAAGACAGCAGUGGAAUAUGAUGAAUUUGACAGAAAGCUCAGUAGAAUGCUCAUCCUCAGUUUCCAUAACAUACUAUUUUGAAUAAAUGCAAUUAGCUCAUUUAGAGUUAGAGUUUCUUGCUUGGAUUGUCCUACUAAUUGUGUUUUAUGUUCUUUCAGAUACAAACACCAAUUGACUGUCUCACUGCAAUCUAUACGGUGUUAUCUCGCAGACGUGGGCAUGUUACAGCAGAUGUUCCUCAGCCUGGGACUCCAGCUUAUAUUGUUAAGGUGAUAGCAGCACUUUUUCGUACCCAGCUUACAUGCUGUUGGUUUUAUACAAGUAAAUAUAUGGAGAUGGUUGACACACACCCACAUAUACUUCAAGCUUUCUCUUAUUCGUUUCUAAUUUUUGAAAUUGGAUUUCAGGCAUUUUUACCUGUCAUAGAAUCAUUUGGUUUUGAGACGGACUUGAGGUACCAUACCCAAGGUCAAGCAUUUAGCCUCUCGGUGUUUGAUCAUUGGGCUAUAGUCCCUGGAGAUCCCCUUGAUAAGAGCAUUGUUCUGAGGCCACUUGAGCCUGCACCAAUCCAGCACCUUGCCCGUGAAUUUAUGGUGAAGACAAGGCGUCGCAAGGUAUACCCCUCUCCCUUCUCCCAGGGUCUCUCUCUUUCUGUUACGUGGAUGACUUUUUCAAGCUCUUGGAGCGUUGGAAGAUUGUUACUUCAAAAUUUAUUAUUUUUCUGAGCUGCACGAGAAUUCCAAAUCUAGCAUAGUGCUCUAUGGAAAUGGGUUUUUUAUAACACCUCCUAUGCUGUUAAUAGAUAAAACCAAUAGCCAUUUGGUAAUGCUUUUUGUUUCGAUUCUAUAUUCCAGGGAAUGAGUGAAGAUGUGAGCAUUAACAAGUUCUUCGAUGAGGCUAUGGUGGUUGAGCUGGCUCAGCAAGCAGCUGAUAUUCAUCAACAAAUGAUGUGAUACUUCCAAUGUUGGUGCUUAUUUAGCCAUAGGCCAUAGGAAGCACUUCUUUCAGGCAGUUUUUAUCUGUCUUUACAUGUGUUGAAACCUGGAUAGCAGAUAGUAGUGCAGACUGAUAUCCCUAGCAGUUGGGGCAGAACACCGCUAACAAAAAGAAAGGAUGUCCAACGAGUAAAUUCAAAAUUUUGAAUGUUUGAUGUAAUAUUGUAUAAUAUUUACUGUUAGUGGCAUGAAAAACUCUCCUUUUGAGCCCAGGGAGGUGGUAAUGCAAGCAAGGUUGGAUUAUUUGUUCGAAGAUCUCAUGAUUGGUUUGCUCACCUUAUUUGGGUUUGCCUUACUGGCAUGCCUCCCCACCGCAAUACGGGCAUCGAGGCCUCCAAACAAACAUCCUGCCCUCCUGGGAUUAAAACAUUAACCUUGAAGUGAAGGGAUAAAAAUAAAUCAAGAAGAAACAUAGUAUGUGUUAUUGCCAUUAAUAUAACCUGGAACAGAAUCUCUUUUAUCAUCGCAACAUUAACUUCAGCUAACUACUAACUCUUGAUAACUACUAACUCUUGAUGGUUACAAAUCGUCUAUUCGUUCUUUUUAUUUUGAUGUUCUAUUUUUGGAUCUUAUCAUUUCUCGAUAAAUUUGCUUUAAUUGCCUAUAAUUUUUUUUAUAGUUGAUUUGUUUGUGUGAACAACAAUUCGUAGUUGAUUUGUUUGUGUGAACAGUAGCAUGCUGAGUAGUGUUUUCACCAUGCCUUUUAAAUUAUAAUUAAUAAUAACAAGAGGAUUAUUACUUUGUUUCAAUGUGUAGCCAAUAUUGUAUGAGAGCUAGGUGGUCGGAUGAUGUUUUACAUUGUAGUUGAACUAUAUUUUUAAAAUAUUUUGAAUUUUUUAGUUUUAAAUUUUUUUGUGUGUGUUUUUGGAUCGUUUUGAUGUGUUGAUGUUAAAAAUAAAAUUUUAAAAAAUAUUAUUUUGAUAUAUUUUUAAAUAAAAAAUAUUUUAAAAAACAAUUUCUAACACUCUAAGACAGUGUUUGUUUAAGAGGUUGCAUCAAAAACCUAUUUGGUAAUUAAAAAAAUAUCUGUUAUUGUUCAUGGGUCUCACGGAAUGCUGCAUUUGAAAUGCAAGAACAAGAGAAGUAGCUUUGAAAUGCAAGAACAAGAGAAGUAGCUAGGAGCUGCUUCCUGCGCAGCAAAACGCUGAACCAUGCUCCACUGUUCAGUGAACAGUGGAGGCAUGCAUCCACUGUUCCGGCCGGACCGGGUCCGGUUUAAAGCUCAAAAUGCAUUGAACCAGUCCGACCCAGUAAAAUAAAAAAAUUAUUUUUUAAUUGUGUUUUAUUCGAAAAACUAGUGUUUAACAUUAUUCAAUGACACUACUUAAAUUAGACGGAGAGCGCUUGAACACGUAACAUUUGUAGAAUUUGAUCGCAAUCCCAAAUUAUAGAUAGUUUAAUGGAACAAUAAAAAAUAUUUUAUAUAAAGUAUUAUUUAUUUCAUGAUGUAAUAACAAUAGUUAAAUCUACAAUAUUUAAAUUAAAAACCAUUAAUAUUAAUAUAUAUUUUUUUAAAAUUAUUUUAUAACGUCAAUUUCAAAAACAUUCUUAACCAAACACAUUAAACUACUUUUUAUUUAACCUCAAUUUCAACUACAGUUUUAACCAAACAUACAUAAAUACCAAACCAACCUCAACUAAAUAUAUUUUUUAUAAAAUAACUUUUUUUAAAUUAUAACCACAAAAGCCACAGAAUACCAAACAGUUGCAUGACUUAAAGAUCUUCUUAGAGGAAAGGAGAUGGAAAUGCAAGGGGCUUUUUAAUACUUUUUUUAAAAAUUCUGUUACUAGGUUUUGCAAGAAUAUAUGAACUUGUUAUUAUUAAUCUAAGUUUUUCUUUUUAUUAUGAAUACUAGCAUGUUGUUUUGCAAGUGGAUUAACCCUUUUUUUCUCUUCAAAUCUGAUCUUAAAAAAAGAAGGAAAAUCAACCUAUUCACUUUAAUGUCGAGUCAAACAUUUCUCCUUCUCAGUUAAGAAAACAAAACACAUUGGGGGCUUGGACCGUUAAUAAAAUGCCGAGAAUCACGAAUGGUCCAUCUCCUUCUCAUAUUUGAUCAUAUCAAAUUCCUUACUUUUAAUUGGAUCAAAUCUACCCUCCCAUCUUCACCAAUAAUCAAAUGGUUAUAUGAAUUCCAUGUGUUUUGAUAUAUUAAUUAUUAAGAUGAAGGAUCUCUAAUCGAAAAUAAAGGGACCAAUUUGACUCAAUGUAAAAAUAAAUGAUGUAAAUUGACCAAUUUACAAAACUAUAGGGAUGAUUUUGAAGCAACUGGAAAACGAAACAUCAGGCUAAACCCCAUCUGAGAUCCAACUCUCUGCCCAGAGAACCUAACCCUCCCUUUGGUCUAAAACUAACGUAAUCAUCUUCUUUUUUUCCUCUUAAUCACCAAUCCAUGUCUUAAAAAUCAUAAAAUUCUUAUCGAUUGGGUUUUCAAUUUUGUAAUACACGAUACACACACUUCCCCUUCUUUUCUCAUUUCUGCUCAAGAUUUCAUCUUUUUCUCUUUUUUUCCAAAAAGGCACACGCAUUGUGAUUUCUCUAAACCCUAAUCACAGAUCCAAAAUUUUUCUUCGGCUUAACCUCAAUUGCUAUUGAGUUCCACAAUUUCUUCUUAUACAGCAGAUUUACCCUUAAAAGUUUGGAACUUUAAGGGUAAAUCAUAUUGAAGGUUAGGAUUUUUUUGCAAUGAGCUGAUGCUACUGUGAUUUUUCUUUAUCAAUUACAAUGCAAUCGAAAACCCAAAUUCUUGCUCCAGCUUUUACCCUUUUCCCAUCUCUUAAACCUCCAAACAAGACCCUAACUUUUCACCAAUUUACAGUCUUGGCCAUCACCUUUCUCGCUUAUGCUUCAUUUCAUGCCUCAAGAAAGCCACCAAGUAUUGUAAAAGGUGUGCUUGGACCCAAAAUUCAAUUGAACUCUUCAACGAUUGAGUCUAAUUUAACUUCAUUAGAAUCCAAUGGUACUGGUUGGGCUCCCUUUAAUGGCCCUAAAGGGACUCACCGGCUUGGUGAGCUUGAUCUUGCAUUUUUGUCUGCAUAUUCAAUAGGAAUGUAUUUUGCAGGACAUGUUGGUGAUAGGAUUGAUUUAAGGUUGUUUCUUGUUUUUGGAAUGGUGGGUAGUGGUCUUUUGACCAUUAUUUUUGGGUUAGGUUAUUGGUUUAAUGUACAUUUGUUAGGAUAUUUUGUGAGUGUGCAGAUUUUGUGUGGUUUGUUUCAGUCUAUAGGGUGGCCUUGUGUGGUGGCAGUGGUUGGGAAUUGGUUUGGGAAAGCUAAGAGAGGGUUGAUAAUGGGAAUAUGGACUUCCCAUACAUCGGUAGGGAACAUUAUUGGGUCGGUUGUGGCAUCCGGGGUUUUGGAGUUUGGUUGGGGUUGGUCAUUUGUGGUGCCCGGAGUUUUGGUAAUUUUAGCUGGGGUUUUAGUGUUCCUGUUUCUUGUUGUUAAUCCUGAAGAUAUUGGAUUUGAGACUCCAGGGAAGGAAAUUGAAAUGGAUGUGGAGGUGAAUGGUUUGGAGAAUUUGGAGAAGGUGGAAUCAGAAGAAGCAGGGCUUCUUGGGGAGGAAAACUUGGAUUCUACCGCAGCCAUCGGAUUCCUGGAGGCUUGGAGAUUACCUGGUGUGGCACCAUUUGCUUUCUGCCUCUUCUUUUCAAAGCUAGUGGCGUACACUUUUCUAUAUUGGUUGCCCUUCUACAUAAGUCACACAGGUAUUUGCUUCUUCUUGACUUUGAAAUUCUUAUCAAGAGCUGAUUUGCUCAUGCUAAUCAUUUUUGCAUGCAUUUAGAUAUGAGUGUCAUAUAAGAACGGGACUGUGAUGGCGAUGAGAAUUUGCUAUCAUCAACACAAAUGGUGCCCUUAUUUAUGAAUUCUCGAAAUUUGAUUGUAGGAGACCAUUUCUUCUUAUCAUGGCUUGAACUCUCUUUUAUUGGUUCAUCUGGCUGAUGCACUCGCAUCUUUUUGCUUAGUUUGCUGAAGUAUGCCUUUGCAUAUAUUUGAAUUUGUUAGAUGCUGGAUGUCAGUUUUAAUAAUUUUUUUUUUGGGAAUUAAAGAUGUUGCUGGCGUGCAUGUGUCCCACAAGACUGCUGGAAUUCUUUCAACGGUAUUCGAUAUUGGAGGAGUCUUUGGCGGAGUUUUGGCAGGAUUUGUAUCUGAUAUGAUUGAAGCUCGGGCAGUGACUUCAAUAGUAUUCUUGCUUCUAUCAAUUCCAGCCCUUGUUCUGUACCGGGUUUAUGGAAGCGUGUCUAUGCUCCUCAAUAAUGCUUUGAUGUUUCUUUCUGGGCUGCUUGUAAAUGGCCCGUAUGCUCUAAUUACAACAGCUGUUGCAGCUGAUCUUGGUACCCAGGACUUGAUUAAAGGAAAUUCCCGAGCCUUAGCUACUGUGUCUGCAAUUAUAGAUGGCACAGGUUCUGUUGGGGCAGCUGUUGGCCCCCUUCUGGCAGGGUAUAUCUCCACAAGAGGAUGGAACAGUGUCUUUCUUAUGCUUAUUGUUUCUAUAUUCCUUGCGAGUUUGUUCUUGAUUCGAGUUGCGAAAAGUGAGAUUAAAGGGAUGCUGAACGAUAGAAAAUGGCUUUCAAACAAUGCAACUGCUCAAUGAUGGAAAGUGCUUCUAAGAUUAUCGUCUGUAUUCCUUUUACAUCUAGUCAUAGAACAGGUUCCAUGGAAAAACACUUGGAUAUAAAGGAUCCUGCAAGUAUACAUGUCUGUAUUUUGUAACUCAUUCUUUGAUCAGAUAUAUUCUUACUUUCUGUUGUACAUGUACAAACAAAGAUACCAAUAAUAUAAGCCUUCUACAUUCUACACUACUGUUCAGGGACACUCUAGCACCCGCUAUUUCUAACAUUUUUUAUUGGUUCAUCACAAAUUGGUAUUCCUAGCACGUCCAGCAAUCAACCUUUAACAGUCGAAGAUACAACACUUGGAGGGCAUUCUCAAAAAUAAAUAAACAAAUAAAAUUUGAGGGGCAUGAGAUGGAUUACAAGCAUUGCAUGUUGUGCCCUGUAACAGAACAGUUUAAGUGAUUUAUCAAGAAGGUAAAGCAACACCAAAUUUCACAAAUGAUAGUCUUACAGCUUUGUGGAUAUGUAAACUGAUUGUUGGAGAUCAAACAUGCCAUUUCAAUAUAAGCGAUUAAUUACCUUAUAUGGUGAAUCCAGAGAAUGAGUACACAGAGAUAAGAAUGGCUGUGCUAUUUUUAGUAGUAACUGAAACUGUAUAUAGCAACGAGCUUGAGAUUGAACUAGCUAUAUGACCUACCCGUGCUCUGCCACAACUGCGAUAAAAAAAAUUUAGAAAAAAAUAAUGUUCAUCAAUGCAGCGUAUUUUAAAGGAAGCAUGAAAAAAAAUAAUAAUAUUAGAUGAUAAAAUAAAAUAAAAAAAAAGAUGUUAUUUGAGUUAUUUUAUUAAAAACAAUAAAUUUAAAAUAAAAUUAAAGUUUAACUCUCAAUAAAUCAAAUAUUGAAUGAUAUAAUUAAAAAUAAUAUAUAUAUAAGGAUUAAAAAAUGUAAUAAUUGUUAGCUAAAAACUAACUUGAGUUUGUCUGAGUUAACUCACCAAACUAAUAGUUAGGUUAUGAGAUCGAGAUAAACUGAGAGAAGAAAAAUAAAAAUAAAAUUACGAAAUCUUAUUUUUUAAAAGACCAAUGUUAAUCCUUGUUAGCCUAUAAAACCCAUGUUUUAGGCCAUUUGACUAGAAGUAUCAAACAUGAAAAAAUCAUGAAAGUCAAUUCUUAACAAAUCAAAUAUUAAUCAAUUCUUAAUAAAUCAAAUAUUAAAGGAUAAAAAAACAUCAAUCACACAAAAAGAUUCAAAAGAAAAAAACAACAAUAAUUAAAACGAAAAAAAAAUAGUCCACUCGAGUUAACUCCUAAUUAUAAAAUCAAUGUAAAAAAACUAAAAAAACCAUUAAAUCUAUUUUUUUAAAAAAAUUCAACUUCGGGUAAAGACGUCUAAAUAUAUACACCGCAAAUUGCUAUGUUUAAAAACUCAUAUUUUUAUAAAAUAUAAAAUAUUGACUUAUAUUAACGAAAAUUCAAGUCUCUAUGAAUCUAUUUUAAAGGAAGAAUUAAAAGCCGGAUUAUUUCAUUUAAAUAAAAUAUUGAAUAAAGAUUAAAUAUUGUAUUAUUUGGUAUGAUAGAGUAAUUCAUCUUAUAACUAAUAAAACGAAGAAUAUCAUUUUGAUGUUUCUUUUGCUGUUACGUAUGAUUGGAAAUAAGUUUUGAUAAAUUAGUUUGCAACAUAAAUAGAUUUGUCCCUCAAAUAUCAAUUUUAUUGAUUGGGUCCUUCAUCUAUAUACCUCUCCGCAAUCGGAUCCUUUUGUUAAAAUAAUUGAAGGCAGUAUUGAACAACGAUGCACCUUCUGGCCAUUAAAUGUUUGGUCACCGUAAUUUUUUUAAUAUGUUUUGGAUCGUUUUAAUGUGCUGAUCUCAAAAAUAAUUUUUAAAAAAUUAAAAAAACAUUAUUUUGAUACAUUUCAACACGAAAAGUACUUUAAAAAACAAUCGCAACCAGACUCCUAAAAUCCAGCUAUCACCUUCAAUUCCAGACAAGUUAGAAAAACAAAGGCAUGAUUGAAGCAAUUUUAUGACCACACGCAUGCUCCUACAUGUGUUAAAUAGAGGGGAAAGUUGGCAUUCUCACAUCUAAUUGAUAAAAUUGGUGGCCUUUUCUUUUAUUUCCACGAAAUUCAAUUUUCAAUUUCAUCCUUCUUUACAUGGUGCCAUUUUGCAAGCCACUUGCUCGUUAGCCUAGUAGAGAGUAUCUCUUAGCCCUUGGGUCCAAAUCUUUGAGUUAAGUAGAAACUUAGUUGAAUGAAAAGAGCCCUGAGACGUUCGUAUAUGAUUUUACACAAGCGUGAAAGAGAAUGCGCCUGCAUAAACAAAACAUUAAUUGUUACUGUGAUCAAUGCAUCUUCUGGAUGAAAGAAUACCAGAGAGGUGAAAUCAUGCAGUUAAGGGCAUGCUUACUCUGGCAUUGAUCAUUUACCCUAAAUCAGUCCCUGCCUCGUAUAAGCAAAUCCAUUCUUCGGACCAAUUUCUUACUAGGCACCUUUAGCAGGCAAUGACAAGAUAAAGGGGAGAAAAGGGAAUGUAUAGACUGUUGCAAGGACUCCAGUGAAUGAGGCAAGAAUGAUAGGAGGGAAGAAAAAUGCAGAUUCUAUUUGCCCAUGAAUUUAUAUACAGCAUACACCAACAAAACUUGAGGACAGCCAAUUUAGCUAUGUACUGUUAUUUGAUUGGCUCUACCCUCCUCCACCACCUGGGGAACUUGGAUGGAAAGUUUUAAGCACUACCUUCUAGCAAGCAUUUGAGAUUCUGAAGCCCCUCGGCGGAAAUGCUUCGCCUGACUCUUGCCCUCUGUACCACCACUGGUGGCGGUGGCUCUGAGUGAAAGCUAACAAUUACAACUGUCAAGUUGUCAGUUGCUCCCCGUUUUAAUGCUUCCCCUACCAUUUCUCUGCAGCAUCGCUUCAAAUCAUUGUGCUCUUGAAGUCUCUUCCGAACAAAAUCUACUGCAUUUUGAUUUGAAUAUACAUCCCAUAUUCCAUCACUUCCGAUUAUCAAGAACUCAUCUUCCUUCGUCAGUGUAACCAAUUUAAGUUCUGGUUCGGCACUUAAGGGCCCACUUCUGUCACCCUUUUUCUUCAUUCCUUCAAGGUGCCAAUCACCUAAUGCGCGGGUAACAGCUAACUGACCAUUUAGAUAACCAUCAUCAAUGAAUCCACCUAAGGACUCAAUUCUUGUCCUUUCUUUCAUGCAGCAAGGUCUAUGAUCCUCUGACAUUUCCUUCGCCCCUCCACCCCGUGAUAAUACUGCCCGACAAUCACCAGCAUUUGCCACAAGCAAUGACCUGUCCAAGAAAGACAUUUUUUUAAGAUAACGCACUUUGUGAGAAGACAUAACAGAAUGUCAAUAUAUGAUAAAACUAAUGGAUUGGAGCAAUUCCUGACAACGCAAGAUCUUAGGUGACAUGACAGAUCUUUUUGAUUGGUCAGAAAGCUACAAUUGGGUCAUCAUUAACCUUAAUGACUAUAGCACAUUCAGGACUGUUAACCCAGCACAGAAUGGCCUUGGAAGUGACAGAUGGACUAAACAAAAGGGAUGCAAAGGGCUAGAAAGUCAUGAAUAAACCAUAGGAAGCAGAUGACUGACUACAGAAAAACGAUAAGAAGCUGUUACCUCCCAAAUAUCAUUGCAGUAAGUGCAGUCGUGCCAGAAGAACGGCCUGACUCAAGGGAGCAUGACUUUUCAAAUGCAGCAUCAAUCUCAAUGAAUGAUCUUGUAACCACUUUCUCAAGUUUUACAGGGAAAUCGGCAUCCUCAACAAUGACUCUUGGUAAAUGCUCGCGUACAAAAUGUGCUGCAGUCUUUCCUCCAUGCCCAUCAAAUACCUGUUUUCCAAAGUAUAUUUAAUUCUUAAAAUAAGAAAGAAAAAAUUCCACUUCCAAUUGCUUGUUGGCUUUGUUUUUCUAAACUAUUCAUGCAAUGCAAUUACAUCUUAUCUGUUUCCAGAUGAGCAAAGUUCAAAUGAGAGAGCUAUUCUUGGUGUCAGAUGAGCACAGGUUUCUAGGAUGCUGAUUGAAAACAUGGAAGUUUCAGAUUUUCAAGUUUAAAGUGAUGCUCAGAUUUAUUUAAAGUGGUAAGCUCCGAUUCAAUUUUAGAUUAAUACUUUCUAGAACCUUCACACUUGCUAUCAUAAUCAUAAGUGAUAUGUUCAAAGAGAGAUACUACAGUCUUCCAUCAAGGUACACUAUGGUGUAGUUAAUCUCAUAAGCGAAAGAAGCCUAUAUCCUAAAAUAUUGCUACCCGAUGAACUAGAAGACCAAAAGCUAUGAUUUUUCCAUAAGGGAACAGAAAGCACAAGUAAAAAUACAGUAUUGAUUAGAACCAAAACAGCACAAAAACAUAAAAUUCAUUAGCAGCUGAAAUAGCAGAUGAACAACAGAACAGGAAAAUAACUUACACCAUAGAAAGAAAUAGCAUGCUCGCUUAGUAAACUGUAACCAAACUUCUUAGCCAAGUCACUAAUGCAAAUGUGCGUAUCUUCCAUAUAAGGCCGACCACCAAUAUCAGACCACUCUCCUGAGCGAAGGGUGGGAAAAAAAUCUGUUAACAGAUUCUGUUUCCUUUCUGUGACCACUCUAUCCUCACAAAUGCUUUCCAACUGAAUGAACCACCACAAACAAAAAAAACUAAAAAUGAGAUAGCAGAAGAACAAAUAGUGAUAAAGAAUAAUAUUCCAUCAGAGGGUAUAGCAACAAUGAUAUGUGUAUCUGGCCAAUAUAAGUAUGCACUAUUGCAAACUAACAGUGAAGGGAAAAAUAAAUGGAUAAGAACCAAGUACAAAGGCAAUAACAAAAAUGAGAUUAUAGACAUAGAAAGGUAUUAAAUGAUUGAUAAUUAAGAAUAUAGAAGGGUUCCUGCAUACAGUUUACAAGAUAUUAUAUAAAUAAAAGUUAAAUCAGGGUUACUAUGACAAAUUGACAACCAUUACUGCUCUUUAAUCAAUACCGAAGUCACUGGAGAAAAUCUCUCUCUCUCUCUCUCUCACACACACACACUAUCUAUCCAUCUAUUUCUCCAUGACAACCAUGAGUCCAAGAAGAACAGCGACUAAGUCAAGGGAAUAUAAUUGAAGUUAAUUAUUUACCACAGAAAGCAACACCACCAUGUUGGUGGUGUGCAAAAAGGUAAAUUAAUACAAAAGAAAAGUCAUAAUACUGUAGCUACCAAAUUGAAGUACCAAACAAUAAAUUAUUCAAGGCAGAGAUAUUAAGCUAGGAAAAAAAAAGUUACAGCCACUUAUCUCCAAUGCCCACCAAAUACAUGAACCAGCAACAAUUUCAUAAUUACACAACCAGCUAAAAGUCUGAAACUUUUUAGAGUAAGGAAAAAGAAAUCAGAAAGCAAUUAUGGAUCAUCAAUAACUUCAUAAGUUUCAGAAAAAGAAAACAAUAUGGAAAAAGAAAUUAUGGAAAAAGAAAUCAGAAAGCAAUUAUGGAUCAUCAAUAACUUCAUAAGUUUCAGAAAAAGAAAACAAUACAAGUUCCUCAACAAACAUCAAUUUAAACAAAGCAGUAAUGAACAGAAAGCAAUAAACUCAAUUCUAACAACGACGACGACGACGACAAAAAGAAGCAAAAUUCAGAACACAAAUAUGGGCAAACAAAAAAAGAAAAGACCCAACUUGGGAAACCAAUGAAAUUUGAGAAAGAAAAGAAAUAUUACAGGAUAAGAGUUGGCAACACUGAUCCCACCACUAGAACUAAUCAAAGAAGAGUCUUGAUCAAAAUUCUCCAUCUGGGUUUGCAAGAGGUCACCAUGCAAAGGCAAAGAUUGCAUCUUGUUGCUAUUGCUGUUAUUACAACUACUAUUAUUGUCAAUUGGGUUCUACAUUUCUUGCUUUGCAUCCUUUACACACAUGGUUGUUGUCAAUAUUAUUAUUGUUAUUAUGUUGGUGACAGAAAAAAGAAAACAAGAAGACUUAUUUAAGUCUUUAGCAACUAGUUGUUGUCUUUGUAGGAAUCCAAAGAAGCAACAACACGAGCCAAAAAAAAAACACAGAGGAAGACACAAGGAGAGAGAGAAUCAAAGAGAAAAACUUGGAAUACAGAGAGGGGGGGUGGAAGAUUCUGUGGAAUAUCUCUAUCGUGAUGAUGGUGAAAAUAAAAUGAAGGACUAGUUGAUGCCUUGGUGGAGGGAGGGUGAGAGAAAGAGAGUAUAAAUAAGAGCUGUUAAAUUCCAGAUUUUUCUAAGAAAGAGUGGCUGAAAAUCAGUUGGUUAAGCUGUUCUUGUUUUUGUUGUUCUUAUGGGCAUGCUGGAUGCAUAAAAUAAAUCGUACAGUUUUGGGUAUUGUGAUGUUUUUUUAUAAAAAAAAAUAUAUUAAAAUAUUAGAAAAUAAAAAAACAAAAAAAAAUAUUUUUUUAAGCACGGCCACACCGCUAAGCUUUUAAUUGCUAAAAGGACUUUGAUGUUGCUAUAUAUUAUGGCAUAAUUGCUAAUAUUGUCAAAGCUUGAAUGAGUUGUUGAUAAAUUAAGAUCAUGGUAUUUUAUAAUAUUAAUAUGAGGAGUUGGUCAAAUAUAUAUCAUUUUUAUUCCUUGGAGUGUAGACUUUAGAAUAAAAUUUUAAUUUAUUUUCAAGUUUCAACAACCUAAUUUGUUUUUAAUCCAUGAUGAUCGAUAUUUUAAAUUAAGAUCAUGGUAUUUUAUAAUAUUAAUAUGGCCUUUGUGUACGAGGGAUUUGGUAGGGAGAAUUUCUAGGUAAAGUUUACUGAACAAGAAAAAGAUUUUGCCUUUGUGACAUGAAUUCAUCUGGGUUCUGGAAUUGUGAUGGAAAUCCAAUAAUUCAAUGUGCCUCCGAAGUUCAGCAUUGGAUAAAUGAUGGCCCGAAUCAUUUGAAAUGAAAUCCCAUUUCAUUUCUCGAAAGUUCAUGGAACCAUAAUAUUUGGUAAUUUUUUUUUUGACAUUGCAAUAAUGUUUACUCUUCAAAUUAUUUUUUAUUUAAAAAAAUAGUAAAUUAAUAUUUAUUUACAUAUUUUUCAAUGAUUUUAAUAUGAUACUAUUAAAAAUAAAAGAAAUUAUAAAAAAUAUUAUUUUAAUAUAUUUUUAUUUAAAAAAUAUUUUUUAAAAACACAAUGCACCACGUUAUUAAACACACUCAAAAUAAAAAUUAACUUUUUUUAAUGCAUAAAUAAUUUUUUUUUUAGUUGUGAUAGUUCACAAAUUAUUUUUGAAAAAAGUUACUCUAAUCAUGAUAUAAUUUAGUUGUUUUUAAACUUAUUCUUCGUGUUUUUUAAAAUUACAGUUUAUAUUCUUGAUAAGUAUAAAAUAAACUAAAUUAUAUUGCGCAACAAGGUUUAAGAUAUAAAUUAUAAUUUUUUAAAAUACAGAAAAUAAAUAUAAAAAUGACUAAACUAUAUAAACUAAUCAAGCUAAUUUCUCUUAUUUUUAACUAUUGUGCUGUUUUUUUUAUAUAAAAAAAAUAGAAGAAAAAAACCCCUUCGAUCACCUGUUGAAAGCAUCCAUCAAGAUGAUGCAAUGGGACAAUUUCACCCUUAUAUAACAUGGAAAUAGACUCUUGUGGGAUUUACUUGCAUCAUUCCCAGUCAGACUGAAAAGACCAUCAUUAUUCAUUCUUAAGAGCUACAUAAAGGUUGUUAAUGAUUGCAGCGAAGCUACUAAAUGUUUUAUGGUCAAAUAUCAAGAGAUCUGAACAUUUUCACCCCCUUCACAUGUCAAUUCUCCAUGCCUAAUGGGGCUUGGUUUAUUCAUUCAAUUGCUAGAAAGAACAGAGAAUGAGAUGCCAGGAGAAUUGGUUUUCAUUGGUUAGUGUGUGAGCUAAAAGAUACUUGAUAAAUCGUGGGACGAUGAUGGAAGACAAUGACUUCGGAUUUAUUUCCCUUUUGCUUUCUACAAAAGGUAGUGGUGGCUCGCACCGUUUUCUCUUCUAUAAAAUAUAUCUUUUUCGAAGCUAAAAGGGCCCUUGCAAUCAAUGCCAAGAGAGUUCACAUCCUAAGGCUACCUUGCUCGUCUUUCUUUGCAGUAUAAAAAUCUUUCUUUCAAGGGAAAUGCAGUCCCAAUUCUUCCCAUCAAGGAAAGUAUCAAGAUGUUGUCUAAAAAGAAUGCAAGAGGGAUCGCUCCUUUUGUGUGGUUUGGAAUUGAGCAUUACCAAAAAAGUUAGGUUAUUAUAAUCAUAAACCUUUUCUCGCACUUUACACUGGUCAAAGACACAAGAUAAAUAAAUAAAUAAAUAAAUAAAAUGAAGCCGCUUUCAUUAGUCUUAUGAUUUUGUUGACGAAGGAAUCAUCUUGGUUGCUUCGUAUAUGACCUAGGAGGGUCUUAGCCUUCAACAUGAUCCAUUCAACGAUGAAUUAGUGUUUUUAGCAUAAGCAUUUGGCAUCUUCUCCCUUUCAAAUCCACAAAUUUGUUUGCUCUAAAGAUAUGCCUUACAAGUUUGAAAGCAAUAAAUUAAGCCUUUAAAAAAAAAUAAAAAAGUGAUGGUCCAAUUAAGACCAACCCAUCAAGCCAUGUGGAUCCAGAUAGCACAGUCCCGUAAUCCUUCCACUGCCAAGAGCGGGAGGUAUUCGCUGCUCUGUGAAACCAGCCUCACGCUGUGCCCUCCACUCUAGGAGUCAUGACACCCCAGUUUACAGGAGGAUGCCAUGGCUCAACUCAUGGCUUGGAACGGGCAGGCCAGAUUCGAGCCCCACCGAACUCAGUUAUCUAAGCUAAGGCAACGUUCCAUCACAUCAAAGCUCCCACUUGGGUCACAAGCCCACGUUACUGAGCUCAGCAGAUCUGCUAUGGGGAUGAACGAGUGUUGUAAAGUAGUGGUAUGUUUUCUUUUCUUUCAAUGUGGGAUUUCAUUCACACCUCAAUCAGGUGGUUUAUGGGGGGAAUCUGUCAAAGAAAACACUGCACUGAAAAUAAAAACGAAUAAGAUAUUGAACCCAAAUCGCAUUGAAAAUAAAAACGAAUAAGAUAUUGAACCCAAAUCGCAUUGAUUGUGACAAGCAUUGUGCUGGGGGGGUUAUUAGACAUUGGAGAGGAUGUGGAGUGUCAAGUUCGUGGCUCUAAUCAAAGACAAACAAUGGACCAUGGUUACGUCAACUUUAGAUGAAGAGAAAGUAGAAGGGCCUAGAUGGAUGGAAUGUGGUUCAAUUAUAUUUUUAAAAAAUUUUGAUUUUUUUUAUUUUAAUUUAAUUUUUUUUGGAUGUUUUUGAACCGUUCUGAUUUACUAAAAUUAAAAAUAAAUUUUAAAAAAUAAAAAUAUUUUAAUUUAUUUUCAAACAAAAACAUUUUAAAAAAUAACUUCUACGAUCUCGUAGAAUAAUUGCAUGCUAAUCUCAAAAUAAAGCAAGAAUCUUGUGAGGUCACGGGAUAGGAAUUCAUUCUAUAAGCAAGGUAUGGAUGGCUAGAAACACACAGGAUGGAUGGAUUUUAAGCCCUCUGUGCUACAAAUGAGAUUCCACUCUUUCUGCGAGAAAAUGCCAAUACUCUAAAGUAAAUAAGAGAUAAACUUCGUUAAGAUCUAGAAAAACCUUAAUUCCUUCUAAGAUAAUCAUAAAGCAUGUCUGGACGCUAUGGAGGCCCUCUCUGUUUACGGUCAAAGACAAAAAAAAUGAAGCCAUUUUCAUUAGAUUAUGAUUUGAUUGACAAAGGAAUCUCUUUUGCUUGACUGGUACGUGUCCGAUCUCAGCGGCAGUCCAUUUUCUUCCACUGGCACCUGUUACGUCAUUGCACUAGCAUUUGGCAACUUGUUGUGUCUUUUAAACCUUUAUCAAACCCGGCUCGGGAUUGAACCGGUCAAAGAAUUGAGCUCUAGUUAUACAGGUUGAUUUAAAUAAACCUAAAUCAACUUGAAAAAAUUAAAAAAUAAUAUAUGUUAUUCAUGUUAUAAAUAAUUAGAUUUUAAAAAAUAUUUUAAAAUGUUUUCUAAUCCACGUAAAAAAAAACAUAAUUUUUUUAUUGUGAGCAUUGAAUAUAUAAAGAGCUUCAAAUAUAAAAAUAAAACAUAUUUUUAUUAUUUUAUAUUUAUAUAAUGAACUUUAAAUUAAUAAUUAACUGAAAAAAACAUAAAAAAAAGAAUUUUUGAUAGGAUGAAAACUACAUUUGAACAAAAAAAAAAAAAAAAUAUCUACCAAAUUUUAACGGAUCACCUAAAUUCCAGGUUGAUUCAACCAGUCAAAUAAUUUUCUCCAGGCUAACCCAAGAUUCAUGACUCUGUCGAAGAUUCGUAAAACAAAAAAGAAACGAUUACAAAUUAAAAAAAGUGACGGUCCAAUUAGACCAGCUCUUCAAGCCAUGCAGAUCCAGUUGGCACCGGCCCGUAAUCCUUCCACUGCCAGGAGCGGGAGGUGAUCGCUGCUCUGUGAGACCAGCCUCACGCUGUGCCCUCCCCUCUAGGAGCCAGAACACCCAGGUCUUCACUAGGAUGCCUUGGCUCAACUCCUGGCUUGGAACGGGCGGGUCAGAUAAGAGACAGCCUGAACCCGACCUUACGUGCAUAGUCCACGUCCCAUCACUUUAAAGCCCCCACUCAGGUUACAAGCCCGCGUUACCGAGCUCAGCUGGUAAGCAUGUGUCAGGAUUAGGUAUAUAACAUUCAUAUAUUUUUCCUUUCUUUCCGAUGUGGGAUGUUCCUCUCUUACGUGUUCAUUAGGGAAAAAGCUUUGAAUGAGCAAAAAUCUCGGGGCAUAAAAGGUAAUAGAUUCAGGAAGGAGAGGAUUCUCCACUUUCUGGAGAAUCUUGCACUAGGUAAACAACAAGAGAAAUUACAUCAUGAACAAUAACUCACGUUCAUGUGUUACCAAACAGCUUGUAGCUUCAAAUCGCAGGAAACGUGGACGCCACCACGUUGCCAAACGGACUCUAAGUCAAUGCAUACUUUUUUUUUUUUUUCAACGUUGGACAAGUAGAAGUGGUGAAAGGGUUGCAUAAAAUUGAAAGAUGAUUGAUUAAUGAAUCAAUGGCAGCAAAAGUUAAGAUCAUGAACCUUGAUGGCUGUAGAACCAUUGCUUUGAAAACAACUCUUUAAUGUAUAUCUUCGACAAUCAUGAUUUAAUUAAAAACAUGAAAAUGAAGAGAAAAAAAGAAUCUCGUUGUCCAUUUGCUGUCAAACUAUGCUGUUCGAAACUCCAGGAGUAGCCUCUUACAUAAGAGAUAACCCUAAAACCAAUAUGGCUGUAACACCAGCAUAAACAGAAAAAAUGGAAGUUAAACCUCACAUUCCUGUGAAGGCCUUCUUCCCACUACAUGGAAAUAUACUACAAAUGAAAUUCCACUAUUUCUGCAAGAAAAUGCCAGUAUUUUAAAGUAAAUAAGAGAGAAACUUUGUUUAGAUCUAGAAAAACCUUAAUUUUCCUAUUAUUAACUAGAACUAAAUAGUGUGGUGUUUUUACUAUGCCCUGCCUCAAUUGUUCAUCCUCUUAUAUUUUACUGUAGAUAGACUAUGUAAAAUUUUAUAUUUUUUUUUUGUACUCGAAUUGUUUUUGGGCAAUUUAGUCUUAAUUAAAAAACAAUUGAUUUUAAAUUCUUAUGAAAAGAUGGGGUUGGAAGAGGGGAGAAUAAAAUGAAAAACACGGCAAACAUGAGUGACGAGCUAUAAGUUUCCAAUUCUAUUUUGGUACAAAAAAAUUAUUUUUGUUAUUUUUUCAUAUUUUUAUUAUUUUAAUUAAUGCUUCUUUUUUAAAAAAAAAAAAAAACUUAAUUAUUUGUACAUUGAUACUCCUCUUUUUUAUUAUGUUUAGAAAGCCUCUUUUAGAUGAAGGUGAUUUUUAGUUAUGUGUUUAAUUUUUGAAAAUAUUUUUCUAAUUCAUCUAUGAUAUAUAUUUUUUUAUCUUUUUUAUAGAUGAACUAUAUUUUUAAAAAUAAAAAAUAUUAAUUUUCAGAUGAUAUUUUCAAUAUGUGUAGCCUUGUAUAUUAUUCAUGUUCUCCUUUUAUUUUAUUCAAUCAAUUUAAUAUGUUUGUCUAUUUUUAUUAUCAUUUGAUUAAAUAAAAAAUAUUUUAAUAAAUAAAAAUUAGCAAACAUGAUCGGGUUGAAGUCCCGUUUUACGAGAUUAAAUAUCUUAAUCUAAAUCUGCUACGAUUUUUCUAGUUUUAUGUUUAGAUGUUGUUAAUUAUUAUUUAUUAGAGUACAUAGUUUUCAAUUUAUUUAAUUAUAUCCGUGAAUAAAUUUUUUGAAUUGCAUAUACAUUUUUUUAUUUAUAAAAAUACAUAGAGAAACUUGUAUAUAAAAAAUAAAAAUAUUUAUUCAUGGACAAGUACAAGUUACAUAACUAGUGAUAAUCAUAAAACAUGUCAUGAUGCCAUGGUGGCACUCACUGUAUAUGGUCAAAGACAAAAAAAUGAAGCCAUUUUCAUUAGAUUAUGAUUUGAUUGACAAAGGAAUCUUUUUUGGCUGACUGGUACUAUCUCAGGCAGCAGUCCAUUUUCUUCCACCUUCCACUGAGUCACUGACAGCUGAUGUGCCAUGCUCAUUUCGGGUAGUUGGUAUAAAAACAAAAAUCAAAAACUUAAUCGAACCGCUAUGCCAAAUGGACUCUGAACCAUGAAUUGGGUCACCUGUUACGUCAUUGCUAGUUUUAAACCGCUAUGUUGAACAUAUAAACAAAAAAAAUGAUAAAAGUGAUGGUUCAAUUAGAUCAGCCCAUCAGGCCAUGCGGAUCCAGGUGGCACCGGCCCGUAAUCCUUCCACUGCCAGGAGCGGGAAGUGAUCGCUGCUCUGUGAGACCAGCCUCACGCUGUGCCCUCCCCUCUAGGAGCCACGACACCCAGGUCUUCACUAGGAUGCCUUGGCUCAACUCCUGGCUUGGAACGGGCGGGCCAGAUAAGAAACAGCCUGAACCCGACCUUACGUGCAUAGUCCACGUCCCAUCACUUUAAAGCCCCCACUCGGGUUACAAGCCCGCGUUACCGAGCUCAGCUGGUAAGCGUGUGUCAGGGUUAGUUUUAUAAAGUUCAAAUAUUGUUCCUUUCUUUCCGAUGUGGGAUGUCCCUCUCUUACGUGUUCCUUAGGGGAGCUUGAAUGAGCAAAAUCUUGGCAUAAAAAGUAACAGAUUAAGGAAGGAGAGGAUUCUCCACUUUCGAUGGAGAAUCUUGCACUGUUGCACCAGGUAAACAAGAAGAGAAAUUACAUCAUGAAAUCACUACCCAAGUCAAGGCAUACUUUUUUUUUUUUUCUUUUCAACGUUGGACAAGUAGAAGUGGUGAAAGGGUUGCAUAAAAUUGAAAGAUGAUUGAUUAAUGAAUCAAUGGCAGCAAAAGUUAAGAUCAUGAACCUUGAUGGCUGUAGAACCAUUGCUUUAAAACCAACUCAAAAUAGCUCUAGCGAUUUAGGUCAUGUUUGUUUGCUGGAAAAUAAUUUCUUUUUUAAAAUGAAUUUCAGAAAAAUAAAUUAUUUUCUGAUAUUUGGUAAUAUAAUGGAAAAUAAGUUGGAAAACACUUUCUAGUGUUUGAUUAUAUCAUGGAAAAUGAGUUGGAAAAUAACUUAUUAAUGUUUUAUUUUUCUCAAGUUUAUUAAAAUAAUAAGGAACAAAUCUUACAAGUUAAAAAGUUGAAUGAGAAUAAAAUUAAAAAAAAAUAUAAUUUCAUAAAUUAUCUCAAAUAAAAUAAAUAAUAAUCAAAAUAAUAAAGAUCAAAUCUAAAAAAUAAAAAAUAAAAAAACGAAGAAAUUAAAAUAAUAAUAAUUAACAUUUCAUAAAUUAUUUCAAAUAAAAUAAGUAACAAACAAAAGAAUGAGGACCAAAUUUGAUAGAUAAAAAAUUUCAAUAAAAAAAUGAUAAGGAAAAAGCAAAUAAUAAUUAUAAAAAUGAGGAGCAAAGUUAAUAUAAAAAUUAAAUUUUAAGAGAUGAAAUUGAAAAAAAAAUAUUCAAAACAAAUAUAUAUAGCAAUCAAAAGUUUGAGGACCAAAUUUGAUAUAAUCAGUAAAUAAUAUGAUAUUUUUAAAUUUUUCACAACUUCCGGAAAGUGUUUUCCGCCCAAAUUUUUCAGGAAGACACUUUCCUAGAAACCAAUUUUUCUGGAAACCAAGCCAAAGUUUUCUUUGACUGGAAAGUGUUUUCCGUUUACCAACUUUUCUAAUGACAAACAAACACAGGAAAGUUUGGAAAGAGAUUUCCUGAGAAUCACUUUCUGGAAAACAAACACAGUCUUAACUUGUAAUAACAAACAAAAAGUACAAAUCUUGUAAGCACAAAUCUUAACUGCAAACGUAAGAAAGUAACCAUGUCUUUAUCAGAAGUUACACAGGCCAAUCUUUCAAAAAAAAAAAAAAAAAAAAAGGAAGAACACAGAUGAGCAAAAAAAAUUGAUGGUUUUAUUGUUCAAAAAAGGAUAAAAAAUACAGAAUCCUAUCUGUUUGUUGAUGAAAUAGCUAGUCCUCUUCCUGCCAAUUACUGCCCAAGACCAACACCACUCUUUUCUGAAUUCCUCUGAUUUUAGGAUUUUUUCUGGCCUUUAUUUUUCAGACACUAAUCUCCAUAUAUUCCCACUGAAAAUCACAGGCAACAGAGGUGAUGGGCAAUCUAUGUCGCCAAGGAGUUGGAAGAAUUUCAUGAGCCCAAGUUACCGCACCAUUCAAUGCUCACUGUUAUCCAAAUCUUUCAACCAACAGUAGGGACUCCAUCACAAGAGGCUCAACUGUGAAUUCAUUCAAGGGGAAAGAGAUAUUUAUGGCACUUCAAUUACAAAUUCAUUGCUCCCACAAAGAGGUGCACUAUAAGCUAUCCAUAGAGAGAGGUGACGCCCUUUCCCUUUCGUUAACUCUCAAGAUCCUCGCGGCUAGAGUUUUAGGUUUAGGACAAAAAAAAAACUGAGAAUAAUAAUUGUAGAUUAGAUACAGCAACUUCUGCUGUUAAAAAUUGGGAAAAAAAAAUUAUUAGAUGCCAGCAGUGUCUACUAUCUAGACACCAUCAAAUGAUCGUCACCAUCAAAAGCUCUAUAAAAAGAGAAUUGCAAGACAACAGGACACCCUUGCAUGUGCCUGAGCAGUCUUUCAUCACCUGCCAUGUAAUAUGCACCUUGCUAAAAUCUUCGAUUUACUCAAUAACUCGUGCGGAUGAAGCAACAAAUUCCAAUGCUAUUGAUAAACAGUAGCAGUGGUAUCUUCGACAAUCAUCAUUUAAUUAAAAACAUGAAAAUGAGGGGAAAAAAAAGAAUCUCAUUGUCCAUUUGCUGUCAAACUAUGCUGUUCAAAACUCCAGGAGUUGCCUCUUACAUAAGAUAUAACCCUAAACCAAUAUGGCUGUAACACCAGCAUGAACAAAAAAAAUGGAAGUUCAACCUCACAUUCCUGUGAAGGCCUUCUUCCCACCAGCAGCAGAACCAGCUGGAAUCACUUUCAAUACAUUAAAUCUAACAGUCUUGGACAGUGGCCUGAAAUGGUAAGAGGCAAAUAUUAUGAAUUGAAGGCCAAUUGCAUAUACAAUAACAGCUAAAUCACAUUCAAGAUAAAUGAUAUAAAAUAAAACUUUGGGUGGUCAAAAUUUAACCUGCAUUGUCCGAUGAUGACAUGAUCGCCUUCCCUCACACGGAAGCAUGGGGAUACGUGUGCUGGAAUAUUUGAAUGCCUCUUCUCAUAUCUAUGGGGAAAAAAUAAUAUUUAAAUUAUAAUGGUGUGAUAAUAUGCACUGAAAAACACCAGAACUAAAAUUGGACUAGACCUUUGGUAUUUCUUGACCCAGUGAAGAUAGUUCCGCCGAACAAUAAUUGUCCUCACCAUCUUGGCACUAUGACAAGUUCCAGCUAAGAUACGACCUCGAAUAGAAACAGUGCCGGUGAAGGGGCAUUUUUUAUCAAUAUAAGUUCCUGUCAGAAGUAAACAUAUGGGAGUACAACGUCAGCAAAUUUCACAUUCUACAAAAAUAUCAUGUGAAGGAGAAAUUACAUGAAAGAGGCACAUAUGAAUCAAGUUGCAAACGAAGAACUUGGCAUAAAAAACAUGGAUAGAAACACAAGCAUGGAGACAUAUCAACAGCAUUUAAAGAGAUCGUGUCCAUGGCACUCGACAUGUGUGAUUAUUUAAUAACUAUUUAAAUUCCAUAUCAUCAUCGACAAGGUUCUAAUUCCUCCAUAUCACACAUUGAUUUGUAACAAAGCAAGUUAAUACAUAAACGAAAUAUAUUAGUAUUUACAACCCUAUGAUCAUAGAACAUAUCUUGGUUACUUGACUCCAUUAUCCAUUAAAAUCAGUGCAUUCAACUAGAAUAAAAUAUACAAAGCUCAAUAAAAUUACAAACAUGAAAGCAUCAUAAGAAUGACACAACUAUAAAAGACAAACCUUCAGUGGCUUCUCUGGGAGUCUUGAAACUCAAUCCAAUACUCUUCCAGAAUCUGUUUCCACCUUUUCCAGGCCUCUUUCCUUUCCCAGAUUUCUUUGAACUGCCAAAAAAACACAAACAAAUCAAAAAACACAAAACAGCAAAAACCCACAUCAAAUAAAAAGACCCCAAAACAGAAAGUUCGCCUCUUUUGCUGUUCUAAUACAUUACCUGAGAAACACUUUGGGUUGUUUCAAAAAUGCCUUUUCAGUCUGCAACACAGAAAUAAAGAAACCAUAAUGAGAGCUCAUAAUAAGAUCUAAGACUAAACGUGUUUGGAGUAGAAGCAGUGAAUAGCAAGAGAGUGUGUUGCGAGAACCUGCUCAGCCAUGAUUUACAGCUGUUUGUGUUCUCUACAAGGACCUGAAACAGCAGGAGGCAAAAGAUACAAAAGAGAGAGAGCCUCUUGCUGAAAUGAGCAAGCUUUAAACCCUAUUUUGCUCGCUGAUAUGUAGUAAUAAUUUUUUGUUAAAUAAAUGGGCCUUGGUGGUCCUUUUCAAUACAGAGUUUGGUAAGAUACUAAUAUAUCUUACCGGAUAUUUUUUAAAAAUAUAAAAAGAUAUUAAAAUUACAGAGAAUUUUUUAAUAAUAUUUUUAAAUUUGAUUCAAUUUUAAAAUUUUCUGAUUUAAUUUUUUAUCUAAUUCGAGUUUUUGAAUUUUAAAUUAAAUCAUAUAAGACCUAACUCAACUUAAAUCGAUUAAUUUUAUAGGUUCAAAUACAACGUUGAUGAUCGGUAAAAUCAUGACUUUGCUUUUAAAAAAACUUGAAGAUGAUAACUUUGAAAAAAAAAAUUAAGAUAAUAACGGAUUGAAUUGACUUCGAUCUCCCCGCGAUACAGGUCAUGGACUCUACUGGGUUCAAUUACUUUUUUAUACACUAUUUUUAUUUAAUUAUAUGAUAAAAAUAAAUACUCAUAAAAUUGAGAUCCAACCUAAAAAUAUACAUUUGAGAUAGUUAUCCCUAUAAAAAGCAAACAAAAAUCAAUUAUAGAUUCUAUUUCCUAACCAAUCCAAUAUUGAUAGAUGCAAUAGAAAAAAUAAUUAAAAAUAAUUAAAAGACAAAAAAAAAUCCAACCGAUGGGUAAACUCGUCAAACAUGUGAAUCGGGUAACCCGGGCUAGUAUACCAAACUUGUGAAUCAGGUAAUGGACUCCACUAACAUUAUAAUUUUUUUUAAAAAAGUAUUUUUUUAUGUAACUAUAUAACAAUAAAAAUAGACGAUUGUGAAAUCAAAUACCAUCACAAUACCAAGAUGUUUUUUUAAGACUGUGAUAACAUCAAAAAAGACAAAAUAAAACCAAUCAUGAAACUGAAUCCUCAAUCAACCCAAAAUCUCAGGUGAAAUAAAAAAAAACUAAUUAAAAAAAAAUUGAACUUGUCAUACCUACUAACCAGCACAAACUCACACUACAUUGUGUUUAAUUUUUUAUCAAAUAGAAUUGAGGUAGUGAAAUUUAAACUUGAAACCACUUGAUUAAUAAAGCUCUGAUACCAUGUCGAAUAACCAUCUUAACCUAAAAACUUAAACUGUUAAAUGAUAUUCAAAUAUAUAAUUUUAUAUUAUUCUCUAACACAAUGAGUGUGGAUGAACAGUGGUUUCCCCACGUCUUUUAAUUUUUAUUUGUUUAUAAAGUUUAAUAACAUGAUUUUCUCCGAAACUAGAACAACCUGAGUUACUUUGACAAACAUGUAAACUACGCUAAUCUCAUAGGAAAACAAAAUAAUAAUAAAAUAAAUUACGAAGCUAAAUUCUUAACUUUUUUAAUAUUAAAAAAUAAAAUCAACAAAAAUAAUUUUUAAAAAAAUCAUAACAAAAAAAAAAAAAAAAGGAAGAGUGGUAAAGCAUCUCUAUAUAUUUUUUUUACUUCAACUAAAAUUUUUUAUAUUUUUUUUAUAUUUUUAUAUCGUUUUGAAAACUAAGAUAAAAAAUAAACUUUUAAAAAAUAAAAAAUAUAUAAUUUCUUAAUAAAACAACAAAAUCCCUUGAACUUGGGAAGAAAAUAGUAAAGGAAACAAUCUUCAAUUUUAGGAUAAUGUCAUGUUAGUGAUUUGGAUUGUAUUUAAACACAAAUACUAAUAUUAGCAUAAACCAUGUUCAAAUAUAAUGAAAGGAUUUGACAAUUGAUACCCAUCUUUGACGUCCCUUGUCUUUGGUUCUCCUCCCGGAUGCAAGAUCAUCAAACCUUGCAUUCUAACAAGACACUUACAAAACCUGGUAGCUAAACUAGUUUUUUACAUGUUACCAUCAUGGCAACAUAUUCCAAGUCCACCGUCUGGUGAAAGCAUCCACCGGAAAUUUUAACUUCUAGCUUUCCCUCUAGAUCCUGAGCAAGAAACAACACAUGGAAUAUGAAAAUAACAAUGAUAAUACAUGCACAGCCCCUACUCUCUCCCCCUUGAAAGCCAUCCACAAAGCUCACAUGAAUGUCCAUAAACGCACAUGGAUGCAAAGGGAAGAAAUAUAGUAAUAUAAACUGAUUGCGCUGAAUAAUUACUUUCUGAAUAGUAAUGUCAUAUCAAACCUUCCCAGCAAUCACAUACCAGGGCAAACGAGUAAAAACCAAACAUAUGGUGAUGAAGUAUUGAAAAAUAGUUGAAGCUAAUUUGCCUAAUAGGACUCCGAAGUAUACAAAGCCGUAAUGUUACAGUAUGGAAACCAAGCAUUUCAUCUCAACUCAUUGCCUAUUAACUUGAGAAAAUGACCAACCAUCAUUGACAUGUUACACUAAAUUGAAAAGAUAAGACCAACCGCCAUUAACCUAUAGAAGAAACACAUGAUUCUUUAGCUGUCUGAGAUCAUAAUCACAAGUUCAGCUCUUGAAUCCUUUGUCCACAGAUAAAUCACUCAGUCUGCACCAGCAAAUAAGAUCAAUAAAAUAUAUAAUAAUAAAGUUUCCAGAAUGAAAAAUGUAAAUUUAAUUCCAUCAUUUUGAUUUCAGUAAUGACUAAAGAAAAACUUUAAGAAUGGUGAAAUUCUCAGCAGAAUAUUUGCCAUAUAUUGAACAACACAGAGAUCCUGUUAUAAUAAGCCAAAUGCUUAGGUAGUGAUAGACAAAGCAUUGGCAGAAACUUUUCCACAAUGCUUAACGUUGCAUACUUAUUUAUUAUAUAUAGAUCUUGUGCAACAAAUUCUACCCAUCCUCUGAGGCUGCUUGGAGCUUUCAAAAAAUAUAACAAAUUCUACUCAUUUUUAUCACAUACUGGAUGACAUUGUACAAAAAUACUUGAUAUUCUAGGAAUGCAACAAAGGGAAACAGAACAAUAACCAGAGACUCAUAUAACAGAUUGUUACCGAAUUGUCUCUAAAUUCAUUGAAUUCAUCAAGGCUAAUCUAUACUCAUUGUAUAAUAACUUCUUACUGCAUCUCAAAAACUUAUAUUUACUGUUAAUUUUAAUACAGCUGAAGGAUGAGAUGGCUGCACAGAAAAGAAAAGAAAUGAAAUUCCUUAAACAUGCCAGACCUUUUGGCGUUUUGAAUUUGGAGGGCUUGGUUCCGUAUCAUGGCCACGAGAUGUUCCAAUGCCAGAGUUUUCAGCCUGCAAAUAUGCCACCGGUUAGUCUUGUAGUUCUGAUGUUUUUAUGCACACAUCAAUUUAGCUUGACAUAUUUACAACAUCAUGCCAACACCUUCAAGAUUCAUUUGAUUGGGUGAAGCAAGAAAUCCAGAAUAGUAAGGGACAUGAGAUAAGUAUCCAUUGAAAGAUAACUGAAAAUGCUACAUACAUGGGUUGAAGAAUCUCGAGGCCUCUGAUUCCCAGAGUUCUGUGCUUCUCCAGGAGGUAUGGCACUGGGUUCUGCACCUCCACUUUGAGAUAUGAGGGGCAUGAUCUCACGAAGCAAAUUAGACAGAAAUAUCCCCUCAUCAGUAGCUCUUGGUUCUGCUUCUGCAGUAGCAGUAGAUUGCCCUGCAGUCUCAGGGACAGAACUAGUAGUUGUUCCUCGUAAGCUGGCAUCCUCCAUAUGGAUAUCACCAGGUAAGAUGGUCCUCAGAAGCUGCAAAAUAUUGUCGGGGAUAUGUCGUUCAGAAUCCUGGUUGUUUUGGGCCCCACUAGCUGACAGAAUGUUGAUACUUAUACUGCGAGAAAUAGAAGGCUCUUGUCUCAAGUUUGGUGGCAAUGAUCCUGGAAGAACAGCAAGGUUGGUCAACUAGUAUAGAACAGCUGAUUAAGCUCAUAUCUUCUCAUACAGUCAUAUCAUCAACUCCUAAAGCAAGAUACAGCGAGCAACCAUCAAAACUUUGACUACUAUACACAACAUUAACUUCAAUUGAAUUUCUACAUGAUAUUGUGAACUGAAAAAAACCGAUUUCUUGCAAGCCUGUAACGAUAUGUUCUCAAAGGUCCCCAAUCAAAUCUUUAGGAAAUAAACAUAUGGAAGAAAACUCAGGACACUUUUAAAAAAGGAGAAUACAACACAAACAUUAUUUUCCUUAUUUUUUAGGGUGAGGAUGGGGUGCUCUUAUUGACUGGUGCUAGGAAGAAUCCACUUCAGCAUCCUAAAGGAAAGCCUUUCAUCAUGUACUUAAAUGGUACAAUAACAAUAAAUACAACUCAGAAAACAGCAUUGAGAAAUUGGCUGCAUGGCAGGUAAGUUUUGCUGCAAAUUGGAAUCCAUAUGCGUGGAUCAGAAUAAUCAAAGAAGGGUGUGUAUGUGUUAUAGUAGUAAGCAUGAUACUUUUACUAUGAAAUUUUAAGAAAGAAAGAUAUAUGUGGAAUGUUCAAAAAUAGCAAUAUAUGUGGAAAUCGCCCUUCCUCCCUCGUUCAUGCAGGAUUGAAAUGAUUAUUGAAGACUCAAAAGAAUGUAGGGGAAAAACAAAUAACACAAAAAAGCAUAAGCCAUAGGGGACUGGCAAAUAUAUCAACCACCAUUAACAGCAGCACAAGUAAAGCCACUGAUUGACACGCAUGUAUUCAUGAGUAAGAUGAACCAAAACAUCCCCUUUCAAGCCUCCUGAGCUUGCACUGGAAAAGAUGUCCACAACUACAAACUUAAGACUUUUCCAUGAGCCAAGUAAUCCUCAAAACUUCAUUGAACUGCAGUAUUGUCACAUUACCAUCUCUUGUGCGUUGUUCAAAGUUUUGCUGCUGCAAAGCAGGUUCAGGAGUUGGCAGCUGCUCAGUUUGGACCUCAGCAGUGUGAUAUUCACCAGAUGCUUGAGAUCCCCGCCCACUAUUCCCAUGCCCAGAAGCUACAUUUUGAAAUCGUCCAAGAAGAGGAUAGUAUAGACCUAUAGAAUUACCAGAUGAAUCAGAAGGAAGGCGGCCAAAUGUGCCAGGAACAGCUGCAACCACCGUUCUAAGAGGCACCACUCGUACAGGCUCUCCAGCAAAAGAUGAACCCUCUGAGAGCCUUGAACUUGUUUGACUACUAGGAUUUUCACCACCAGAACUGGUUGGUGGGUUUCUCUGCCCAGCAGUUUGCUGUGUCUGACCAUGUUCCUCACGAUUAUUGUUGGGGGUAGCUGUCGAUGAACCUUGGGUAAAAUAAGAAUAGUUGUAAGUAGAUUCACACAUCAGAAAUACCAUACAUAUUAAUUAUUCCAGACAUCAAAUUUGAAGAAAACCUCUUCGUAUUUGUAUAUCAAUUCGCCUUGGAAGAAACCCGGUACCGACACCAUUAGUCAGACCAGAUCCAGGCUGCAUGGAUCCUAAAGGGACAGCACCAAAGCUUGUCCCUGGUUGAAAAGGAAGAGGCUGCAUGCAUAGGAGUGAUCAGCAGAGAAACAUAAUUUAAAGAAAAAUGAAAAGAUGAAAAACAAGAGGAAUUUGUAUGGAUGUCUGGAUUAUGACCUGAACCAUGAGAGGAUUAGGACCAGAUUGAUUGAUAAAAACAGCAGGGCCCGCAUUAACCACAGCUUCAGACUGUAAAUAAACAAACCACAAUGACACAUACAGCUCGGGAGAUGUCAAGCAUGAAAGGUUGCCAUAAAUGAGAAAUUGGAGAUAAUCUUACCGGUGCUUGACCUAGUCGUAAUGUCAUGCUUGUACGUCCAAGUUCGAGAAGAAGGGCACCUAAAUUAUGAAGUUGGACUCCAGUUCUCAAUGCACUAGACUGAGUUGCGUGUCGCGCUGCAGUAUCAGUAAUAUGUGCUUGAUUCUCUAGUUGUCUUGCAAGUUGCUGCCAACAUACAGAACAAACAGGGAGGGAGAUCCAAUGCAUUUAAGUUUUAGUUCUGAGAAUAAAUAAAAGAAUGGUAAAUGUUGAAAUAUUUCAAGGUUAAAAACUUAAAAGAAUCAAAUUCUAUUAAAAUUAUAAAAUGUUAAACAAAAAGAAGAAACAUAAUAAAAAGAUGACCACUUCCUAUGGCCGCAAGCAACUAAAUUCACUGGUAAAAAAUGGGAUAUACUGUUGGCUACCCAAAAAAUAAAGCAAGACAAAAGUAAAGAUAAUAGAGAACAUAUGAAGUAGAUAGAAUGCUUUUAAAUAACACACAAGUAAACAUUCUCCAACUUGUUCGGUGAGUAAUUGUCUACUAGACAGCAUCACUUCUGCCAAGGAUGCAGGUGAUGGAAGUCUUUCUUGUCCAGUUCCUGAUAGUGAUGUGGUAUUAGAAUCUAUUUGCUCCAUCCUGAGUGCAGCAUCUGCUUGAGCAAUGUUUUCCCCGCCUCUGCCUGUCAAUGAAGAGAAUUGAAAUCCAAUGGCCAAAUCAGCCCCAUUGAAGCAAAUGAUAUUUAUUAACCAUAGAGAAAUUUGCAAAAUACAGAUACUGACCGAUGGCAUCAAAUUCUCGCCUCAAAUUGCUCAGAUAUUGGGACAGAGUUGUCAGAGAAUCAGGAAUUACCUACAAGUACAAAUAAAAUAUUCCUAAUACUUAAAACUGCAAAAAGAUAUGCAGGCCAAAGAAUCCAUGUUGUAGAAAGAAGGUAGAGGGUGGAGAAGAAGAGGACUCCUAACUUACAGGAGGAUUCAGAGAUCCCAAGGAAACUGCUGUCGGAAGCCCAAAAACAUUCUGUGAUCUGUCAGACUGACCCCUGGUGCCAGUUUGUUCAGAUUGCAGUUGGCUUGCAUCCAUUGUGCCACCAGCAGCUGAUGUUCUUCGCAAACCACGCUCCUUAAAGAUCCAUCCCAGUCACAAAGAGCAAGACCCAAAACAUAAAUGAGCAUUUACAGGUAUGAAAAAGCAUUAAGGUCCAUCUUUCUAAUUUGAUAAAAUAUGAACCAGCUUGAUGUCUCAAAAUGUGUUUCACGUCUAAAGUCAAAUAAAAACUUAAAAUAGACAACUUCCAGAUACAAAAAUACUGGAAAUUUUACUUCGAAGACAAUUUGUUUGUUUGCCUCUGUGAGUAAGAAAAGAGGGAAGAAAUCUCCAUCCUUACCAACAAUAGAUUUUCAAGAGUAUAACAAUAAAGUAAUUAGUUUUAGAGGUUGGAAUUUAAAUAUUUACCACAUCGACCCCUUCACUGACACCUCCGAUAUUUGAAAAUCCAAAAGAUCCAAGAACAGCAGAGACAAUCUGCUCCAGAGAAUCAAUUAAGAGAUAAUUAUAAAACAAUUAAAUCAUCGGUAUGAAAAUCUAAAAUUGCUAUAUUCAAAAUCUAGUUGUAGCCGCACCCUACUGAUUUCUGGAGGAACUGCAUCCCCUUGAUCAGGCACACUAAAAGUUUCUAUUACAACACUGGGAGCCACCUGACCAGUGUGAUGGCUUGAACCUGAAGCAGGAUCACUGGCUGCAACAUUGACAUGCAGGAGUUACUCCAUGGAUAAUUUUACUAGCACAUGAAAGAUAACAUUAAAAAAAAGGGAAAGAAAAAAAGAAAGAAAUAAAGGUAUAUAAUUCCAUUUCAGAAAGCUCAGAUUAUGACAUAAACAGAGCAGUAUUGCUACAACAAUUACUAAGCUCCUAUAGAUGUCAAAAUGACUCAAUUGUUAUUUGUAGCGUGGUUGCUCUUUAAAUCAUUAGAAGCACCUAAAUAAAACUAUAAGCAUUAAAUAAGAACCAACAGAACACCACCACUUGCUUUUCUGAUUAAUCAUAUGGCAAUAUUGAGCACUUAAUGAAAUUAAUUACCAAGGAUAAUCUGUUAUAUCCAGAGUCCCAUUAGUCCAAACAAAUGUCAUAUUCGACAGAAAGGAUGAAUUUCAUAUCCAGUUGCUUCUCACAGAUGAACUAAUGUGUAUCAACCCCUCUGGGGGGAGGGGGGGUUGUUUCUAUACUAUACCAACCUUUUCGUGAAAAUAAUUCAAGGUGCACUGGAAACCAUACUCUAGCUGAAGUAAUGUGUAUCAACCCCUCUGUGUGGGUCAACAAUCCAUUAUGGCCAUUAAUUACCUUGUGCAGUAAUUUUUUGUUUUUCAAUAUUUACAGGCUGUGGGGCAUCUACAGGACCCUUUAGACCACCACACAACUAGUCCUCCACAGCUUUGGAUAAACUUGAAUUAGUAUCCUUUUUUGAGACGAACCUUGUACAGUUGAAGAAGAAGAUGAUGCAAGCAAAUGUUAAGGCAAGCCAAACCUGAAUGAUUGGAUAAGCCCUCAGAUGGUAUAGGUUGCCUAACUACCAGGUGCAAGGUGUGACCAUCUUCGACAUCUAACACAUGUUAAGAAAAUAAACCAACCAAACAAUAUAAUAAGACAAUAGUGCUAAUGAGUAAAAAAAGUACAGGGAUAUGAAAAUAUUCCUUAGGUAGCAAAUAAAGAAAUUUAACAAAGGAUGGUUUAUAGGUUUCUAGUUCAAUCAAUGAAUAUCCUGAUACAUUCGGGACCUAAUGUUUGCUAAUUUGUUCUGGAAAAGUAAAAUACUAACUAGUUCAUACCAUAUAUGUUUUGAUUCAAAUACUUCACCCACACUUAAAGUUUCCUUCUAGCAAAAAUGCACCAUUGCAACAAGCACUUGCCAGAAACCACCAGAAAACAAUUUACUUCAGAAAAAAGAAUUGCAGAUGUCGGCUUAUUUGGAAUAUGUACAUGUGUUUUUGGUUAUGCUUGGGUGUGAUACAAUCAAUUGAAAUGUGACACAAUUCUCUAUUCUCCACCUGAUAAGCUGUCCAAAGUCAUUCAUUCACCUAGAAGUAUGCUAAAGAUGAACCGAUGAAGAGACUUGUGCAGUCACAUGCAUCUACAGCACAUACCUUCAAACCUCUCUUUUGUCAAGGCUUUUUCCCCUUUUAUGUCCAUACCUAGUAUUUCAGACUUACAAUUCAGUGUUGCUGAGGGAAAACAUGAAACUGUUUAGCAUUGCAGGAUGAAUCUCAUGGACAUGGAGCACUAGCAUGUGAGCUCACUUGGAAUUUACACUUCAGCAUUACUGAAAUCAGCAGUGAGGAACAAAACUGCAACACUAUCCAACCACAAUUCAACAUUUUACCCGCCAAUGCACAAACUCCAAGGUGUCCCAAAAUAACUCUUUUGCAUCAAUACUGUCUUAAUGAGCUCUUUUCUACUUUUCUGCCUAGCUUUACAGUUUAACAGCAGAAAUAAAUGUGUCAUUGGUUCACUACUUAGGUAAUACCUUCAUCAAAACUGUUAAAAGAAAUUUGAAGUGAGCUUCUAGCUAUCUCCUCACUUUGGGUACACAAUCUUUUUUGUUAAAUAUUGUACUUUAGAGUUGCCCUUGAGCAUUAAGAAAAAAGGAUACGAUAGGCAGAGAGUAGUUGGUCAUCUUUUAAGACUUUUCCACGACAUAUUAGACGUUGUUGUUCUGAUAGCACGCCAGUGACAGAAGCAAUCUGUUCUUUUAAAGCAGGAACUGGCAUCUGCAUGGAUAUUCAAGAAAGGGGAAAGCAUGAUGAAAUUAAUGGCUUCCACAAACAAAAAAUCAUGCACAAGUUAUCAACUAGCAAAUCCCCACUCACAAUAUAAGCAUAAAGACCCUUUUAAGAUCAUAAUGCAGGGUGUACUCUUACAAUUAAGAAUUCAGUGGCAACAAAGAAUGUUUCAACAGUUUUAUAUGAAUAAAAGACACAGGGAAAUAGUGGAUCUUCUGUAAUUGCUUUCUGUCCAGUUUCUCAUGAGAUCUGCUUCUCAGUAUUAUUUGCACAAAUAUUCAGUAAAAUGUGGGACAAUCUCCACAGAUUUUUACAUAAGAGCUUGUUGAAGAGAUGUUCUUGAGAAGGAAAAUGAGUUGGAUGCUAGAGAGUGUAGCCUUUGUGUCAUCUGUAUGUAACUAGCUAGAUCAAAAAGGCACAUUGGAUCACUUAUAAGGACUAGAAAUUUUCUGACCAUGCUGGUGAAGAGGUUUUACUAGUAAUUGUUAAGACCACUCAAUUUCCUCUUCUUUCUACUCUUUCUAAGAUUCAGAUUCUAGUAACUCUCUGUCUCUCACCACAAUGACAGAAAUAUGAUCGAAGUGCAAUUUAGAGCUCUUGAAAAAGGAGGCAAAAAAAGACAUAAAAACAGAAAAAAAAAAAAACUAUCCUUAUAUAUAUAUAUAUAUCCCCGUAAUAACUGGCUUUGGGAUGUAUUUGAACUCAUUGAUCAUCUAAAGUAUUAUAGCAAGUUUACAAAACAUACACACUGCAAUGACAUGAGCCAUGGUUCAGUGGGAGCAAAAAAUUACCUGUUUAUCCACUCUCAAAGUAUAGGUUUGAGAAUCCAAUGUUUUUAUUUUUAUUUCAAUGUUUGUUUCAGAACCCUCUGCCUCACCAGCUCCAUGAAUUUUAUCAGCAAUAUUACUUCCCAUUCUCCUCAGACGAAUGGAUACCUACAAACAAGAAAGGAAAAGAAACAAAUGAAGGAAAUUAGGUUUGGGAGUUGCUAGGAUGAGGCAACAGCAUGCUUGUCAAUAAACCAGAUAAGUCACAGUAUUAUAUUGGUAAGAUAGAUAAGGUUCCUCAGGAAACAGUAAGUCAAUGAGUGCCCUAAUGCCAACAAAAAGGGGUGUCGGUUCCCUUCAUUGUGGUCAUAAUACAUCAUUGUUUCGAGAGAGAGUGAAGAUGUGCAGAAAUGCAAGAACAAAUAACAAAAAUCAGCAAGCAGACCACUCUCACAUUUAGGGAAAUCUCAGCAUCCACCACCAUAUAGACAUAUUGCCAUAUCAAUAUGUACUUCAAGGCAAUUUGAAACACUGUUUCCUUUCCCCUUUUUUAUUUGUCUCUUCUCUUCAUUUUCUUUUUCUUUCCUUUUCUUUUCCUUAUUUUAGUGUGUGUUAUAUGAGACAGUUAGAAAAAUCUCCAGACUUGCAAAACACAUAAUCAUGGUAACGGUAAUGAACAACAUGACAAAUCCUGCAGCCAACUACCAUGGACCGCAUUGAUCUGAUUGAUGAUAUUCUUUCCAUUUUUUGCUGAUUUGGUAGGAUAUCGCUCACUAGACGAAGAUGGCGAUUGCUCAAGAGUCCCCUGCUAGAUAUUGAUAUUUUAUGAUGUCACAGAAGAGAAACAUAACAUCAUGUUCUCAAUUGAUAGGUUAUAUGAUAUGUCUUUGGUGUGUUAUAUUAUGUCUACAGCGGUCAAGACCGUGCUUUCCCAACUCCUCCCCUGCCUUCUCUAAUUAAAUGGGAAAACUCAUAAGGAUCAUCAAAUGGAACAUUUUUUGUUACCAGGAGCAGAAAACAAGUUCCAAGAUGUCAUGUGUAUAUCUGUAUGCACGCCCACAUUGCAUUUUGCUCCACAUCGAAAUCAACUUCAGACCAUAAAUCUCAGGAUCAAAUCCAUGCUAUAUAAUGUAGAAAUCAAGCUCCAAGAAGUAAUGUCUCCAGUCCCAAGUGACAUUACUGGCAUAUUUAUAAGCCAUAUCCCGCUUCACAUAGUGAAAUUCAAUGUAAACUCUAAAUUUGAAGAAUUCAAAAUCCAAGCUUCUACCAUCAAAACAGCUCAUCUAGAAUUGGGGCCUGCUCCCGAUUCAAAACUAAUCGGUAGACGGGGAAAAUCAUAGAGUAAAUUCAAAGAAAAAAGUAAACUACUGCACAAAUCAAGACAUUUCCAUUGACCAACAGAUUGAGAACACGGAUAAUGAUUUUUUACCACAUCUAUGCACCCAAAGAGGGCGCCUUCAUCCCUAAAUAUCACUAAACACCAAGAAUUGACAAUCUUUACUUCCACCACUCACACUUCAAUCAACAUAAAUCACUUAAGUUGGAGCUUAAUCAAGUUGCCACAUCCCAAUAAGCAACCUUUCCCUUAACGCAAAUGCAAACAAUCAAAAUCCCAUUCCCCAUUUAUCUCUCACUCUCUAGGGUUUACCGAAUCUUGAUCAAACAAAAAAAGCUCAAGACUUUCAAUUUCUGGGUCCUAACCAGUCAUCAAAAGCAUGCAAACCAACCCAUCAAGUUCCGAAUGACAACCCAAUUCACACAAUUAAGAAAAUCGAUAAAAGACAGUAGACAAGAUAAGAAAGGAGUCAGUAAGUUACCUGAGAUAAAAAGAAAGAAAAUCUGGUUUGAUAAGGAGAGAGAACAGAUAGAGGGAGAGGGAGAGAUAUAUAGAAAUGACAGAGAGAGAUGCCGUGUCUGCGUGCUAUCUCUCUGUGUAUUUUGGAGCUGACACCUGAAUUUAUAUUACACAAGAUCAAAAACUCUCUCUCUCUCUCUCUCUUCCCUGUCAACUAUGUAGUGUUGUGGCCAGCGUAGGACGAGGUUUGCAAAAAUUAUUCAGGUUUUUCUCCUCUGUACAUUUUUUUUUAUCUCUCUUUUUACUGGUGCGGUGGGCUUUUUACUUUUUACUGUUGGUAAAUUGGUUGGUAGCAGCACAAAUUAUUACUGUCUGACAAUGUGGUAAUUUUUUUUAUUGCGUUUAAAAAUCACAUUUCACUUCUAAAAAAAACCCUUCUAGUCAAGUCAGGCUGAAACAUAAAGUUUUGGAUCCAACAUCCAUUUUAUGAAUUAAAAAAAAAAAAGCAUAGAUAACUUGCUUAAAUUUGAUUUUGAAGGGAGCGUGAUGAAUUUUUUAUGUGUGUUUGUUGAUCUAUAAUCUAAAGGAAUCGAUUAAUUUUUUCCAAUUAUUACUUAAAGUAUGAUACUUAUUUAAUAAGUUUAUUUUUAAAUUAGUUUUUAUAUAUUAAAAUUAAAUUUCUUUAAAAACAAAUAUAAUUAAAUAUCCACCUAUAAAUUUAUAAUAAAUUAUUUUCGGACUGCAAAGCCGUAAUAUCUUUAAUUAUCUUCAGACCACUCAUCCAAGGUUUAACCAAAACUAGGAGUUCAGGCUUAUAUAUGAACUCGAAGAGUACUGCUAAGUGCUAACUCCUUGGCAAUUCCAAAUCAUAAAAUUCAUUAAAUUAAAAUAGUAUAAAUAGAUUGCUUCCUCUCUAACCAUGUUGAAAAACACUCCCCGCCGGCAAAAGCAGCCAUCCCACCUUCCUCAGAAGUAGCCUUAAAUUCAUCAAUGAUAGACUCUUUGGCAGAUAACACCAUUCCAGAACCAGCUAGAUUUUCAAACAGGGAUACUGGAUAUAGAGAGAGAGUUUUAUUAGCCCGUGACCUAGCUGCACGGGAGAGAUCAGAGAGCUCUCAAUAUUAUGGGGUUUUUUCGGUUCAAUAUAGGAUUGUCAACCUUAUCAGUCAGUCGCGACUUCAUUCGUCUCCUCGUCAGUGCCUGCCAUCAUCAAACUCCAUAUUUUCAUCAAUCUGAGCUACGAGCGAGUUCAAUGGAGUGUCUUCAGUUACAGCAACAAAAAAUUGAUGAAUUUAUGGAGUUUGAUGAUGGUUAAUGGGUUAGCAUGUAACACGAUGAUGGUUGUUAGGUUCUGUUUGGGUUUUGGUUGUUUUCCCCUCGUGGGCUCUAUUUGAUUUUUGAGUUAAAUGGGUUAGACUAGGAUAGGCUGUGGGUUUGGGCCUUUUCUAUUUAAAGCCGGAGUUCCUAUAUUAGCUAGCUAAGAUAUUAAGCUCCGUACGGUGUCGGUUGUUUUUAAACUGCUCAUAACUUUAAUUUUUUUUUUUUGGUUUUCAUUGGUUAAAUUUGUUUUUUCUUCUUAAAUUGUGAUAAAAACUUGAGUUUAAUAAAAGUUAUAAUUUGUAGCAUUUUUAAACUUAUUUUUUCAAAUAACAACAAAAAAUAUACCGCAAUACCAGACAUGAACAUGUUUGUUUUUAUGUUUUAAAAAUAUUUUUGAAAAAAUUUAAAUUUAUUUUAUUUUUUUAUUUACUUCAAAUUAAUAUUUUUGGAGUUUUUAUAUCAUUUUGAUAUGUUGAUAUCAAAAAUAAUUUUUAAAACAUAAAAAACAUUAUUUUAAUGCAUUUCUAAUUGAAAAACAUUUUAAAAAACAACUACUAACAAACUCACAAACAAGAUACCCCAUUAUUAGCAAUAGAGAUUUUAGCGUUGACCUCUCUUCUACGAUUGUGUUCGCAUGAAUAUAAGAACCAAAUUCUUUAUUAAUUAUUUUAAUUAAUAUAGAUGUUGAAACUAUUUACAUAUAUCUUAAUUAAUUUUAGAUUUAAAAUUAACAAUUAUAUAAAAUUUUAUUUUCUUAAUUACUAUGGUUUUGAUCUAAGAUCAACUCGAGUACAAAAUCUGAGUGGUCAGACAAGGACUUAACAAUGUCCAGGGCCCAUCAGUUAGUGCAUGCAGGUAUCAAUCAAAUUAGACAAUUGAACCAGGAAGAAUUCAUUGUCUAAAUCAAUGGCACCGAAAGGUACUCUGGCUCCAUUCCAUAUUGUUCUUUAUCUAGUACGUCAUAGUGCUUUAUAAUCCACACUAGGACCAAAGUCUUGAUAAUUCCCAUGGUUUCUGUAAGGAUUUUCUGAAACCUUCUAAUAAUUCAACGACUUUCUAUUUUCCUUUUCCACAACAAUCAUGCACGUGUGCAUCUCCUUCUUCUUCACCCCAAUCUCUUCCGUACAAUGUCCAUUCAAAAACUGGUUAGGUUUCCCAGUCACAGAGUCAACUUCUAUACACUCUUGACAUGCACUGGACUGAAUUUAAAAUCCUUCCAUGUAACUUGUAAUGCAACAGAACCUAGUCAGCAUCCACCAAGUGUUCAUGAUGAUUCAAUAAUCAUUCAAAUCACAGGAUGAUAAUAUCAAAAAUGUUAAUAAACUAUGAUAUCUUAUGUACAAAAUCUUUCUCCACCCUAAAAGAUCUCCACCAUUUCUGCAAUAGUACUGUUAACUCCUAUCCAUCUCUCUCCAUCUCGUUAUGUCCUUCACUUUGUUAUGUAAAAGGAGGUUUCGGUUAAAUUCAUAAUUUUCUUCACAGUGAUCCUUGGAUAUCGAUGUCAGCUUUACUGCAACAUUUCAUGUUUCCCACCUUUUUAAUUAUUCGUUACUUGACCUGUGCUUGAUAUAGAGGUCAGCUUUAUUUCCUCCAUUCUUCUAAUUCAGUACAAUCAUAUAGUGGAAGAAAGAAGAUCAUGAGAUGGAGGGCUUCUAUAUUUAUACUCUAGCUGGCUAAUUAAGCAAGUUUAGUUAAUGUAACUAUUUAGUAACUAAUAGCGUAUUGUGCAGGCUUCUAAUUCUGCAAUAACAAACCUUUAGACUGGAACCGGCCUAAUGGGUUGACUUGGUGAAUUGUUAACUCUAGCCCCGACGGGGGACGGCAAGUGGAAAAACCAGAUUUUUCUUUUAUCAAAAUAAUAUUGUUUUGUUUUCUUUUUUCUUUUUCCAAAAAAAAAAGUGAAAGGUUGAGUUGAUCCUCGUCAACCUCUGAUCUUGGACCACAACCAUUGAGCUGAAUCUCAUAACUAUGCUCUUCUAGGUGGUGAUAGUGCUAGAAGCCGAGGUUGUCACAGUAAUAAAUUUCCUAUUGAUUACUGCAACAACAUUAAAUAUGAAAACCACUUUGAUAUUAAUGGAUGUGUUGCUACUGGGAGCAAAAUCAACUAGCUUCUUAGCAUAUUUUUUUGAGAAAUUCUUAGCAUUAACUGUUGAUUGAACUUGAACUUUAUAUAGAAAUUAACAUUCUGACAAGAUCAUCAAUUCUUUUAUUGUGAUCUAGUUUAUCUUGUAAGGAAUAACAAUUUAAUAAGAAUAUCUUGUGCUUUGAAAGUAUAUAAGAUCAUGGGUUUAGAUCUACAAAACCCAGCAGCUAGCUCUUAUGUCAGAGUUAAAAAAAUACAUCACUACUAGCCAAGGACAUGAAAUAAAAGCCAGUCAUUCUAACUAGAUAAGAAAAACUAAUGGUGUCUAGAUUUGUGAUGCCUGGGUCCACAGUAAUCUUCAUGAAUGCUCGGUAACCAGUGAUGUGAAGAUUUCUUGGACACUGAUCUUUUCUUCAUGGUACCUAUACAAUUCCCUUCUUUGCAGAGAAUGGCUUCUUGUCCAAGAACCCUAGUACUAAUUUCCUUCAAAGAAGUAUUGUUAUUCGCCUGCACAUCACAAGAACUCCCAUCAGAACUGAAGCUGAUAUGAAAUACUAAAAAGAGUCAUUAAUUUUAAUGCAUCAUACAGUGUGUAAAGAACUGAGCACCCACAUGAACCUUUUGAGCUCCAACUUGCAUGAAUCCUUUUCCAAGCGAAUCCCUACACAAAACAACAACACAUGUUCAAACCUAAAGACAUACAAAGCAAAAUCAGGUCUCUUAACUUAACACGACUGAUAUUUUUGGCAUAUAUACCUUGAGACCCUUGAAGGAGAAACGAAAAAAGCAGAAGAGAGACUACGUACUAAAAGAAGGCCUCAUUCAGAAAAACAUUGAGAAGAAGAGAUAAGAGUAAUUAAGAGAAGGAAAAGAUCAAGCAGUUCGCUAUAUAUUUCUGAAGUCUGGUACAGAAGCUACGGAUUAAUGUGGGUUUGGCCGAAUUCUAAGUAAUUUUAGAACUUGUAUUCUGUAGAGAUUGUGCAUGAAUGGAUUAUAAAUACUGUAGCUGGAGGGUAGGUUAAUUAUAAACACGGUUUUUAGGGCCACAAAGCACGUAGUUCUCCAACAUGAAACUGUAAUAGAAAACGGGAUUUUUCUUCCACUACCUUUUGUUUUUCCUCUGUCUUUCUAGUGUAUAGUGAAAAAGUUCCUCAAGAGAGGUAGUGUGAUGGUAAAGAACUUGAAAUCUACAUAGCAAGUUUUGAAUUUGAAUCAGGACGUGUAUUUUUUGUAAGAGUCUGGUAUAAUUGGGGUUUUACUCACUCACUUGGACCCACAAAAUACGCUUCAAAUUAUUGAAAUGACUAACCAUUGAUUAGGGCAUCCUACUAAAUUAAUUCAAUUAAAAAAAAUGAAAAGAUAAUCAGCCUUUAUUUUCAAGUGGGCGGGGUUAAAAGCUUAAUAAUGGUGUCAAAUUCAAUAUAAAAUCAACAAUCUUUAUGUUUUGUCUUAUAUAUAUUAACCUACAUAGAAAUUGUUUACUUAGAUAGAGUUUGUUUAGGAUCUCGGGAUAGAAGCAACGAAGAUAGUUGGAUAGAACAUACCUGUUUCUAAGUUUUUUUUUAAAAUGACUAAAAUUUAUUUUAAAAAUAUUCAAGAUAGAUUUAUUUUAUAUUUCUGUUUUUAUUUUUAACCAAAUAUGUGUUAUAUUUUUCCUGUUUUUAUUCCUAUUAUCUUCAAACACCAACCAAACAUAAACUUGUUUUUGUUUUUAUCUUUUUAACUAAAUAUAUUUAUGUUUUUCUUGUAUUUAUCCUUAUUAUCCUUAAACACUAACCAAACACAAAUUUAGAACAAAAAAAUAUAAAUAUUGCAAUGAUUUUACAACAUGAAAAACUUUAGGGUGACAUCAGGAAAUCUAUCUGGGAGGGAAACUAAACAUUUGGUGAAAGAAAUUGAAAUUUGACAAGAAUCGACAAUCAAUCAACUAAUUAGGAAAACAUGUUUUUGGUUCUUUAGCUUGACAUAAAGACAAUACUGCUGGUAACUAUUUUUCUUGGGUUUCCAACAAUAUGCUUGCUAGACAGUUUCCGUAUCUUGGCAUGCGCCUAAAUGGAAAGCCGAUAUUGGUAUGCGACAAGAAUACUUAAUUUGAGCUAACAAUAGAAUAUCCAAAGCAAAAAAACAUGGUAUUACACUUUGAAAAGUUCUGUUGUAAUUAAAUAUGCACGAUCCAGAGUCUUAAUGACUAGGAAUAUCUACUCUGCUUUUAGUUAACUCAAAUUGAAAUAAUAAAGAUAAUUCCUGCCAUGAUAUUGCAUGGGCCUGCAGCCAGUGGUGAUGCCACUUAGGAAAAAUUCUUUAGAACUACUUAUUUACUUCAGCGCAAGAUCAAUCUUCUUUUGAGUUUUGAAGAGCAAAAAACAGUACAGCAUACCCAGCAAUAUCUGGGAUCUGUCAACGAAUAUUAUCUGUCAAAAAGAUACACAGCAAUCGAUAAAGAAACAAGUUGAGUCACAAAUUAGUGUGGAUGAGACAAAGAGAAAUAUGUUAUUAGAAUAUAAAUGUUGAAUUUGUAAUUAUAUUAAUCAUCAUCAAACUGCAUCAUAUCAAGUCUCAUGUCUGCAUUAUAAAUACUGUUAAAUCAUAGACAUCGGUUAUUAUGAAUCCUAGAAUUAGAAAUGAAACUAAACUUCACUCACCGCAGCCACAGGUAAAUCCACCGUCAGGGUGAUUAAUCCUGGAUACCAGUGAACAAAGCCUGCCACUGUUGACAGGAUCUGCAGCACAAAUAACAAACAGUUUAUUAAGAGUAUAUAUCAUCAAUGUCGUCGACACCUUGACGGGUCUAUAUAACGAGCUGUAAACAUUCAAAAUGUGGCAAUGUGUCAUGUGGAAGGAUUGGAGAAUUAGUAAGGGAAUAGAAGAUUUGUUAGAGAAAGAAGGAGAUUGAAUCAGAGAACGAACAUCGAACACACCUCAUUUCAAAAAUAAAAUAUAAAAUUAUGAAUGAGGUAAUCAAUUAUAUGUUUUAAAAGCAUAUGUAUACGAGCAUCAGCUAUCCAUUAGCAAAUUCCAGAGAGUGGAGCUUUGAGCAUGAUUAGUGAUUUUUUUAUUCCGACACAAGCAAAAAGAUAGAAAAAGGAAUUGAAACACACACACACACACGAACUAUGAUUUCAGAACGAGAGAUUCAAGGAAUAUCUUGGAAUGGUGACGGGGGACAAAGCGUUUUCAUGAUUCUUUUUUUUUUCUUUAUGAAUGGGAUCAAAAUUUUAUGGAGUAGAAAAUAAAAGCAGUACAAAUAGAAUUACAUGUUCUGCAAAAUAAUGGUCAUUGAUCAAUGUAACCGAAGCAGAUGGAUACUCGUCAAACAAAGAGCGGGAACCUAAAGAAAAAUAACAGGGCAGUGAUAACUGAUCCUCUCAUCAAAACUAAAACCCUCAAGUGAAUCACAUGUUGUGGAAACGUACGUACUUUGUGCUAAUAAAUAAAAAAAGAUGGAAUUGUUGAAAGAAUUGUUAUUGAUUAUGUAUCUUUAUAAUAUGAAGAUAUAUAUUUAUUAUCCGUAUUAUUUAUCGACAAGCAGUAGUUAUUAAAUCUAUAGUAAAUUAAUACAUUUUUAGUAUCAAUACAAAUUAUAUUAAUUAAUCAGACUUGACUUGAAAUCUAACCUCAAAAAAAUCCUAGUUAUUGGAUCUUUGAGUCAAUCAAAAUUAUAUUUUUAUUUAAAAUAAUAUUAUUUUAAUUUUUUUUUAAUUUUUUUAGUAUUGAUGUAACCAGAUCUAGAUAAAUUUUAGCUAGUUCAAUAUUAAAAUUAAUUAAAUUUUAAAUUCAUUCUAAGUGAGAUAUUGAGUCUUGGAUUUUCAUCUUGAUGGACCAAGCCGAAUUAACAUCUAUGAUACAAAGGCAUUGAUAUAUAGUCAAUUUAGUAGCCAUAUUAAAAAAUUUAUUUUGAAAAAAAUCUCAACCUAAUUAAUUCCUUUUUAGAAUAAAGUAUGUUGUUUUAGAAUGAUCAAAUGACUUGUAUUUACAGUGUUAAGUGACCAAUAAUUAAUUUUUUAAUUAUUUAUUUAGAAAUUUCAAUGAAUCUUUUGUCUGACAUAUUUAUCUUCAUCAAUCUCAUGUCUUGCCAAGAUACAUGAGCUUACUCUUGAUGAUAUCUCGAUUAUUAUUAAAAAAAAAUUAACAAAAAUGAGAUUACUCUUGAUGAAUUUUCACAAGUUUUCAACAUGCCUUGUCGAUGACAAUCCAAUUGCGCAGCGUGUGAAAUACAAACAGCUAACAACUCCAUUGUCAGCCCACUAAAAGGAAUUUUUCGCUAAGAUGUCUCACAAAGAAAGUAUUAAAGGUAAGAAAAUCCUCGACGGACACCAUUGUCAGCCCAAAGAUAUAGAUACGUUUGUCUUCCACGUACACCAAUUACAGCUCUCGGCACACUACCUUUUGCAUUCAAUAAGUGAAACAUUUUGGACCGACCCAAAAUCCCUUUUGAAAGAAAGAAAACAAACAUCCAGGUCCUGGUAACAUAAAUGAAGAACACCAACUUCAUUGAGCAAACCACAGUUGCUUCCUCUGUAGUAUAUUCACACCUACUUCCUUAUACACAUAGGCCGUUUUCGUUCCUGAUGCCUAUAUUUUGCUUCAAUAAUCUGUGGUCACUAAAUUGGAGUGAUAGGACUUAGGAGACCUUUGCUAUCGACCUAGCUAGCACCCGCCUCCAAAUACAUUUUGAUUUUGAUUUUUUUUUGGGUUGGGGGGGAGGGGGGGGGGGUGCGGGGGGUUGAAUUACAUGGUUAUUUACUUGGUAGAAAUAUUUUGCUAUUAUUUCCUUUUAGAACUUCUCAUUGAUUGGUAUUUCGGCUCAACCAGUGCAAAUCUUUUUUUUCAAUAAUAGUCUAGGAUUUAAUAAAAUUAAUGCCAGUGUCAUAUGUGUAAGAGAAUUUCUUAUCCUUUUUUGUUCUUGAACGAAUUUAAUCUGGUUUAUGAAAAAUUAAUUAACUUCAUAUAUGUUAUUUGAUUUUAUUCUAAUAAUGUUGAUGCUAAAAAUAAAUUUUUAUUAUGUUAGAUUUCUAUUAGUUCUAUUUCAAGUUUCUAACAUUAGAUUUAUAUCUUAAACGGAUUGCAUAACCAUGUGAUUCUUACUUUUAAGAUUCAACUUAAUAGAGAGUUAAUACUUUAAAGGGUUAAUAUUUCACUGUAAUGAUAAGAUAGAGCGUGAAACACAAUUAAAAACUCGUUGAAACUUAACUUGAAUUAUAUAUUUAUAUUAUAUAGUUAUAUUUGAAGAAAUUUUUAUUAUAUAUAUAUAUAUAUAUAUAUAUAUAUAUAGAGAGAGAGAGAGAGAGAGAGAGAGAGAUAUGCAAUGAAAUGAUAUUAUAAAUAAUAACUUCCGCAGUUACAAAAUCUAGUCAGCUUCCACAAAAUACUCAUGAUGAUUCGAUAAUCAUCAAAAUCACAGUACAAGAAUAAUUAUAAUAUCAAUAAAAUAUGAUAUCAUAUGUACAAAAUCAUUCGUAGCUAGCCCUAAAAAGCUGCAGCAUUCCUGUGAUGCUGUUUAACUUAUAUUCACUUUAUUAUAUCUUGAAAAACUUAAUUAUCUCUCCCUCUCUCGUUAUUAAUUUGUACCUACUGCACUUAAUUGUGUAUUGGAGAUUUUCUCCUCGCUGGAGAAUAGUCCAUUUGAGUUAAGUCCAUAAUUUCCUCAUAGUGAUCCUCGUUGACUUUAUGGUCAGAAUUCCGCCAAGAAUUUACCAAUAGUUUUUCACGUUCUCCCACUAUUUCUCCUUUACUUGAUCUCCACUUGGAUAUGGGGCCAGCUUUAUUUCCUUCGUUAUUCUCCUUCUUCACAAUCAUAUAGAGAAGGUAAGAAGAAAAGGUAGGAGGUCUUAUAUACAUACAUACAUACAUAUGUAUGUAUGUAUGUAUGUAUUAUUUCUAAGGUCGAUAUUGAAACUGCUAUAUAACAUUUACAUAAUAACCAACCUUAGAGGUGGUGAUAGUAGUGCUAGAAGUAGAGGUUGUCACAGCAAUAAGUUUCCUACCCAUUCCUGCAAGAAUAUAUAUAGAAAAUGAUUUAGGAUAUAUGAUUGGAUGAGGUGUGGUCAACAUUUUCAUUGCUCGUUGUUCAUGUGAAGCUUCUACUCAAAACAUUAAGGACAAGACCCCAUUUAAUGAUCGAAGCUAGUUUAAUCGGUGAAGAUGAAAAGUUUGACAAUCAAUUUCUUGGGGACAAAUUUCCUUUUUAGAGUACUAAUAGUAUACGAUCAAGGGUUUGAAUCUUCUAAAACCCAGCAUCAGAGACUUCUAAAAUAAAUAAAAGUCAGGCAUUCUAGCUAGAGAAACUAAUGGUGUUUAGGUUUGUGAUUCCUAGGACCGUAGUAAUCUUCAUGGAUGCUUGGUAACCAGUGAUGUGAAGAGUUCUUCGACGCUGAUUUAGAAACUCUUUUUUCCGUACUGGUAAUGGUACCUGUACAAUGCUCUUCUUUGCAGAGAAUUGCUUCGCCAAGUACACCACCAUUAGCACUUCUUUCUUUUAAAGAACUCUUGUCCCCCUGCACAUCAAUCACUUUCCCAUCAGAACAGUAUUCACUUGAAUGCAUCACGAUAUGUGUAAACUAAGCAUCAAGAAACUGAACAACCCACCUGGACUUUCUGAGCUCUAACUUGCAUGAAUCCUUUUUCCAAACGAAUCCCUACAGAAAAUAUCAGCAGUUGUUAAGACCUAAUGACAUGCAACGCAAAAACAACUCUUUACAGCUUUAAAUGAUUGAUGUUUUCAGCAUAUUUAUGUAUACCUUGAGCCUCCUGGAGGAGAAAGGACAAAAGCAGAAGAGAAACUACUAAAGAGGGCCUCAUCUGGAGAAGAGAUUGUAAACAAGUAGGAAAUGGGUAUCGGUAUUUUAAAACUUCGUCUAAGGCCAGGUGUUGAAGAAGAUACAGAAUUAAUUUGGAACUGUAGUGUUCUGUGGAUAUUGUGAAUGAAUGAUAACAUCGGAAGAGGGCCACAGGUUAGAUGUAUAAAUGUGCAAGGUUUUUGGACCCACAGGGAAGCUCUCCAGCAGGAACUUUCAUAAGAAGGGGGCCGGAUUUUUCUGCCACUGUCUUUUGUUUUUCCUUUGUCUUAAUUUCUAGUGUAAAGUGCAGCCACUUGUCAAAGGAAACGACUAAUCAUUGAUUCAUUAGGGCAACCAGCUAUCUUAAUUCAACAAGGAAAAAGUGAAGCUUUGUGGGCCUUAGUUUAACGUCAUAUAAUUUUCUUGCAUAAUUAAAUAAAUAAAUCUAAAAUUAUAAUUUUGAUGCAUUCGUAUUUAUGUUUCGAUUAAGAAUAGAUUUAAUUAUGGAAAUAAUCAAAUUGAUUGGUCAAUCAUUUAAUACAUUGUGUUUACUUUUUAGACAUCAAAAUUCAAAACUUUAUAUUAAAUCAUGUGCUUGGUUAUGUUCUAUAAGAUCGUGAUAUUGCAAAAAAGAGUGUUCAAAAGAGAAAUUAACUUUUAGAAUUUUCCCUAGUUGAAAAAUUAGGUGAACUAGCACAGCUAGACUUCUUUUUUGUACAUUUCCGGACAUGCCCUGCUCUUUUACGGUAAUGAGGAUCUUGAGAAUUCUCUGCCAGUUUUGUCUCAUUGAGCACAAGUUGAUCUUCCCAAAUGCAUGCUAACAUCCCAUUACAUGAGUAAUAUUUGUCUCGUUGUGUUUUACAUCUCAACUAAAUGGUUUGCUAGCGCUAUAUAGAGAACGUUUGGGAACGCGGCUACGACUGUGUUUUCAAAAAAUUUAAAUUAUUUUUUUUUAUUAAAAUUUAAUAUGAUUUGUACGUUUUGGAUCGUUUUGAUGUGCUGAUGUCAAAAAUAAUUUUUAAAAAAUAAAAAAACAUCAUUGACAUACAUUUUGGCACGAAAAGUUAUUUGAAAAGCACCCGCAACCACACUGCCAAACACGCUCAUAGUAGCAGGUAGGAUUAAUUUUUUAUUACGUUCAUUCAUGCUUUGAACAAGAAGAAAACAUCUUAAGGGCUACUGUGCCCCAUGCUACUACCGUGGGUAUAUAUUUUUUUUUUAACCGUGAAUAUCCGGGUCAGUUUACACACAUCUCGACUAAUUCCUUGAAGUCAUGAAAUUAAUAAUCAGGUAAGCCUCUAGUAACCUUGAAUUUGUGGCACUCGAACUAGUAAUCUCUAAAAAAUAAACUCAAAGCCUGACUAGUUGAGUUACACCCCUCAGAGUUGAGUCUAUUUUCAUUUAUUACGUUUACGGGCUAUAACUGAGACGUUUCUCCUCUCCACCAAAUACGGGUUAUGUGACAUAUGAUAUGUCCAUCCUUUUUCUAUGAAAAUAAAUAAAUAAAUUUGAGUGUUCUAAGAAAAACUCAAAUUCAAAAUUCCAUCAAUUUAUAAUUAAUGUUUAUAUGUUAUGAAUCUAGGUAUUCUAGGAAUAUUACUCCUCUACCUACAUGAAAAUAUGGCCUAUCAUGCUCGUAGAAUCUAUUUUAUUACAGGUGAGAAAGUAUUGUUAUAGUUGUGGUUUUGAUUAAGAAUUUGAAUCAUUAGGUUGAUGGUUCAAUCUCAAAAUAAUAUUGCUUCCAUGAAUUUUUUAAACUAAACAAUAUUAUUUUAAAUAAAAAUAAAAAUAUAAUUUUUAAAAUUGACCCGACUAGAUCUCAUUUGAUUUUAGUCAAAUCAACUGAAUCAUAAAUUAACCCCCUAAGGUUGCUUGAAUUUAACAAAGAUAAUGUUCAAACUGGUUUAAAAAAAAUUGAUCCAACCUAAAUUCCAGGUUGGUAGAACAUUGGGUCGACUCAAAUAUUCCCCAUUCAAUUAUAAUAAAUACUCUAUUGUUUUUUAAAGUAUGGAAUUUGGAGGGUGUUUAAAUGCAUUAAUACUAUAUCAAUUGAUUUUAACAAUCCUAAUUUUAUUAUAUUGUUUGAUUUUCAAAUUAAAACACAUCAAAAGUAGAAUAAAAAUACCGUGUGAAAAAUUUGACCCCUAAAAUUUGUAAAAAAAUACCAAAAAAUUAUUAAAUUAAAGAAUGUGUGUCUGAGUAGAACUAUUACCAACCAUGCAUCUCACAUAGAAUAAUGUUAUCAACUGUUACAGUUUUAAAACCUGAUUUGGAACAAGGAUCGGGUCAUGGAUUAAUCCAAAAAAAUAAGAGUUAACGAGUUGAUAGCCGGAUUAGUUAAAGUUUUUUUUUUUCUAUUUUUUUUACAACUUGGACUAAUCAACAUCUCGGGUUAAUUGAGUCUUAGAUCAACCUGUCAAGUUAGCCUGAAUUUAUUAUUUAAAAAUUUGCAUAAGACAAUUAGCAACCGAUUUUUUUAUUGGAAAUUUGUUUGGGAAAAAAUUUACCAAUCGAUUUUCCUAAUUUUACUAACCAAUCUUCCUCUUUCCAUCCAAUACAUAUAUUUUUAGUGUUUCUGGUUGGUGGUUGAUUAUCAAUCUUUUAUAUUAUUUUAUAUAUUUGUAUUUCUUUAGCAUGAUAUAUGUUUCAAUAACAUUCUCCCGCAGAAUAUCUACAAAGAUAGCCCUCCAUAGAUUUUUUUAGUCACUAAUGCACGUAUUCGCCAUUUCAUGGAAAGGUUUCCACAUGGUCAUUGUAAAACAAAGAAAAAAAUGAUGCAUGUAAUUAUUUUGUGUUUAAAAUAUGAUGCAUGUAAUUUUGGAGUGAUAGCUGCUAUCGUGGGAUUCAGGAAGGAAACAAAGAGAAUUUUGAGAUUUUAUUUAGAAUCGACAAUCAGUCCAAUAUCUGCAACAUGUUUUCAGGUUGUUAGUUUUUGUCUUGUAAGAAUCCUACUCAACUUAACAGGUAAUCAUCCUUGGCUUUCUAGCUAGUGCUAAUAUAUAUAUAUAUAUGCUCAUGGAAGACAAGAUCUAUCGCUUGCCAGCUAUAGUUUCUCUAUUUUAUUGUGUAGUGGAAAUUAGCAGAUAUUGGUAGGCGCUAAGUUAAAUAUUUAAAUUAUCAUUGAUUACCAUCUAAUACAAACAAUAAUACGGUAGCACUUUGUAAUUAACUACUAUAUAUUGUUAAUGAUACAAAUAAUGUACUAAGCAUUAAUUUCACUCAAACACAAAUUAAAUACAUUAUUCCUUCCAUAAAAUAGUAGAAGCAUCCAAAUUCUAAUUACUAUAGAAUAUGGACUCCAUUUUAGUGAUAUCACAUUGGGAAUAUUCUUUUAGAACUUCUAAUUUAAUUAUAUUAUUAAUUAGUACGAGUUCAAUCGAUAUUCUUUGGAUAUUUGAAGAGCGAAAAAGAGUUUUCUUUAUAUGGAUACUUGGGGUUUUUGCAACUGAAACCAUGAAUUUUUAAAAGAUGAACUAUAUAUCUUCAUGUUUUUUAGGUUUUAAUUAAUGAAUUGGACUUUAGCCAUCAGUUUUUUUGAAACCUAUACAAUUGUUACUCUUUUAGGUUUUAUGUUUUUUGAUCACUUGUUAAAAAUUAAAAAAUAUAUAUAUACUUACAAAGAAUAAUGUUUAAGUUUUAGAAGCUAGCUAGGGACCGGACUGAAGUCUUUUUUUUUUUUGUGCUCUCAUAGAUAUAAUUACCCUUUUUUCAUGUAAUUUCAUCACCAACGUUAUUCAUAUUGAGAAAUUUCUAUAUCAAAAUAUUCUUCUUAGUAUUAUAAAUUAAAGCAUAAUGUGAAAUAUUCUUUUUGAUUCAAAUUAGUCGAAACUCAUGAUAUUUAUUUCAAAGAGGGGUAUAUCUAUCAAUUAAAAUAUGCAUUUGAUUUGGGAAAAAAAGAGGCGUUGCUACAUAAUUUAACACACAUUUAUUAAUUUGUCUUAGUCUAGAACAAGGUGAUUUGUCCUAAUUACAAGGGAUCAGUGGACAUAAUUUUUUAUAGUUGGAAUAAACUAAAGAUACCAAAAAAUAAGCAAGAGAUUAACGAUCGGCCGACCAGGAGACAUCACUUGUUUCUCGGACGCAUUGGAACAGGUUGGAGCACUUAUCAAAAGGGCACUCCAUUUUACUGUGGAUACAUGCUUUAUGAUAUCAUGUCUGGUUUUAACCGAACAAUGCAUCUUCACAGGAUGGAUCAUCCUUCAAUUGGUUGGGAAUUUCUUUCCACUUUGGAGUCCCUAAAUAAUUCCAACUUCUUGUUAUUUUAUAGCUUCAAUAAUAUAUUGUUUGAACUAGCUAGGGCAACUACAUUAAUAAACAUGCCUUUUAGCUACGUGGGAUCCAUUGAGAGAGCGGCUAUAUAUAUAUAUAUAUAUAUAUAUAUAUAUAUAUAUAUAUAUUAGGAUUGAAGCAUUUACGACUCUAUAGAUAUGGCUCAUGAUACUUGAUCAAAGGAUAUAAUAAUGUACCAAAGGAAACGCUAUCGAUCAAUUACAAAUUGUUGAGUGUUAUCCUUGAAUGUGUUUGCAUAUCUAUGAACUUCGGGUCCCUUGUGUCAAAAACUGCUGAAGAUCCCUUUAUAACUUGAGUUGUCCUAGCUCUCGGAAAAUGAAGAGGAGUUGUUACAUUUGAUACCUUAGUGCUCCAUGCAAAGAACAUGCUGGUGAAGUAGUAAAUGUGCAGAGUACUUUAUUUUUUUUAUAUUAAUUAAAAGUUAUAUUUUUUUAUCAGGUAAUUAGGAGAGUACUUUAUUUGAGUACUAAAGCUAAAGUUAUAUUAAUUUUACAACUAAUUUUUCAAUCCAAAAUUUUAGCUAAGAGGUUUAAUCUGACUAAAGCUAAAUGUAAUUAGGAGAGUAAUUUAUUUGAACGAAUGUCAACAGUUCUCUAGGAACCAUGCACGAAAGACUUUUAUCUCCUAAGAGAUAAGAUUAGGGUUUUGCUAUUAGGUAAGUCUCACUUUCAACCAGGGACUAAUGGUUGAAAAUGUAGAGAUUUGAGGAAAGACUAUCCUCCAUUCACUAUCCCCAUUAAGCCUCCUUAGUCCUUAUUAGAAGAAAAAUCAUAUGUGGAGAUGUUCUUCACCCGAUUGCCCCAUCACUUCUCUCUACCUAGGUUUUGUACUCGUUAUUGGAAGAGAAUUCCAUGACGACAUGCAUGAAACAAAUGAGCAUAAUAAUGUCCCCACGUCCUUUAUAACAUGAACAAGAUCGUCAAAGCAAGAGUAGGAACCCAUCUUCUCAGACACAAGUAAACAAAACUCAGUUAGUCGUAGAUGUUGAAUUUUUUGUUAACCUGUCUCACAAAGCGGGCCGGCAUGCAAGGCAAACAAAUCUUCCAUUUAUAUGUCAUUGACAGCACAGAGAUAUAGAUAUGAUGGCCUUGUUCGAUCAAACACACACGUCCCUUUCAAUGCCUCCCCAUACCUACGUGUUAAAACCCUCACAUAUUUUCGUGUUAACAUUAUCACAUGGGCAAGAGUCCCGCCAGCAGUGGCUGCUUGCGAUCAAGUCAGUAGGGUCAGGAUGGUCCGGCGAAGUUCACCGACAAUAUAGAUAUUAACUCAUUUGAUAGACUUGAUGCCGUUCAUGGAGUGCCAUAUACACGUGUGUGUGAGAGAUCACAAGACUGUAUUUGAUGUACACUGUAAUAAGAAAUUAACAGAGACAAUAGAAUACAUACCCUUUGUCAUGAACUGAGUAAGUGUUGAAUUGUCUAGAAAAAAAUUGUGCUGUAAAAAAUAAAUAGUUUUAUAAUCCAUGACAAACCUUAGGUUACUGUGUAGUAUCUCGUUCUACAUGUAAAUAUCGAAAACAAAAUUCUAUAAAAAGAAAUGGCAGGAGCGGCCCCUGAGGAACAAUCCCCAGUAACGAAUAAAUCAUCAGUUGGGGUAAUUUUGGACAUAAUUGAAUGACAUUUUCCCUACCUACUAGCUAGCCUGAUGAAAUUAAUCAUUAUUAACAAAAAACAAAAAAAAUAUUUUCUGACAUAAUUCAACCCCUUGUUAAAUUUCCAGGUGAUCGUUGUUCUUGUUUAAAAGAACAUAUUUUUGAGAAGGGUGAGGUGAUCAUGCAAGAAAAUGAAAGGAGAAUGUCUAAUAUUUGAGUGACACGAUCGUAGGCAAGCUCCAUUCGAUCGAGUGUCUGAACUCUGAAUGGGUAAAGAUCAUUCAGGUAAUGCAUUAUUAUUUGUAUUGGUUAAUUAACUUUAAUGGCUAUUGUUCUUGUAUAUAUGAAACUGGAUACAUUCUUAAUUCCCUGUAGAUUCCAUGACAGAACUUUGAUGAAGAGAAAAUGGCGAGGAGGAAUCACUAUUCCAUGACAGAACUUUGAUGAAGAGAAAAUGGCGAGGAGGAAUCACUAUUUUUUUUUUUUUUUUUGUAAUUUUGAACUUAGGACAGCUUAGGAGUAGAGAGUACUGUACCUAGCUAAAGCCCCAUAACCAAGAGGCCUUUCUUUUUCUUUAUACCCCAGCAGCAGCAGCUGCACCUCUAAUUUUAAUCAAAAUUAAACAAUUUUGAUACAAAUUAUUUUUUGGCCAUGUUUUAAAUUAAUAUUUAUUUUUAACUGAAAAUUAAUUUAAAUUAAUUCUUCCAUUUCCUAAUUUUUUAGCGAUUAAUCCCAGAUUUUUGCUAUAAAUAUGUUAAUAUCACUCCUUAUAAAAUUUUACUAUAACAUGAAUUGCUAGAAAAAAAAAUCAUUUUAUAAACUGACUCCAUAUUUAUAAAACACCUUUGACGUACGUACUAGCAUUCUUUCAUUAAGAUAUAAUAAAAGAAAAUUAAGAGCAUUCCCAUAUAUAUUACUUUUAAGUUCUUAAAAUAUAUCCCCCUCGGACUCUGUUGAUUUCUUGCUUUGGAUUGCAGGUCUUUUAAGGUGUGAAGUGACACCAACUGGUCAUCACAAGGGGAACUUUAAGCCCUCUGAACUUCGUCUGAAAUCUUGGAUGAACAACCUAUGGAACAAAGUUUUUCAAUGCUUAUGAAGCCGAUGAGUGCUGAUCAAUCGAGUCAAAAAGUUCAUUUCCUAUCCCAAAUCCAAGCAUCCUGGCCAUGUCACUGGUCUUCAGUCUAGGUUUUGGAACAUUAAUAUGCUGUUGCAAGCCUGCAACCAAGAGUACACAUCGAAAAUUAACUUUCUUCAUUGCAAACAAUUUCAGUGCCUCAGGAUUAAAAACAAUUCCUGAUUUCAUAUUUACCUGCCAGCAGAAAAUUUAAAAGUUCUGCCUUUCAAUCAUGCUCUAUUAGCUCCUUAAAUAAUAUGCAGUCUCAUCCAUUAUCUGUUAUCUGAUGAAGGACUAGCAUUGCUGCAUAACGAGCCAGCUCUCCAGCUCUCCAGCUCGCCAGUACAUCAAGACAGGUAACCAAGGAUAAGUAGCAUCAAGUCUCAAAAAUAACAAUGAUAGCAAUCCAAUGCGCAUGAUAUUCAAUAGAGUAAACCUUGAAGUUAGCAUUAUUCCAUAAUGCUAAGAAAAUACAAAUUUUCAAGCACAAAAAAACCAAGAUCCAAAAUUGAAUAAUUAAAAAGAAACGAAAAGAAGCAAUGCGGGAUAGAUCUAGAAUCAACAAAUCUUAAUCUUUAAUGGGGCUCUCUCCUUUUUUAAAACAAAAAAAAUGACUACAUCCAGACCAAAUCUGUGGUGUUUUUGUUUUUGUCUCAGUGUUCUGCAAGAAAAACAAUUUAGAGAUAGUGAGAGUUUUGGCAAUGAAAAAGAAACAAAUAUAGUAGAGAUCGGAGAAAUGUGGAUCAUUGAUUAUGUGCCUAUCCUCUCUCCUCCCUCUGAAACCUUUUUUUAUCCAUCAUGGAUCCCUUUUUUUUGCCUGACGCCUCCUUCGUUCCCCCUGCAUCUGUCAGUUUGCUUUAGAACAACAUCACCCUCUCCGCGUAGAUUUUUCUCUCUGAUCUGCCUUCUUUUUUUCUCCUUCCUUUCUCUGUUUUGUACUUGUUUUCUCUUCUAUGUAAUUAAAAGAAGAAACUGAUGGGAGAAUGGGUGGAAAACAUGCGCCCGUUAAAAAUACCAAAACACCUUCCACAAACCACAGAGACAUCCAACAGGUUGAAGUACAUAAUUAUUACUACACUAUUAAAAUUCAUAAUGAAAUUACCCAGUCCACAGUACACGCAUUCAUUUAGCACUUUUAGUUUUUUUUAAUGUUCAAUACCAAUAUAUAAAAUUUAGGCAGCGAAGUAGAUAUAAACUGGAAUUUUAAAACCACUAAAACCCAAGGUAUCCCUUUGCCAUAAAUUAUUUUCUGCCUUUCACAGCUUGCGGGAGCAAGCAUAUACAUGCAAUUACAUGGUUUUUAACUCGUGAUGGAGCUUUCUCAAAGUUCGGGAAACCUCACUUGCUGGUGAGACCUGAAUAAUCUGUUGGUGUAUAUGGUAUAAACAAGUCUGCUAAAAGUCCUUUCUUUCUUCUAGGAUUAUAUCCCAUGUCUUUGCAAAGCUGGUCAUUGUAAUAUAUGUUAAAGUUACUAAUACAAGCUCUCCUGAAGUAGCGGCCUGUAACUUGUUUGAUGUGAUCUGCCCACAUGUUUGCUUCCUCUUCCAUGUCUCUUAUACUUGGCAAUUCAAGGUUGCCAUCGAGGAAAUGUGAUAGCCAUACACUUUCGAUUUCAGAGUAACCCAAACUUGAGAAAUUCUCACUGUAUCCUAUUAUAGCCAAUUGAGGAAUUCGAGGAUGAAUUAUUUGUCUGCAGAAAUGACAAAGAAGGUGUCAUAUUAAUGUUAACCAUGCAAUAUCAAGCUGGAUGUUUGUAUUCAUUGAUCACUUUAAAGGACAUACAGAAAGAAACAUGACAAGAAAUACGAAGUUAGCAGACCUGUAGAGGGAAACUGUAGUGGUAGGUGACCCAAUUAUGUAGUUUUGGAAAACUGGAGACUCAAAAAUGUUUUUCAGUUUUUCAUCACCCUUGAAUCCUGUAGCAAAAAUCACAAGAUCAGUUUCAAAUGGACGAUUUUCUCCAUUUAUAAUUAGACCUUCUGGGAAGAAGCUUAAGCUUUGUGAAUUCUUGAUAAUGAUGCUUCCUUCUUCAACUCUGUCAUAGAAUUUGUCAGGCAGCAUCGCAAUCUGACAGGAAGAUAUAUCUUCAAGAAAGCUGGAUUUUGGUAACAUUCCAUACUUCUUCAGAGGAAUAUUCCAUCUAAGGUAGAUCUCAAUGAAUUUUGAAAUUCCCCAUCUCUGAAAAGCAAGAUAUUGGCAUCAUAAUUCAGAGCAAAUCACACAUAUAUAACAUUCAUGGACAAAGGCAAUUGCGAGAGUGAAAUAGAAGUUACCAAGGGUGCAAGUAAGGUGGCCAGAAAACUUAAUAGAAAUGUUUCACCAGGUUUAUAGACUAACAAUUCCGAGAAUCGAUUGUAGCACAGGAAAGCAAGCAGAAGUCCACUCAAAUUGUCACAGGGCAAAAACCAGUGGGCAUUCCUCUGAAUCAUUGUGCAAGGGUACAUAACUCCUGAAUGAUAGAUUAUAAUAAGGCUGUUUGAACUUCAAAUGACAACUAAGCAGUAUUCUAUGAAACAUUCUAUUCACUCAUUUAACUAAAUCCAGAGGAUGUUUUGAACAUCACAGACUUUAUUGCUCAUUAAAGUAAAAGUCUUUUUGAUAAUCUGAUAAAAGACUUAAAAGUAGGAAUAUUUGCUUGACAGAAUGUUUUCUUACCAUUUGCGUUGGCACAUUCUGCUGCUAUGUCAACUGCAGAUUUAUGAGAACCAACUACUGUAAUUCUCUUUGUUUUGAUCAAUUCUGAAGCAGUUGAAUUGUCUAGGGCUGAGAAGUCUUCUGAAUGCAUCACCUUGCCCUUGAACACUUCAGGUCCUUGAUUUGGAAGGAACUCUGGAAUAUUUGGAAGGCCACUGAAUUGUCCAAUGCAAAGAACUACAAAUUCAGCAUGAUACACCUGACCAACAUAAUUCACCAGUGAUUUAAUAUUUAUAUAUGUAUAAAAGAAAUAGCCACAACAAUAGCCCACAACAGUGGAUAUAGAAUCUUUCAAAAAAUAAACAUACUUGUAUGCUGCAAUUUUUUGUGUCUUGAACUUUGACAUGCCAUUUCCCUUUGGAGCCAAAGGGCUUGCCUGUCCCACUCCAAAGAGCCCAUGAAUCCAUCUCUUCGUUAGACUCUCCAAAAUACUCUAUACCAAUGACCUUGGAAUUGAACUUGAUGCAUGCAAAGAUAUUGAAAUGUUGUGCAUAAGAUUCCAGAUACUCCAUCACUUGAUUGUGAGUGGGAUACGUGUUUUUUAUCGAGGAAGGCCAUGGAAAAUCAGAAAACUGGUAAAUUUCUUUGCUGUUUUGGAGUCUGGUUGACUCUAGAGUAUGUGACCAAACUCCACCAAUUCGUUCUUCAGCUUCAAACACAAUCGGGUUGAGUCCGAUUUUGAGUGUGUUCUUACAGGCAAGAAGGCCACUUACUCCUGAUCCGAUGAUUACCACUCGUUUCUCCAUUAGUCCACUCUGAGAUCCGUUUAGGGUCAGGGCAUUAAAUACUAGUUAUGUCUAAGAAGCCAUCAAACGGUCUUCAGGAAAAUCAUCUA
Molecule: long non-coding RNA, 102691 nt
Filed under: Populus trichocarpa (black cottonwood)
Lineage: Eukaryota; Viridiplantae; Streptophyta; Magnoliopsida; Malpighiales; Salicaceae
Description: long non-coding RNA (PTRI_LNC004073)
Source: RNAcentral